UUGUGUUAGAUUUCCAAUACUUCUUGGAAUGAUCCCCAUAAAUUGAUUAUAGGACAACGACAAACUUUUAAGGUUGCUGCAUUUGCCCAUGCCAAAUGGAAUGUUACCAGAUAAUUCAUUCCAACUCAGGUAAAGCUCUUCAAGCUUGGGAAGAUGUUGACACAUAUCAUUAGGCAAACUACCUGAUAGGCUAUUGCUGGUGAGACUAAUAGAUUUCAAAGAAGAAAUCUUGAAGAUGGAAGAUGGAACCUGGCCAGAUAAUUGAUUCAAUUCCAAGUUCAAGAUCUCUAGGUUAGACAUGUUAACAAGUGUUUCAGGGAUUGUGCCUGUAAAGUUAUUAUUUUUCAUUUUCAGCGUUCGAACUCUCUGUAAGUUCCCAAGCCAUGAUGGAAUUUCUCCAUUAAGACGGUUGUAGCUUAAUCGAAGGAUCCUCAAACGAUGCAAUUGGCCCAAUUCUUUAGGGAGAUAGCCAUAGAAAUGGUUGCUACUCAAGUCGAGUGAGAGUAGAAGUGAAAGAUUUCCAAGGUGUGGAGGGAUAGUACCCCUAAGAUUCAUGCUUGUAAGAUUCAAAGCUAUAACUCUUUUAUGGAGGAUGCCACAAGUAACACCAAUCCAAUUGCAAACAGAGGUUGAGGCCGUCCAAUUGUUUGCCAAGACAUUUUGAGGACCGGCAAUGUGAUCCUUAAACUCGAGAAGUGCAAACUGAUCGGAGUUGAGAUUCUUGACUGUCAUAGCCAAGCAAAGUACGGAACAUGGUAUGAAUAAAGCUAAGAGAAGAUGAAAGCCAGCGUUGUAGUUCAUGAUUGCAAGACGGAAUAAGGCAAGAAAAUAAAAAAAAGUAGGAAAAGGGAAGUUGAGCUGAUAAAAUAGUUUGGAUGAUGAAGAAAAGCCCAGAGAGCAUGCUUUAAUAUGUUUCAACCCUCGUACACUUGAUAAACUUGAUAAAUUUAAGACUACCCUAAAAAUUAAAAAGGAAAGCAAAGUUUUGAAGAAAUUUCAAAAUAAAUGUCAAGUCUUCUUCUUUAGAAAAUACGUACAAAGAAUCGAAUUUUCAAAAUUUCUCCUAAAUUUUCUUCACGUUACUCCACAUAAUCCAUUAAAAAUACUUAAAAAUAUAUUUUAAUAAUUACUAUAUAUUCUUUUAUUUAAUAAAUUGUUUAAAAAUGCUAUUAGUCCCUGUAAUUUAAAAGUUAAAAAAAAAAUCCAAUCCUCCUAUUUUUCUAAUUUGAAAAUUCUAGUCCAAUAAUUCUUAAUUCCAUUAAAAAAUUUCAGCUUAAUAGGUUUUUUAUUAUCAAUCAUAUGCAACAGUAUAUGAAUGCAGUCUACUCAGCAUAUAUCCAAGUUUACAGAUUUUAAUAGAAAAUACUUACAAUCCUAAUGGUAGGACUAAGUUUUUUAAACUAGAAAAGUGAGAAGACUUAAUUUUUAACUUUUUAAGCACAAGGAUUAAAUUUUAAAUGUUGUCAAAGUACAAGCACUAACAAAAUAUUUUGAUCUAAUAAAUGUAAAAAACUUUUUAAACAAAAUAAGGUUGAAAUAAUCUAUUUGUCCUUGUACUUUGAUAAAAUUUGAGAUUUAGUCCUUAUAUUUAAAAACUUAAAAAUUAAGUCUUAUUGUUUUUAUUUAAAAAUCUUAGUCCUAUCCUUAAUUUUAUUUUAUCAAAAUUGGUCAACUUUACAUAUUAAUUAGGUUUCCCUUAUAUGUCGCGGUAUCAAUCAAAACUUAAUUAAUAUCCAUCAAUAUCCAUCAAUACGUCAUACAUAAAAAAAGCAAGCAUAAAAUACAGUUAAAAGUCCUCCUUUUAUUAUUAAAUGUUUUAUUUUAGUUAUUUUAAUCAAAUAUAUCCAAAUUACAAUAGAGUUAACAUUUAUUGUGUAAAAAAUAUUUUAAAUUUUUUUUUCAAUUUUAGUUUAAUUCUAGAAGAAAUAUUUCAUUUAUAAAAUCAUAAAACUUUAAAAAUAUUAACUCUGUUAAAUAAAAAUUAUUUUUUUAAAUAGUAAAUGUUAACUUUAUUAACACAAAUGGGCCUCAGUAAUUGACAAGCUCUUCCACAAACUGUGGAAGAUUUGGGGAUAAAAGCUUCAAUAAUUAUGGAGUUAUAGUGUAAAUUUGCCACUAUAUUAUAAGUGUAUUGAAAUUUAUCACUAUAUUUUAUUUGAUGUUUAUCAUUACACUUUGAAAAUAUAAGUAAAUUUACCAUUUAACUCAGAUUUACCUUUGCAAGUAAACUUAAAAUUUUAUUUAAUUUUGUCACUAAAUUUGAUUUGUUCAAUAUAGAUUUUGGUGACUUAAAACUCACUAAAUUUGAUUUUUUCAAUAUACAUUUUGGUGACUUAAAACAAAAUUAAUAAAUAAUUAUUCUUUUGGAUAUCUUUUUAAUGUUUAAUAAUAAGUUAAUUUAUAAAAUAUACUGUCAUUGGACACAAGCCUCUAAGGCGGUGAACCACUAAUCAAAUUAAUUUGGAGAUAUCUUUUUUUCUAAAUAAAGUGAAUUUACGAGUUUUGUUUUCUUUUAAAAACAUUUUUAAUAUUUUUGUGGAUAUCAAAAAAUUUUUCAAUAAGAAAUUUUAAUUCACUCGAAAAGUUAGUGUUUUAUUUCAAGGGGUCAUAAUUAAUCAUUAGAUUUCCCAAUUUUAAAUUUUAAAUUUUUCGACAAUUGCGUAAUUAAUAAGUACCAAUUUUGAGUGUUGUAGGGCUAGUACAAUCUUCCUUACACAUAACCGACUCUUAAACCUACUCUUUUCUCUAGAAUUCAAUGCAAACAUCGAAUUUAUCUUUUGAAAAGAAUUUUAAAAUAAUAUAAAAGGUGUUUUUUUAUGACUGAUCACACUUAACAAAAAUUUAAAAAUUAUUAAAAAAAUUUCAUUUUGAAAUUUAAAGUGAUCUAAAAACAUAUUUUUAAGUGCUUUGGACCAUCUGUUGCUGAUUUCCUUAUUAUAUUAAAUGUUUGCAAUCACUCCUAAUAUAUUGUGCUUGAGUUGUGACAGAGCAAAUCGCCAACGUGCCAUAUUGAUCUAUUGAUGCUGAAACUGAAGUUUUUGUUAUAUUGAUAGAGCUUGUCCUUCAACGCAUACAACGUGUUUGUUAUUUUUCUCCCUUCAAAUUGUAUGAUCUUAUUUAUUUAAUGAAUUAAUGAAUUUCCCUUUUAAAAAGAUAUAUUUUUAAAAUUAAAUACUUUAUAAAAUAUUUAAAACUACUUAAAAAAUUGUAAGCCUUAAAACAAUCAACAAAAUAUAUUUUUCUCUAAAAAAAUCAAUAAAAAUAUGUUUAAAAUUUUAUAUGAAAUUAAAUUUUUUUUAACAAUAAUAUAUUUUAAAAUUAUAGUAACGCUAUAAAAUAUAUAUAUACAUAUAUAUAUAUAUUUACUAAUUAUAUACACCUUUCCAUACAUCCUUUUUCUACAUAGAAUUUCAAAAGUAAAUGUGAAUUAAUGUAGGCGUAAGAAGACUUACAGGUAAGUCACCCAACGAAAGUGUCCUAAACCGACUUAUGGAAGAAUCAAACAAUAAUUUUGUAUCGUAUAAUAUAUUUAAUUACAUUUAUUAGUUUAUCAAUCAAAACUUAAGUAGAAUCCAUCAAUAUUUCACACAUCAAAACCCAAACAUAAAAUUCACUUUUAAAUUAUUCGGGGAAUAUUUGUAUUAUAGGAAAUGGAUUAAAUUAGACUUUUAUUAUUAAAUGUAUUAUCUUAAUCUUUGUAUUAGGUAUGAAUGAUAUCUCUUAGAUUGAAGCUAGAGCUAUUCUUGAAUGAUUGAAAUUAAGAUUAAGAUGUGUUGAGAUGGAAAGUGGCAACACAAUGCUGAUUGAUGCUAUUUGUAAUGGGUUGGCUACAAUAAGUAGUGCUGCUGAAGUAAGACAAAUUUAUGAUUGGUGUUCCAAAAUUUUGGGAAGUCAAAUUUUGACAUUUUCAGCGGAAUGCCAAUAAAGUUGUUGAUUGCAUAGCUAUGGCAGAUGGAGGCAUAAUUGAGCAGCUGGUUAUCUUGAAAGAUCCUCUGCAUUAUGUGAGAUACUAGCUUGAAGAAGAUAUUAGACGGUCACUGGUGACUGAUGAUAAUUUUCAUUUGGACUGAUGAGCGCUUAAUUUUCUAAGCUUAUGGUCAACCAAAAAAAAUAAAUAAAUGCGUCUAAAUUGUAAUAGAGUUAACAUUUAGUGUUUAAAAAAAUCUUAAAAUUUUUUUUUCAAUUGCAGUUCAAUUCCAAAAAUAUCGAUGAUGAACCCGAACAUAAAAAUUACCAAAAAAAAAAACACAUCUAUUAUCAAACCAACAAUCCAUGUCUAAACUUAAAUUAACAAAAUUCGCCACCCAACCCAAUACACUAUUUUAUAUAUAUAUUAGAUUUAUUCUAGAUGCGCAUGUUUUAUUAUAUUUAAAAAUUAAAAUAUAUGGUUGACUGAGUUUUAGCUGAGUUGAUAUUGGUAUUAUUGUUAGUGUAAGAAAAUUUGAGUUUAAUCGUGUUCAAAUGUGUUUUAUCCUCCAAUUUAAAGGUUAGGAAAAUAUUAUUGAUAAUUAAAUUAUACCAACUUGAUGAUAUUAAAAAAAGGAUGUAUAAAAAAUAUAAGGGAGAAAAAAAAAAGGAGAAACAUAUUCAUAUUGAUGGGCUCUUUCAAUAUUAGACUUUUUUUCUCUCACAAGUAAAAGUAGUUAUGGAGAGGAUCAUGUAAAAUAAUAGCCUGAAUAAUUUUAAACGUCUCAUCAUUGCAAAAAUGAAAUAGUAGAAAAGAAAGAGUAGACAUUCUAUGAAAUUUAUAAUUCCAACCGUGAAUAAAAUAUAAAUUUUAUGAAUGUGGACAAGCAAUUUUAUUUAACUUUUUUUAAAGUCAUUUUGUUUGUUUCCUAAUCACCAUGAAAUUACUUGUCACAAUUCAUCUUUUUAAAUGAGAAACAUUUUCCACAAUUUGCCAUCACUUUAACAUACACUAACUUUUCUAUGAUUAGUCCUUUGUUUGCUUUGGGUGCAAUCUUCCAACUAGCCUCAUCCUUGGUUUUACUUUCCAACAUUUAGUGUAUUACGAGUUUUGUUUUCUUUAAAAAAUAUUUUUGUGGAUAUUAGGAGAUAAUGAAAUUAUUUUACUAUGAAAUUUUAAUAAAACUGGAAAAUAAGUCAUUUAUUUUAAGAGAUCACAAUUAAACAUUAGAUUUCCAAUUUUUUAAUUUUAAUUUUUUUUGACAAUUGCAUAAUAUUUUGAGCGUUGUAGGAAUGCCAUAACCUUCCCUACGCAUAAUCGACUCUUAAGUAUGAUGGAUCCUAGACCUUCUCCUCUAUUCUUGUACCACAAAUUGCUUCGAGUGUGGGUUCGGAAAAUCACAAAUUAAGCACAAAACCAAAAAUGAUUUUGUAACACCCCAAACCCAGCCUAGUCAUUAUGGAUUAAUGUAGACCUGAGAAGACUUAAUUACAUUUAUUAGUUUAUCAAUCAAAACUUAAUUAGAAUCCAUCAAUAUUUCACACAUAAAAAACCCAAACAUAAAAUUCACUUUUAAAUUAUUUGAAGAUAUAUUUGUAUUAUAGGAAAUGGAUUAAAUUAGUCUUUUUAUUAGUAAAUGUAUUAUUUUAAUCUUUUUAUUAGGUAUGAAUGAUAUCUCCUAGAUUGAAGGCAGAGCUAUUCUUAAAAGACUAAAGUUAGGAUUCAGAUGUGUUGAGAUGGAAAGUGACAACGCAAUGUUGAUUGAAACUAUUUGUAACGGGUUGACUACAAUAAGUAGUGCUACCGAAGUAAGACAGAUUCACGAUUGGUGUUCCAAAAAUUGGAAAGUCAAAUUUCGACAUAUUCAGCGGAAUGCCAAUAAAGUUGUUGAUUGCAUAGCUAAGGCAAAUGGAGGCAUAAUUGAGCAGCUGGUUAUCUUGGAAGAUCCUCCGCAUUAUGUGAGAUGCUAGCUUGAAGAAGAUAUUAGACAGUCACUGGUGGCUGAUGAUAAUUUUCAUUUGGACUGAUGAGCGCUUAAUUUUUUAAGCUUAUAUUCAACAAAAAAAAAAUUAAAUACGUCUCAAUUGUAAUAGAGUUAACAUUUAGUGUUUAAAAAAUAUCUUAAAAAUUAUUUUUUCCAAUUGCAAUUCAAUUCCACAAAUAUCAACGAUGAACCUGGACAUAAAAAUUACAAAAAAAAAAAAACACAUCUAUUAUCAAACCAGCAAUCCAUGUCUAAACUUAAAUUAACAAAAUUUGCCACGCAACCCGAUACACUAUUUUAUAUAUAUACUAGAUUUAUUCUAGAUGCACAUGUUUUAUUAUAUUUAAAAAUUAAAAUAUAUGGUUGACUAAGUUUUAGUUGAGUUAGUAUUGGUAUUAUUGUCAGUGUAGGAAAAUGUGAGUCUAAUUGUGCUCAAAUUUGUUUUAUACUCCAAUUCAAGGGUUAGGAAAAGGUUAUUGAUAAUUAAAUUAUACCAACUUUUAUGAUAUUAAAAAAAGGAUUUAUAAAUAAUAUAAGGAAAAGAAAAAAAGAGAGAAACAUAUUCAUAUUGAUGGGCUCUUUCAAUAUUAGACUUUUUUUCUAUCACAAGUAAAAAUAUCAAAGGUGAUAAUAAUUAAAUUAUAAAAUUUAAAUUGAGAAAAUAGGGGAUUGAAUUUAUAACUUUUAAAGUAUAAAGAAUGAAUUUAUAACUAACAACAUAUUUUAACCACACAAUAAAAGUAGUUAUGGAGAGGAUCAUGUAAAAUAAUGACCUGAAUAAUUUUAAACGUCUCAUCCUUGCAAAAAUGAAAUAAUAGAAAAGAAAUAAGUGUUGGGUGUAGUGGCAAUGUACAUUAUACUUCUAAGGGGAGAUCAGGGUUUUAUACAAGGGAAGAAUUUUAAACCUGCUUUUUUCUCUAGAACUCAACGCAAACCUCAAAUUUAUCUUUUUAUAAGAAUUUUAAUAUAUCUAUAUAAAAGGUGAUUUUUUUGCCGAUCACACUUAACAAAAUUUUAAAUUUUUUUUUUUGAAAUUUAAAGUGAUCUAAAAACAUAUUUUUAAGUGCUUUAGACCAUCCUGUGUUGAUUUCUUUAGUAAUUUGAUUUGUUCAAUAUAGAUUUUGGUGACUUAACACAAAAUUAAUAAAAAAUAUUUUUUCAGAUAUCUUUUUAAUGUUUAAUAAUAAGUUAAUUUAUAAAAUAUACUUUCAUAGGACACAGGCCUCCAAGGCGGUGAACCACUAAUGAAAUUAAUUUUGAGAUACUUAAAUUUGUUUUCAUCAAUUAAGAAAUUUGAAAAAUUGUUGAGACCUCAUGAUUAUCUUUUAUAAUUUCAGGCUUAUCACCAAAAAACUAAAAAACAAAAUCGUCGACAUUAAAUUUGUUGGCAUGCAAUCAAUUUUAAGAUGGUUUUUGGAGUUAUAUAUCACUUUAGCAUGGACUUACUUUUCUACAGUUAGUCUUCUCCAACAAGUUAAAUAUUUCAAUUUUAACAACAUUGACAGGUCUUUGGGGUAGGGUCGAGCAAAACUCAAUAGAAAUAGAUGAUAUAGAUUGAGUUAGCUCGGCCAAGUCGAGUCGACUUGUUCAAAUUAGUUAAAUUAGUAAAUUUUAGGGUGCAGUUAGAAUUUUUUUUUGUUUUGAGAUGCUAAGAUUAAAAAAUUUCAGUUGCUAAAACAAAAAAAUUGUAUUUAAAAAAAGGCAUAAAGAAAGGCUGAAUGACAAAUUGCCCAAAGCCCAUGCCCCUAGCUAUACGCCCCUGGUAAAAUCAAUUUUAAAAUUAGUUAUAAUAGUUGAAGCGAUUGAUUAUUGAGGAAUGAAAUACAUAGUUCAACAAAAUAAAUAAGUUGACAAAUUUUGACAAAAAAAAUCAAAAAUAAAAUAAUAGAAAAGAAAGAGUAGCCAUUUUAUGAAUUUAUAAUUCCAACCGUGAAUAAAAUAUAAAUUUUAUGAAUGUGGACAAGCCAUUUUAUUUAUAAUUUUCUGUGUUUUUCUUCUUUUCCUGACUUUUUUUUAAAGUCAUUUUCUUUGUUUCCUAAUCACCAUGAAAUUACUUGUCACAAUUCAUCUUUUUAAAUGAGAAACAUUUUCCACAAUUUGCCAUCACUUUAACAUACACUAACUUUUCUAUGAUUAGUCCUUGGUUUGCUUUGGGUGGAAUCUUCCAACAAUUAGUGUAUCACGAGUUUCGUUUUCUUUAAAAAAUAUUUUUGUGGAUAUUAGGAGAUAAUGAAAAUUAUUUUACUAUGAAAUUUUAAUAAAACUUUAAAAUAAGUAAUUUAUUUUAAGAGAUCACAAUUAAACAUUAGAUUUCCAAUUUUUUAAUUUUACAAUUUUUUGACAAUUACAUAAUUAAUAAGGUACCAAUGUUGAGCGUUGUAGGAAUGCUAUAACCUUCCCUAAACAUAAUCGACUCUUGAGCAUGAUGGAUCCUAGACCUUCUCCUCUAUUCUCGUACCACAAAUUGCUUUGAGUGUGGGUACGAACAAUCACAAAUUAAACACAAAACCAGAAAUGAUUUAUUACUUUUAAUAGCAAAGUAAUUCUCUCUCAAUAGAAACCAAUAGAAUUGUAAUUCCCAUAAAAUAAAAUUUAUUUUCUGAAAUAUAUUCUCACUACUUUCUAGCAGAGUAACAAUAUUUAAAACUUAUGUCUUGUGUUAAUAGCUUUACUAGCACUAUCUAUUUAUAGGGAGAGAGAUGAGAGUCCUGGUUGAAUUAGUAAAACACGAAUAAUAUUUAUUUCAUAGAAGACAAUUUCAUAGAAAACUUAUGUCUUGUGUUAAUAAUGUUGAAUUUGUAUGUACAAGUUUCUAAUACACUUGUUGGGACAUUCUUUGACUUUUAUCUAUUCUCUCAAAAAGUUAAAGUUCAAAGUUGCAUUAAACUCAAAUAAGAUAACCAUUAGCAAACCAGCUCACAAGCCUGCUCAAGCUAAUCCUACAAGUCAUUCCACUUCAUCAUCAAGCACCAAUGUUCUUGCUUAUCCUUAUGGAAUUAAACAAAAGAAAAAAGCUCUUUAAGAGUUAUUUCAAUAGACUUCUUUAAUGGUAAAUGACAAUCCACUCUAUUGAUGCUUCUUCGCCCAACUCAUGAUUUAAAAGAAGUUUAUACUCAUGGAUCAAGUGUAGCUCACCAGUUAUCAUUAAGGAGAAAAAAGAGUCAAUCAAGUGAAAAUUAUAUUCCAACAUCCCCCCUGAACCAAAUUUUAGAGUGAUGAAUGUCAUGACAACUGACACUACAUUCUUAGAAGAAUAAGUAGAUCUCUAGCAAAAACGAUGGAGAGUCUUACUACAAGCAUAAAAGGAAUGGAUGAUCAAAUUGAACAUCUUAGAGGAAGUAACCAAACCUUUUCCUACGAAACUCAACAUCCUCUUCACAAAGUUGUUGGAAUCAAAAUUGUUGAAGGACUUUAAAGUGUUUCUUUAGAUCAAGUUAAGGAGCUCAUUAAAGAAACCAUUAAAGAUCAAGUCAAAAGUGUUGCUCUACCUUCAUAUACAUACUUGAAGCCAUACAUUUGAAGGGCUUAUCAUUUGAAUAUGCCUGAACAUUAUCCACCUCCAAAAUUGCAAUAGUUUGAUGGUAAAGGAAAUCUAUGUAAACAUGUCGCUCACUUCGUGGAAACUUGUGAUUGCGUCGAUGUAACACCCCACUCGCGACCUAAUCGCUGGAUUCGAGAAGAGAGAUACCGAAAUCAUGUUGGAAAAAUCUAGUUUGAAAAUGGUUUUAUUUAUAGAGGAAAAUAAAAAUUUUGAAAACUGACUCGGUUUGUGAUAUUUAUGGCAAUAAAUGUUAAACUGAAAUCAUAAAUGUGCUUUUGAAUAAGCAAAUCCUUGAUGUUUUCUAGCUUUAAACCAAAUUAUCUUCUUCACUAUUCUCAUACCACAAAAUGCUUUGAAGUGUGGACUUGAACCAAUUGAAUCAAAACACAAAACUUGAAAAAGCUUUUUAUUCUUUUCGGGGUGAAACCUAAAAUUUUCUCUUAUUUAAUAGAAACCAGUAGAAAUGUUUAUUUUGGAAAAAUAUAUUUAAUAGUUAAGAAUAAAUUCUCCUUAUUUUUCAAUAGAGUAACAAUCUCUCAAAGUUGUAUAUAAAUCCCUACUGAUGCCAGAUAUUUUUAAGAAGAGAAGAUAGAACCCUUGUGGAAUUGUAGAAGCUUAUUUCAACUAGAAAAAUAACUUCCUACUUAGAGUAGGAGCAGGUUGGAUGGCAUCCCCUGUCGCCCCUUCGUUUUCCAUGAAGGGAUUUUGGAUCUCUCUCACAUUAGAUCCAACUAUGAGUGCUUUUCGAGCAUUUAGACUCAGUACUUUGUAAUUUGACCCAACUCAAUUCUAUUUUUUUAUUUCCCAAAAUAAACUUCAAUAUUUUAUAUUAAAUAAUUUUCUCAUCCAAAUUUUACCCUCAAUAGAAUUUUUGAGAAAAUAUAUUUAAUAUUUCACAAUUCAACUUGUUCAUUAUGAUCGAAUGAUUUAUUUUCAUUUUCUAGAUUUUAUAUAGCUGAAAAACAUAAACUCAUUCUCCUGAUCAUUUUUAAGUAUAUUCAUCUACAUUUGAAAAUGAAUCAUUUCUCAUUUUCGUUUCCAAAUGAUUUCAUUUCUCCAUUUCGAAGAAAUGUAUAAUCAUUCCUGAAUGUUUGUCAUUUCUUUAUUUCUAUUCAUUUCGAUUCAAACAUGCAAUUCAUUUAUGGUUUCAACGAGCUAGUGAAGGGACUAAUUGGACAUAUACAAUUAGGGCUCAAAUGAUUUAUAUUUGAAGUUUCAACUUUUCAUCUAUUAAUUAUAAACUCAUUUAGUCAUGAAGUCAUUCCACUAUAGUAUCAUGGCUGAGCUUGUGGUUCCCCAAACUUGGACGAGACAGUCUGACCCAAAAUUUGAAACUUACAUUAGCCACCAAAAUGAUUCUCUGUUAAAAUACUACAAAACAGACCAACCAACCAUGCAGGCCACACAUUUUCAACAUAAAUCAUAAUACAAUUAAUCCUAAUUGCAUGCCUUUCUAAACAUACCAUAAAAAAUGAAGAAAAAAAAUUCAUAUUUAGGUCACCUGUGAACCCACCCACUUAGAAACCUAGUAGCACGCAUCAACUUGGCGAGCACCAGCUGAAGACCUCCUCGCGACCCCCAGCUCAUUGCUAGCCCUACGAACCACUAGUUUGCUACUACCCUGUGAUCCCUAAAUAUUGGCAAACCUAGACACACAACUCCCCUUUUAUUUUAAUAGACUACUCAAGUCGUUGGCUCACUUGCGAACUCCUCUAUUUAGUGAACCUACCUAAUAAGGCAAACUCACUAUCCUGACGUACGCAUUAACUAUGGAGAACCUUCUAUUGCUUGGCGUACUCCCUCCUAAUGGCAAACACUAGGUUAUAUAGGGCUAGUCUAUACUAGCGGACUCCCUAUACUUUGGCGAACACUCUAUUAGGGAACUUAUGGUUUUUGGUGAACACACUUUUGUUUGGCGAAACCUACCUUUGGUGAACUCACCCCUAUUGUUGAACACUGUGUUAUGGUAAGGUCCUAUUCCCUUAUGACCCCUGUCUCACACUAUGCUAGGUUGGCUCGUAAGUAUUCUUUCAAUGCGUUAUUACUUCUAUAACAUGCAUUCUAUGUUAUCACUUUAUCUCAACCAAAAAAUUGGUUCAAGGGCGUACCUCAAAAUUCGGCGAACUCCUUGUUUUACAUAAGUAUGUUAGUUCAUCAAUUUACCUAGCAAAAUCAUGUAUUAUAAUCCAAACAAUCAAGCAUUCAAUCAAGCACUUAUAAAGUCUAAAAAUCCAAAAUUUAAAUAGUUCGUAAUAUCUGUUUACAACUUGUCAAAGUUUAUUUAAAAAUUCUAGGUCUACAUCUGAUUCCUUAGGAUAGUCCCACAUUGCCUUCAACUAUAGGGUUUGUAAAAACAAAUCACGUACUCGAAUGGAUUUGCCUUAUGUUGCAUCACUAGAUUGCCAUGCUUCACAACUAGUCACGUGAACUACUUAUCUGCAAGAUAUAUGCAAGGAGUGUGAGCUUAUUGAAGCUCAGAGAAUGCUUAAGCACACAACACAUAAAACACAUCAGUCAUGCUAAAAUUUAGACAUGUUGUAACAAUUCACAUAAAAUAUAAUAAUCAUGCUCGUCAUAGUAAAAUAAUGGCAAUUUGUGAAUAUGAAACAUAAUCAUAUUAUAUAUGCAUUGGAUAAGUAGAUCUUUAGAAUACUCCAAAUGACAUAGAGAGUCAUGCGCUAUCUUUGAUAAGUGUAGUAUGAAUGCUCACACUCUCCAAACACUCCAUACUAUCCUCAAAAUUGGAGCUAAGCUCGACAUUCCCUUAUCUCUCCAAUGCUAUCUUCAGGCCAUAAUGCCCCAUCAUAUAGUAAAAAUGGUGAGUACUCACAAUCCUAUGACAUGCCAAUGAUAUCUAACGGUUUCAAGUGUUCACAAUGCCAACAUAUGAUUUUUAUUUCAUUCACUUUACACAAUUUAAAAGGCCCACAAUAUAGUAGAUCUCACAUAUAAUAGUUCUUAAUAACACAACUCACAUUUUUGUAGGGCUCGCAUGAUACAUAAGUUCGUAAUAACAUAGAUUCGCAUAACACUUAUGGCUCACAUAUAUUUAGGGCUCGAAUGCAACAUUUGGGUUUCCAUAUAUUUAAACUAGCAUAAUACAGGGGCUCGCGUAACAUGUUUUGGCUUGCAUGUAAUAUAGGGCUUGAUCACAUAUAUAGGUUUGCAUGAUCUUAGGGUUCGCAUCACAUAUAUAAGUACGCAUGAUACAUGGGUUCACUCAACAUGUAUAUAUAAACUUGCACAUCAAAGUAUAGGCUCGCAUGCAUUAAGGUAAUAGAUUUUGCAAACAAUUUAGAGCUAGCACACAUCUUAGGCUUGCAUACAUACAUGUUAGCAAGGUCUGCAGGUCACAAAUCGGGGCUCGAAUAACUAUAGAGGCUUGCAUAGAAAUAUAACAGUGUUCGCAUAUCAUUUUAAUCAGCUUCACACAUUAAAUCAGAUAGUUUGUAUGCCUUACUUGGCUUUCAUUAGCAUGCGAACUCUUGUUUUUGACGUAGUGUGUAAGGACACUCACUAGUUGUUUGUUGAUACUGUCAAACCUAUACCACAUUUUGCUUGACUUUUUCCUUGCUUGUAGAUGCACCUUUAUAUUGAGAGGCUUUGCAUAAAACAAGAAAAUAUACAGAUUGCUACUUUCACAAACAUAUUAACCUUCUUAACUAACAUAGCAGCUCACCACUUCUAAAUUUACCGAACUCACCUCAUGUGACCUUAAACUUUUAGUUACUUUAUUUUAGUUCAAUUAAAUCCCCAAUUAUUACUUCCUAAUCUCAUAAGUAAGGUUUAAUUAUAGAUCUAGGCCAUUAAUUUUAGUCAAUUCUUAAAAUCAACAUUUUUCAAAAAAUCAUGCUCAUUUUCUAUCUCAAGAAGAAAAAUCACUUGAUUCAUGCAAUUCCUUUAAGGAUUUGUUAAAUCAAGUUUAUAAACCUCUUAAUUAUGCCAAAAUGAGUUAAAAAUUAUUUUAAAAUCAUGACUUAGCUCACUAUUAUGAGAUUCACCAUUUUUUUAUAUAAACCAAGCUUUAAAGCCAUAGAUCCAAUGAUUUCUCUUGAAACUUCAGGUGCAGUGCACUAACUAUGAAUAAUGUGGACUGAAUAUGUUUUUGGUACUCCAUGGAACUCCUCCUUCAACCACAAAAUCCCAACCCAAUUUAUAUGCAAUAUGUCACACAAUCUCAUACAUAAUCCUAUCUUAAUACUUUUCACAUUCAUUUGACAUGCUCAGCAUGUCCUCAAUAAUCACAUACUUUCAUACUUUUAGAAAAUGGAAACAGUGUUCCAAAGUUUCAAUUACCAUUGUGUUGGUAUCAAUCAAUAUCAUUCAAUUACACAUACUUUAUAGAUUUCCAUUGUGUUUAAAUAGCACCCUUUUCAAUACACAAUAUAAAAAAUAUCUCAUGCAUUUAAUCAUACAUAAGCUUUAUAUCUCAACACAUUAUAUCAUUCAGUCAAACAUUCUCAUAUCUUAUAAUUCAAAUAUGCAAUUACAAACUCAAUCAAACAUUCAUACUAUCAAACUAGCAAUUUUGCCAACAUGUUAAUCUUUUAAGGCUCAAAACAUAAUUGGUUCAGCCACUCACAAAAUCAAUAAUUUGGCUAUUAAGCCAAUCCAAUCAACAAGCUAAUUUAUCACAUAUAACAUGAUAUUUAACAUUUUCAAAAAAAAUUAUAAGUUUAGGACCCACGCAUUAUUUUUUGCUUCCUCGCAACAUACUAGCGAAUCUUCCAAUCUUCCUUAAUAAUUCCUUAAACGAACCUAAACCAAAAUGAAGCAUAAAUUCAAUCAAUUUACCAUUAAGCCAACCCCCAAACACCCACUUGUGAGUUCAAACUGAUCAUUGAAAUUAAAACUACUUUAUGAAUCCAAACUAGUUAGAUUCCUUAAACUGUAUCGAUGCAAAUCGUACGUACAAUCGUUCUUCACCUUUAUGGAUGAUUGGGGGUGUUUGGGUCAGCACCUAAUUCAAUAAUAUACUGGAAAAUCAGUAGUUAAUCAAUGAUUAACUUUCUUUAUUUAACCAAUUCAUAACCUUUACCCAACAACUAUGCCAAAAUAACAAACUAGUUUACAAUUAAUCGUACUUAUACUUCUCAAAUUAUAAGAUUCGAAUGGCUAAUUGAUCAAGAAUGUCUUUUGUAACAUCCCAAAAAUUAGGUUAGAAGAAAUGAGAUUUUGAAACCAAGAGUGGUCAUCCCUCGAUUAUGAGUUUAUAUCUUGGAAAAUUUGACAAGUAAAUUGAUCUGGCUUAAUGGUUAAUUGCUAUGGUUAUAUGUGUUAGGUUCUGGGUUCAAAUCUUGUUUUUGGAAAAUUUGUUACUUUUCUUAAACCCUUACCUUGAAUGUUUGGCUUUUAAGUUAAAUUUAGUCAAUUGAGGUCAAGAAUGAGCCUGUUGGUUUAAUGGUUAAGUUUCUGCAUAAUCCUUGGUCUUGUGUUCGAAUCUCAGCGAAAGCAACAGGGAAUGUUUUGUUUUUGAAUUUUUUAUAAGGUAGUUAGUUUCGAUUGGUUAUUUAAAGCCUUCUAGAAACCUCCGUUGCUUUUACUUUUAUUUUGUUCUUUCUUUUUCUACAAUGUUUUCUAUCAUUUUGUUUUCGAUCUUCAGUUUCCUCAUUUUGGUUUUUUAUUUUCAAGCAACCUUCUUUUUGUUAUGUUACGUUACACUAAUUGUGUAUAAGGUUUAACUUCUCCUUCUAGUUAAUUUGCUGGUUGGUAAGUUCAAUUUAAAGUUUUGGUGUCGAAAGUUCUUUAACAUAACUUCAAUUUUGGAAUGUUAGUUUCUAGUGGUUUGACUGCGAAUUAAUCGUUUGUUAGGGAAUUGCUUGUCGUUUAGGGACCUGAAUUUAUCCUUGUUACUCCUACAUCGAGUUCGUAUCAAGUGGGUAUCAAAAAUAUCUUCUUCUUCAAAUUUUAGUCGUCGAAGAAUAGGACUAUCAAUGCCACAUGGUCAUGCGCAAACUAUCUAGGUACAAUCUGUAUUCUAUUAAGUUUGUUGGUAUGCCUCUGCAUUACUCUAUUGAUAAAGAAUAUGUGACAUUUGAUUAUGUUAGAUUGGUUGUUACUGAUUCUAAUUUAUAACCCUCUGUUUUACUUUAUAGAUGUGGAAUACACAAUAUCUGAAAAUGUUAGACUAAUUGUUACUGAUUCUGAUUUAUUGUCGUGCAUGUGACUUCAUGGCAAAUAUGAUAUGAUCUGUUGAGGUUUGAUAGGUCUAUUUUCCAAAACAUGGACUCUCAUGUCUCCUAAUUCUGUUAUUGAAAGAUAUCAUAACUUACAUGCUCAUCACUCUGAUUCUGCAUAUGUAUGUCAUGACACGUUGCAUGGGAUUUGGGUUGAUGUGAAAGGUAAAAGUUACUGGCAGUUAAUGAUCCGCAUUAUCUGAGGUUUAUCCUCAAUUCUGUUUCGGCAGCUUAGUUGUACUAUAUUAACUUGACCACAUGUAACCGAUAUGGCAGUCUUAACUACAAAAUUCUAGUGGCACCAUCCACAGUUAUCUGUUGGUGUGAUUUGGCUAGACGAGUUCUGAGGGAACUCUAUUUUGGAUUGUAGUGGAGUUUUGGUAGGAUGUUUUCUGAUAAUUCUGCAUUCUGAUCUAUUUGAGAAAUACAACAUCUUCAUAACACAUUUUCUACUUUGCUCUAUUCUGUUCUAUUCUGUUCUGCUCUCUUCGGUUCUAUUCUAUUUGAUUUGUUAUGUUCUGCUUCAUUCUGUUGUGCUUGGUUCUAUUGUACUAUCGUUAUGGAAAUUUUCAUGAUAUUCUCGAUCUAUUCCAUACUAGCUAUAAAACUAUUAUUAAGUUCUUUGAGUUACUUUGAUUUAUAUAAUAAAAUCUAUUUAUUUGUAUCUAAGUUUGGUUAUACGCGACGCUUGGUAGUUCUCCCUUUGUCUUAUCUUAAUCUAUUUAGGUGGAUGUUUUACAUUGAUAUAACUAUGAUUUGAUCUUUUAGGUUGUAAUUUGUUUUUGGACUUGCAUUGCUUUUCUUUUGAUAAUCUCAUCAAUAUUUGUCAUUUUCUUACACAAAAAUAAAAAAACCACCUAAGUCGACUAAAAUGAAUUUCUGGUUUUCAAUGUUAAAAUUUUGAAAAGAAAUUAGUUUUCUACAUGUUGGUGUAGCUCGUCCAAAUUUGACUUAAACUUCUAGGUUGGGUUUGGGGUGUUGUAUCUUUCCAUAAUUAACAUGUGAUUAAUCUUUUAUUAGGAGGAUUCAAGAACUCAACUUAAUGAUGGAAAAAUAUAGGUAAGAACCAAGAAACAAAACAACCCCCUUUCUUGCACACAGGCGUACGCACCACCACCCAUGGUGGCCAAAAUUGGGGAAGAAUUUUAAAAUGGUUUGAAAUCUCAUUAAAAUCUAGAAAAAUACAAUUGAAUUCAUUUAAAAUCCCCCAAAUUCCAGAUCUAAAAAUUUUUCUUUUUAAUUGACAAAAUUAAUUAAGAAUUUGAAGAGAAAAGAGAUCUUCCCAAGCUAGUUAAAAGAAACGACAAUGACACUUUCUUGGCAAUGUUCAAGAUUGAUCUUGGGUUCAAGAUUUUAGAAUUGGGGAUGAUUUAGAUGAGAAAAAAUGGUAGGAAUAGAGUAAAGGAGAUGGUGUACAAUCUUGAUGCAAAAAGAAGAAGAAAGAGUUGGUAAAUGGGAGGUGUAGGCGACGACAACAAUAGGAGAAAGAAAGAAAAUUAAAGAGAAAAGUGGAGAGGAAGAUGGUGAACGGAUAGAGUAGGGAAAAUUUGAAUUAAAGGCUGAAAAAUACAAUAAAAAUUUCUAUUUAUACUUAGGGUUCAAGGGUAUGGAUCGCACAUACAUUUAAAAAAAUAAAGGAUUUUACGAAAUUUAAAAUUUCGUAAAGGAAAGGAUUCGAAAUUGGGACCUCAUUUAAUUUUCAUGUGUUCUCAUAUUUCUUUUAACCAUUAUGAUAUUUUCUCAUUCUUAAAAUCAUUUUACAAGAUUUAGUUUAAAAAUAAGGCAUGCCACAUUCUAGGGUUUAAGGCAAAAUUAGCAAAAUAAUAAAAAUAGUGAGAGAGAAGGGAUUUGAACUUGGGUUUCAUGGAAUGUUUGACUAACACUUAUCCAACAAACCAACACCUUAUUGAUUUCCUAAAAAUGCAUAGAUAAUCUCAAAAAUUAAGGCAUGACCACUCUUUCUCGAUUCACAAACCCGAUUAUGCUAAACCCUAAUUUUUGGAAUGUUACAAGGUAAGUUUGUAGUGUAACAAUAUAUAUGUGUGUGUUUUAGGGAUACGAUUGGCAUGCCAAUAGGGUUAGUAUGCAUGCUUGUACUGGAUCACACUUUGGUUCUUCUCUUUACACUUUGGUGCCUCUCUUUGCACUUCAGUGCCACUGUAUUUGCACUACAGUGCCUCUAUUAGCAUUUCGAUGUUUGGGGGAAACCCAAGUAUCGAAGUCAUUUUGCUGUAGUUCAACAUGCUGUGAAAUUUUAUGUUUAAAUGUUAAAUUACUCUUGAAUUUGAUUUAUAUACAAUGAUAUAUUUGUGUAUCUAUGUACAUAAGCAUUGAUUGCUUUGGUUUGAGCCAUUGUUUAUAUUGAAUCAUAUGAGAUGAAUGUUUUGAUUACUAUAGUUUGAGAAUAAAUAUUAAUUCCUUGGUGUAAUUAUAUGAUUCAUAUGUCUUUAAACAUGUUAUCUAAUUAUGUUUAUGGUGUGUUUAGAGAAUUAAAUUAUUAUAUGAGUAUUUUCCAGGUAUUCAAUGUUGUUUCAUUUGGUUUAAUGGGUAAAUAAAGCUUUAAAGGGUAUGUGAUUACACGAAAUGCACUACGAUAUUUGAGCAAUGAUAUGGAUCAUGAUGAAAUGUUUAAUUGAAAAGGAAAUAUGGUUUAGUAUAUAUAUAUGAGUGGUGAAUUAUGAAAGUGAAAUAUAGAUAUGUUAUAUACCAUGUUUUAUUCAAAUUAUAUAUGAUAUGUUACACCAACUAACCUUGUGAGGUGGUGGGUAUAGGAAAGGAAAGUUGGCUUAAAACAUAAUGAAAUUAUGCCUGCCUUUUUAACAUAAAAUAUUCAGUAAAUUAAGUUUCCUUUAUAUGAACUUACUCAACAUUAGUUGCUUGCAUAGUUAUUUUUCUUUAUUUUAUAGUUCAUCAGAAGCUCGACCGGUUGGAAUCAUGUCAAAGCACGAUCACACUAUCCAUUCAACAUUUUGAUAGCUUUUUUUAUUUUGGUAAAUGGUUAUAAAUGACAUGUAAUAGGGUUUAAAUGUCAUUCUAGUGAUUUGACUUGUUUUGAGUUGUGUCAAACUUCUUGUGAUUGAUGUUGUUAGUUGUUGGCAUGUAAAUAAUGGUGUAAAUAUGUGACAGCCCAAAAUUGACCCUAGUCGGGAAGUGGUUUCGGGACCGCUAAACCGAGUCACCGAAAGGUUUGAAUGUGAUGUUUAUUAUCUAGAAUAUGUAAUAAUGAAUGUGUGAAAAUUUCAAGCUUCGAUUUAGUCGAUUGCAUGCGAGUUUAGUCAAUAGGACUUAUAUGAGAAAAACUUUAAAAUGUGAUAGGUCAAUGCAUGAGGACCUAUUAGUGCAUGUGGAAGAAAAAGGGGACUUGCAUGUCAAAUUCCCCCUCCCUAAUAUGUAGUGGCCGGCCAUGCUAUGGGUGGAAACAUGUCACCAACAUGUUGUGUUAGUGAUGUAUGGUAAGGAAAAUAAAAUAUUAAGCAUGAUAAUUAAAAUAAAUUAAAGAAAGGAAUUAAACAAUGAAAAGGAAGGGUGAUGAAAAAAAUGGUCUCAUCCAUACCCCCCCCCCUUGUUGCCGUGAGUUGAGGAAAGAAAACAAAAAAAAAUGUGUGUUCAUUCUUGAACACCUUUGGCCGAAUAGAGGAAAGAAAGGAAGGGGAAGAGCUUGAGAAAAUCGGCUAUGGUGGUUUGCUAGACUAAGGUAUGUUUGAUGUUGUUCUUGAGAUGCAUGCAUGUUUUAGUAGUUGACUUGAGUUCUAAAAACCCAUGGUUCAAUUUUGUGGAUUGAUGAAGAUUUUGUGUUUUGCCAUUGAUGAGUGCUUGAGCUUUUUGAUAGUUGUUGAUGAAAAGUGAAAGAUAUGUUAAAGAUUAAUAUGUUUUGUGUUGAAGUUUUUGGUGAUUUUGAGUAGUUAGGGCUAUAUUACAAAAACAAAUUUUUGAAGGACUCAAAGGUGAAAUAAAUGAGAUGUAUGGACUUAUAUGGGCACUAGGAAGAUUCGGCCCUUAAGGAGUGUGACCAAACUUUGUGUAUUUUGUGUUUUGUGGAAUAAAGACUAAAUUGUGAAAGUGCGAAAUAUUAGGGGUAAAAAUGUAAUUUACCCAUUUAUGCGUUAUUAGACUAAAUUGAAUGAAAAUAUGUUAAAUUAAGGCUUGGCAAGCUAGCUAUUAAGGUGAAAUGCUAAUGUUAGUAUUUGAUUCGGUAAUAAUCUGUUUGGGGACAGCAGCAGUAAGGUGAUUUUGGAAAAUCGCCAUAAUUUGUAGGAGUUGAAUUAGAAGCUGAGUGAAUUAUGCCAUUAAAGCUUGAAGAGUCUAUUUUCUUACAAAAGAAACUAUGAAAACAAAAGAGUUACCGAUCUUGAGAUAUUUGAAGUAUUGUGGGGCUGAGUCAAAAUGACUACUAGAUUCCCUGUUCUGUUUUUAGAAAAUCAUUAUAAAUUGUACAAAAAUUAUUAUAAGAUAAAAUUUAUAUGCUUAGACUCCUUAAUGAGUCUAGUUUCAAAUGAGAUCAAAUACAACACAUUUUGAAUUCUGUAAAAUGAGAAAUUUGAUUCGUAGUGAAGAGUGGUCAGAAUAGUCAAACAGUGAAACAGGGGAAACUUUAAGAAAAAUCUGGUAUUGAUUGGCCAAGCCAAAAAUUCUGAAAAUUUUAUGGAUGGAAGAUAUAUGAGUCUAUAUUCAGGGAAAAUUAACAGCUAGUGAUUUGGAGUUUUGUAGCUCCAGUUAUAAACAAUUUAGCGACUACUGCUCAGGAAAACAGCUCGUAGUGAAUAUGUGAUUUUGUUGUAAACAUUAAUGAAAAUUUGCCAAUGAGUUAUUUAUUGACUAUUACAAAGCUUACUAUAAUCUAUGUGUGUGAAAGUCAAAUCAAUAUAUAUAUUAUUCUGAAAGUAAUACUUGAAUAGUCGAUUAAUGACUAUUUUAAGUUAUUGAUUUGGCUCAAGGAGUUAAAGGAGGUGAAUCGAGCAAAGGCAAAGAAAAGGUUAUCGAGUAGCCGAGUUGGAACCGUCUUACCCAACACGAGGUAAGUCAUUAAGCAUGUAGUUGGUAUUAUUUCAAUGGUCAUAAUGUUUAUGUAUUGAUGCUGAAUGGAAUGAAUAAAUAUACAUAUAUAUAUAUAUAUGUGCAUGUACGUAUGUGAUGAUGAGAUUGUUGAAUGAAAGAAAAGAGGUAAGAUGUACUGAGUUGUUGAUCUCGGCACUAAACGUGCGGGAUAACCAUUUAUGACCAUGAGAUUGGCGCUAAGUGCGCGGGAUUAAAUUGUACAGCACUAAGUGUGCGAUUUGACUAUGUUGCACUAAGUGUGCGAAAUGAAUAUGAUGCACUAAGUGUGCGAAUUGACCAUGCGGCACUAAGUGUGCGAGUUUGACUAUGUAGCACUAAGUGUGCGAUUUGAUUAUGUAGCACUAAGUGUGCGAGUUGAUUAUAUAGCACUGAGUGUGCGGACUCGAUAUACAUUCGUGAAUCAUUAUGGACACUAUGUGUGCGACACUAUUGAGUCGAUCGCGGACAGCGGAUCGGGUAAGUGUCUUGAGUACAUGGCUAAUAGGUGCUAUGCUUAUACUUGGUGUUGAGCUCGGUAAGUUUGAACCUAUGUGACAAAUAUACUUGAAGUCACGUACAUAAAAUUUAUCGUAGGAUUGGUGAAAGGCCGUUUAGUCGUUUGAUUGUAACGAAAAUAAAUUGAUUUAUGAAAAUGCUUCAAUGUCCUAUUGAUGAGUAUAUGGAAUGUGAAUGCAUGAAUUGAUAUGAAAUUGAAUUGAUAGGUUGGAGGAACUAUGGUAUGGUUCGGAAUGGAUGGAGUAAUUAGCCUCGUUCCAUUUUGUUUUCUCUUGUGAUAAUGUUAUUGAUGGAUGGUAGUGCAUAGCUUAUGACUUACUGAGUUAUAAACUCACUCGGUGUUUCCUUGUCACCCAUUAUAGGUUGCUUGGACUCAUCUAUUUUUUUGCGUGGUCGGGCCGUCAUCGAAGUCAUCACACCGGAUAGCAAGUUUUGGUACUUUCUUCUUAGUUGGCUUAGAAGAACAUUUUGGCAUGUAUAAGCUAUUACGUUGUGUUUGAACUUUGGCAUGUAAACUUUAAGCCAUGUGAAAAUGGCACGAAUGUUCGAUUGAGUUGGAUCAAGGGUAGGCAUGAAAUGGACCUAGUUACUUUCGUAACAGAUGCUGGCAGCAGCAGUGUCAUGAGAUUGAAAAAUCAUUAAAAAUAGUAGGAGUGGAAUUAAUUGAUGAAUAAAUUAUGUAAUCGAAGCUCGAUGAGUCUGUUUUCAUGAGGAAGUAACGAAAAGAUCAUAUGGGCAGUAUAUUAAGAGAUAAUCAGAUUUUUGUGGGACAGGGCCAGAACGGUUUCUGGAUUCCCUUCUCCGACUUUGGAAAUUCAUUACAAAUUAACCAGAGAUAAUUAGGGGUCGUACCAUAUAUGUACAGAUUCCUCUCUGAGUCUAGUUUUCAUAGAAAUAAACGGCAUCAGUAUUGGAGCCCCGUGCAGGGAGAUAUCCAAGUCGGAAUGGGAAAAGGUCAGUGUAGUCGACCCCUGCAACUGGGGAGACUUUGACUAAUAAACUGUACUAAUUGGCCCGACCAAAAAUUCUAGAAAAAAAUACAUAGAUGGGCACAUGAGUCUAGUUUCUGGGAAAAAUUACGAAACUGAUUUUCGAGUUAGGAAACUCAAGAUAUGAUUUUUAAAACGACUAGUACACGGAUUGGGCAGUGUCUGGAAAAUAAAUUUUGUAAGGGGUUAAAGCCAGUUAACACCUCGUGUUCGACUCCGGUGUCGGUUUCGGGUUCGGGGUGUUACAAAAUAUGUGUGGUUGGACCCUUAUGCAUGCUUUAUUGAUUAAAGAUAUCAUAUGGUAAAAUGGCAUGUUUUUGGAAUGGUUAUUUGGCAUGAUUAAAAUAGGUUUAAGUUUUGAUCUUGAGACGUUGAAUUGAAUUAAGUUUAAGAUGUAUAUUGUGAUACCUUCAUUGGCAUAUUUGUUAGAUAUUAAAGGAUGGUUGAUUUGGUAUGUUUUUGAAAUGGUUGUUGGUAUGUUUGAUCUAAGUUGAUUAAAUGAACUUGUAAUGUUCAACGGUAUAAUACUUGUUGGUACAUUAGUUAGUCUUAUAGGUUGAUGGAAUUGGUAUGUUUUAAAUGUGUUUAAAAUAUGUUUUGGUUAUUUCAAUGUUUGUGGAAAUGGUGUGUCUUGGUGUACAAGAUUUGUAAUUGAAAUGGCUCUAUUUAGAAGCAACUUCUGCUGCACACUACCUGGGACACGAGUUGUCACAUGGUUGUGCAUCAUUAAUGUUUUAGGUGCAGGUUUCACACAAUCUAAGACUCGGCUCACGACACGGUCUGGGCUAUGUCACACAGCUUGGCCGCAUGGCCAUGUGACCCUUGUUUUCAAGUUUUCAAAAUUUUCUAUUUUAUUUCAAAUUGAUCAUAGAAUAUUCUCAAACUAUUUUUAAGGCCCCGUAGGUUCGGAUUAUGGCCCGUAAGUGUAUGUUUGCUAUAAUUAAGUUGUGUUAUUGAAUGUUAUUAAUUAAAUCACAUGAAUAUUUUAUUGUAAGUUAAAUGUUUUAAUUUGUACCAUAAUGCUUUGUAACCCUAAUCUGGCGAUGAAGACUAGUUUGGGGUGUUAUAAUUUUGGACUGUAAAUUUGUUUUGGGGGCUUUGUUCUUUGGUUAUUGCGAUGUUGGUUAGAUUUUGGUGUUUUAACAUUAAACUGCAAAAUUGUAUGAUUUAACAAACUAAAAAUUAGUUUUUCAAAAUUAAAACUCUUGAAAUUUCAGUUGCAAAGAUUAAGUAAUCACUUCAGUGUUUUUCCAUAAAUAAUUAAAUUUUUUUUAACAAAUGUUUUCCUUAGUUUGGGAAAUGAUUUGCCAACAUAUGUACUUUUAAAACACAUGAUUUCAAAUUCAAAUUCUCAAUUUUAAAUAAGGGUUUUCAAACUUUAGUUUUUUUUAACAGUUGUGAGAGGUUUUUGCCAAAUUUUAUGUUUUCAGAACAUAUUAGUAAGUUGAUUUUUAAUUUGUUUUUUAAACGAGUCGAUGUAAUUCCUCAAAAAUCCAUUCAUAGCGUCUUAGUCUAGAUCUAAACAUUAAUAUUCUCUUCCAAGAAAAAUCAAGAUUAUCAAAUUGUUACAACUUGGUAGGUAGACAAUCAUAUUAAAUAAGCAUAAAACUUAAUAAAUAAUUAGCGAAGAUUGAAACAAUCAAAGAAAAAAUAAAUUAAUUAACUAAGAAAUAGGAUCCAUUAUUGUUUCAAGAAAACAGAGUUUAGUUCAUAUUGAGUUGAGAAAUCCAAAAGGGAGAUUCAAAACAAACUUGUGAAAAGGGGAACAAUGUCAAUAGAUCGUAUUCAAGUUGUUCAACUCGAGAAGGAAAGAUUCAGAUCUAACCUAAAAAGAAGAAACCAAACAGAUUUAGAAAAACAAGAAAAACAAAGAAAAUAACUAAAAUGAGAAAUUUAAGAGUAAUUAAUAAAUAUUAAAACUAAUAAAGAAAUAAAGAAAUUAUAGAAUAAAUAGUGGAAGAUGGAAUGAAUAAACGAUGGAUAUGACAUAUAGAUGGAUAAGUGUCUGAUAAUUCUUGAAAAGAGUUAUUUUUCAUGCCUUUAGACCUAACUUGUAAUGCCCCAAAAAUCCCUUAUAUAUUUAUUUUCGUAAGUUUGUAACAGAAAUAUCUGUUAGCUUUAGUGGUUAUAUGCUUUGGGAGUGUUUAGGAGGUCCCAAGUUGAAACCUUAGCUUGGGCAAUUUUUUUUUGUUUUAAAUGAAUAAAACUCUAUCUUUGAUUAGUAGGCUUAUAAAUAGAUGUUGGUAAAAAAUGUCAGAAUGGUUUUACUGGUUUAGUGGUUAAGUGGGGUGUAAAUAUGCAGGAGCUCUUAUGUUCGAAUCUUUGUGCGAUCAAGAGCAUUUAUUUUAUUACUUGUGUCGUGUAGGUAUUUUGGUCCAGCCAAAAUACUGAAGAGGUUGACUAAGGGUUGGUUUCGGUUGUUGAGAGGUUUAUGGUGGGUUAGUAGAGAGGAUUUUAAGGAGAAAUUUUAGAGAUAUGAAGAGAGAGUUAGUGCCGAAUUGAAUUUCUUUUGCUUUCUCAAAUUUCAGCUGGGGUUUGAUUUUUCUUUUCAAUUUGUUUCUAUUGACUGUUUUCCAUUCUAGAGGGUCAAAUAUUGCUGAGGGUUCCUACUAGUUUCUUUUUUUUCUUUUUCUCUCUUCUCUCUUUCGACUUUGUUCUUCCCAACUGCAAAAGUGCUCUUCCCUAAACUGUUACUACCGUCUACUUUCUCUUUUCCUCCCUUGCUUUUUUUAUUGUCGAAUUUUGGGUUCUUUAUGCAUUUAAUUCUAAUGUCAAUUUAUCACUUCUCUACCAAAAGAUUAUUAUUUUCUCUCAUUGAUUUUCGUUUGGUUCAUCCUUGCUACCAGAAGUGUGGUUGCCCUUCUUUCUUGGUUUCGUUUGUCAUCAUCUGCUACAUGUUCUUUAACACUCUUUUGGUAAGUGUUCGUUUCUUCACCGCUCAGUUACUUGAAGUUAGUUUUUAAAUGGUUGUGUAUUGUUUUGAAUAAGAAUCUGAUAAAUCGUGUGUUCCAACCCUAUUUAGAUCAGUUCAUGGUGGUGUUUAUUGAUGAUAUACUGGUGUAUUCGAGAACUAAGGAUGAGCACGAUGAACACCUCAGAGUGGUUCUACAGAUUCUACGAGAAAAAGAACUGUACGCCAAGUUUAGUAAAUGUGAGUUCUAGUUAAGUGAAGUAACGUUUCUGGGACAUGUGGUUUCUACUGAGGGGAUUAGAGUUGAUCAUCGAAAGAUUGAGGCUGUCUUGGAUUGGAAGCAGCCUAAGACUGUAUAUGAGAUCUACAGUUUUCUCAGAUUGGCAGGGUAUCGACAAUUUGUGUAAAGGGUUUUCUCUAAUUGCCGUACCCUUGACUAAGCUGCUACGUAAAGGCUUACCGUUUAACUGGACUGAUUCAUAAUAAGAGAGCUUUGAGAAGCUCAAGACUGUACUGACUGAGGCCCCUGUUCUAAUAUAGCCAGAGUCUGGAAAAGAGUUUACUAUUUACACUGAUGCAUCACAUGUCUGUUUAGGAUGUGUGUUGAUGUAAGAAGGUAAGGUGGUAGUGUACACGUCUCAUCAGCUUAAGAAUCAUGAGGUGAAUUAUCUUACGCAUGACUUGGAGUUGAAGUGAUUGAGUAUAAUAACAUUUAACAUAUUAGAGCCAAUUGGUUGUCCAUAAACAUAAAAAGGUGACCUUAAUGAGAUACGCCAUAGACUCAAAAGUGUAUCAUUUACACUGAUCACAAGAGCCUCAACUACCUCCUCACUCAUAAGGAGCUGAAUCUUAGGCAACAUAGAUGGAUUGAGAUGCUUAAGGACUACGACUGUACUAUUGAAUACCACCCUGGUGAGGCUAAUGUGGUGGCUGACGCACUAAGCCGUAAAACUAUGACUGAACUGAGGGUGAUGUUUUCUCGCCUUAUUUUAUUUGAUAAUGGUAGUCUGUUGGCCAAACUUCAGGUUAAACCGAUUUGGAUAGAGUAGAUUAAGUGUAUACAAGUAGAGAAUGAGUUGUUGGGUCUUCGUUUUUGACAGGUUGAGAGUGGGAAUACCAAGGAUUUUAGACUGAAUAGUGAAGGGGUGCUCUAUAUCUGUGGGAGAAUCUAUGUAAAGACCUUCGUGAGUUAUACUAGUGGCCAGGUCUUAAAUGAGAAUUUACUAAAUUUUUGGCUAAGUGUCUGACAUGCUAGCAGGUUAAGGCUGAACAGCAGUUACCUUCGGGAUUGUUGCAGCCAGUCAAGAUUUCAGUUUGGAAGUGGGAGCAUGUAACUAUGGAUUUCAUUAGUGGGUUACCCCUCACACCCACUAAAAAGGAUUCGAUGUAGGUCAUCGUGGAUUGAUUGACCAAAUCCGCCCACUUCAUACCAAUUUGUACUGAUUACUCUCUGUAGAAGCUGGCUAAAUUGUAUGUGUCUGAAAUAGUGAGAUUACAUGGGGUACCGAUUUUAAUAAUAUCUUAUAGGGAUCCUCAUUUCACAUCUCGGUUCUGGAAGAAGCUAUAUGAAGCUUUGGGUACAAGAUUGGAGUUUAGUACUGCGUUUUAUCCUCAGACUGACGGUCAGUCAGAGAGGGUGAUUCAGAUACUAGAGGAUAUGUUGAGAAGUUGUGUGAUUGACUUUCGAGGUAGUUAGGAGGAUUACUUACCGCUAGUAGAAUUUGCAUAUAACAACAACUAUCAGUCUAGCAUUCAAAUGACACCCUAUGAGGCAUUAUAUGGUCGUAGGUGUCGCACACCUUCAUGUUAGACUGAGUUAGGCGAGCAGCGUAUUUUGGGGCCUGAACCAGUUUCUGAUACAGAGGAUAAAGUUAGACUAAUUCAGGACCAACUGAAAGCGAUAUCUAAUAGGCAUAAGUCCUACACCGAUCUAAAGAGUCGAGGGAUUGAGUAUUCUGUGGGGGACUUCAUUUUUCUCAAGGUCUCACCAUGGAAGAAGGUAUUAAGGUUUGGUCGUAAGGGCAAGUUGAGCCCUAGUUUAUUGGGCCCUAUCGCAUACUAAAACGUGUGAGAUGAGUUGCCUACCAGUUGGAGUUACCUCUAGAGUUAGAUCGGAUUUAUGACGUGUUCCAUGUCUCUAUGUUGAGGUUACCGCUCUAAUCCUACGCAUAUUAUUCCUAUUAAGGAAAUCAAGGUUAGGCUAGAUCUAACCUUUGAGGAGGAGUCAAUUCAGAUAUUGGAGUGAGAUAUAAAGGUUCUAAGAAGAAAAUUCAUCCCACUAGUUAAGGUUAUUUGGCGUAACCAUAGCACUGAGGAGGCCAUAUGGGAGUCUAAGGAUGUAAUGCUUUAGCAGUAUCCUCACCUAUUCUGAUCAGGUAAAUUUUCAAGGCCAAAAUUUUCUUUUAGGGGGUAGAGUUGUAGCGCCCCAAAAAUCCCUUAUAUAUUUAUUUUCGUAUUUUUUAUACAAAUAUCUGUCAGCUUUAGAGGCUAUGUGCUCUGGUAGUGUUUGGGAGGUCCCAAGUUCAAGCCUUAGCUUGGGCAAUUUUUUAGUUUUAAAUGAAUAAAAUCAUAUCUUUGAUCAAUAGGCUUAUAAAUAGAUGUUGGUAAAAUAUGUCAGAAUGGGCAUGCUGGUCUAGUGGUUAAGUGGGGUGCAAAUAUGCUGCAGGUCUUGUGCUUGAAUCUCUAUGUAUAGAGCAUGUUGUUAAACUGUACUACAUGCAUAUAUGAUACCAUGAUAUGACAUGACAUGAUUGUGUGGUGCAUGGCAUGGGGAUAGGUUAUUAUUGAUCGAAGGAAGUGUACUGGAAGGCUUUGAGCCUAACUUACUGGCAGCUCAGCUGCAUAUUACUGUAUAGUGUCGCCAUUGGUACUACUUAGAGUGUAGGGAUGGGUGGGUUGAUUAUAUCCCCACAUGAAGUGUAGGGUUGGUCGGAGUUGGUGUGUAGAGGUUGGCUAGGUAGGACUUGUAUACUGCAUAAUCUGUUAAUGUACUGAUUGCUAAUAUUGUAAUGGGCCAAGGCCCAAAUGCAUGAUUACUUUUGUACUAAGAUGGGCUAAAGCCCAAACCAAUACUGUCACUGAUACUGGAAAGGGCUUAGGCCGGACUGAGUUUAUUCUGUUUUCUGUCUGAUUAUUUUGUGUACUGUCUAUUUGUUUGCACUAGGAAUAUCACACUGAGUUUUGAAAACUCACCCUUUCUGUUAAUCUGUGUAGGUAAUCCCCAGUCGUAGGUAGAUCGGUGUGGCGGAGGAUUCAGCGGUGGCCACACGACUCCUUUUUAUUGUUUCGUAUCUAAUGAUAUUUAUUUUUAAGUCUUUAUUUGGGGUUUUUAUCUGUAAUAAUUGCUGCUAUGGAUUUUUUAUUUAAAUUUGGAUUUAACACUACUUCAUGUUUACAUCUGCUAGAGGUAGAUAUAGCACGGAUUUUUGAAAAGAAAUGCAUGUGUUUUAGCAAAAUACCCCAAUGUCACAAACUGUUUUAAAAAGCUUCCGCAACGUAUAAUGAUUUGCAAACUAACAAUUGAAUAAAAAUCACUAUUUUGGGAUUAACAAAAGAUAACGACGACCUCUAAUCGAAAAAUGUUUUAAGCAAAGUUACCAUUUUUCAACAUGAGCUUCGGUUUUGAAAAAUACCACCAUGUGACAUCGCCAAAUUCGCCCGUAACAUCCAGGCUGGGUUUGGGGUGUUAGAUAACUAAUUGCUUGAACUUAAGUACAUUUUGUUGCAUUUUAAGACAUUUUAGUUAGCAUUUCUAAUAUUGCAUUAGGACUUAGAUUGUGUUGGACUUAUGUGUUUUUAAUAUGGUGGAGUUUUUUUGUGUGUUGGUAUGGCAAGAACAUAUUUUAGAACGAGGAAAUAAAUGAGUGAAGUUUUGUCAGGGAAAAAGUGCAGACAGUUUGCCAGCACGGAUGCCGUGACAAUGCCAGGAAGACCAAGUAAACAUUUUUUUGCGCAACAGUCUCAAUUGAAAUUAAAACUUGUACCAGAUAAAUCUUCAAAAAAGAGGAGAAGAUAAUCACAAGUUGUUACUUGACACUAGCCUAAUCUACCUAUAAAAGCCAAUAAAGGGGAUCUCACAAAUGGCAGAAAAAAGUGGGAGGGAUCCUUAGGUGUGAAUAAGGUUUUAGUUGCGCAAAGGAAAGGAAGUCGAAGGCAGUGCUUUUUAGCCAUCACAGGAUGUUGUGCUACCGAAGUGUAAACUAGGCAAGUGAAAGUUGUUUCCCAAAGUUCUUUCGUUAUUUCCAUCAGCGUUCCUUCAAAAUAUUGAAGUAGUUGAACACAAUGUCAGAUAAUAUUUUGCUUUUGAAUUUUAUUUCUCAGCCCAUGAGCUAAAUCUCGUAGGGUUGGGAUUACUUUUGAUGAAACCUUAAACUAUUUUUAUGGAUGCAGUAUAUAUCUAAUUUACUUUACUGUUUCAUUUGAUUGUUCUUAUUUCUUAAUUAAAAUGCAAAUGAUUUCUAAACAUAGAAGACUGUUCGCAUACUUAUAAACUCAUUCUAAUUCUGAAAGGGUUGGAUUGGUUGGAUUAAAAUUAAAUGAAAUGAGCAAGUAUUCGAUGGACACUUGUAGUAGACUCUAUACAUAGAGUGACGAUCAUACAGAAGGAACCCAUGCAAGGUAUCUAAAAAGUCUUUAGACAUAGGCAAGGUAACUUGAUGUUUUCCUCUCAUGAGAGGAGAGCCAUUUUAGUACUCUUCUGUGCUUUAUAGUAGAUACGAUUUUCCCAAGGCAUUAUUGACAAUAAGGGUCAAUAUUCGGUAAUCCUGACCUUCGAAAUCCACAUCGUAUAUCCUUUAUUCUUUUCCACAUCAUUAUUAGUUAUUUAUUUGUUCAUUUACAUAAUAUUCCCAUAGUAAUUCUCAUCAUUGUCAUUACAUUUCUACUCUUGGUUUGACACAACAUUACCACUUAUUUAUUAAUUCUAUGUAUUGCUUACAUCAUUACUCUACUAAUUGCCACUGUAUAUUCAUCAUUGACUCUCCCAUAGCAUUAAUCGUAUUUUAUUAUAAUAAUUUGACCAAUUGUGUGCCUCAAUCCGAUCUUUAUGGGAACGAUACACACUCAUCACUUUAUUACGUGAUUCAACUGUAUACUUGCACAAAUCGCAUAUCAUUUCACACACGAUAGUGUUCAAUUGAACCCUUUGAGAUAUAAACCUAGACAAACUCAAUUAAUGGCUUUAAUUAACCCACCAAGAAAUAAUGAUUGGCAAAUUGAACGAUGAAGAAUGAAUUCCCAUGACUCCUUAAAAAAUUGAGAAGAAAAAUACUUCUAAAAAUCACAAGAAACAAAUCUUGGACAAAGAAACUAACUUUCAGAGUUGGAAAUUUUAGUAAUAAACAAAAACAAUUGCAUCUCUAAUGAACAUGAAGGGCCUUUACAUAGGCUAGAUAAGUACAUCCAGAUAAAAUAUUCAAGUAUCUUGAAACUUUAAUUAAUAUAAGUAAUAAGUAAUUUUAAACUAAAAUAGUCAUAAUUUUCGUCAUAAUCCCGUCCAAAAAUUCUGCUCACAUAAUCAUCAUUAAAAUAGUCAUAAUUUAAGCUCUUGAACUCAAAAUUGAGUGAAUAAAAGUGUGUUUCGAAGUUAAGUGCUAGAUCUUAGAACUUUAUGAAGACAUAUCAAUCGAAAAUUGUCCGGAUCCCAUCCAAAGAGUCACAGCAAGUUAACUAAUUUUUCAAACUUGAAAAUUGGCAACUUCGGGGAAUGGAAUUUAAUACAGUUCACCCCAUCUAUUCAUGUAUCAACUCGCAUUGGUAAAAAGUAAAAAGAAAUAAUCUAUAGAGAAAAUAGUUGAAGAAUUUAUGAAAAUUUAUUCAAAUCUCUUUUUUUUCUAGUCUUUGCAAGCUUGAAUUUUCCCUUGGUGUGUGAGAGUUGUUCCUUACCCUCUAAGUGAUUUUUUUUCUUUUUCUUUCUCUUCGAUCUCGUCACCUAAGGGUGUUCAAACAAUUGAUUCAGUUAGUACCCGUGCAAAACUAUCAUUAACUGAAAUUUUGAAACCCUUAAUCAUUAAUCAAACCAUUUUCUUUUUUGAAACCUACUAACCAGCUUGAUUGAUUUGGGUUAAUUUGAGUGGUUAACCAAAAUUUAAACAUUGUUUGUUUUUGUUCAAACAAUUUUAAAACAAAGAACAAUCCAUGACAAUUUUUCCUUGUUUUUUAUUCAAAAAAAUUAAAAGAAUUAAAAAAAUAACAUAAUAACAACACUAAAUUAAAAACAUAAUAGCAUUCAUUACAUUACAAAGCAUAUAUAUAUAUUUACUUUUUCUUGACUUUUUAGUUUAAUUUUCGUUUUAUUUUCCUAAUAUUUUUAGUUUUCAUAUUUUUGUUAAGCUUAUUAUAAGAACACUUAUAAAUCCAUUAGUUCUUAUAUAUUGGGUUUGUAUAAUGUAUUCGACCUAUCUCUAAUAUAUUGGGCCUAUAAUAUAUUUUUAUUGAUUUCGGUUAAUCAAUUCAUUCGAUUAAUUAGUCGAUUUCAAACUAAAAUAAUUGGUAAACAAAAUCUUCAAAAACCUUUAACCAACUCCAACCAAAUUAGAUUCAUUGAUCAACUUCUUAAUCAAAUUAAUUAGGUUUGAUAAAUUAAUUCGUUAAAACUGAAAAAUGCACACCCCUAUCAUCACCGUUGUUUUUAGGGAUUUUAAUCAUGUUGCUCCACCUGAUGCAGAAGUUGAGGUGGAAUGAACUACUUGCUACCAAAAUUUUUGAAUUAUAGAGCAUGCUCUACCGCAGUGAAUCAAAUUCGGUGGAGUGGAAGACUUUUCUUUACUACUUUAUGCUCUAUGCUCCAAGUCUUCUAUUCUUCUUCUGAGACCUAAAAUGGGAAAAAAAAAGAAGAAACAAGUCUAAACUAACUUUGAAAAUUAGAAAUUCUCAACAAAAUUGAAAUAAAAUAUAAUUAAUCCAUAAAAACUAUAAAAAAUACAAUAAAAACGAACCUAAAUACUAAAAUUACCUCCUAAAAAGCUAUGGAAACUAUACUAAAAUAAUUCUAAAUAUGAUAGUUAUCAAAAAUGACAUGAGGAAGCCAAUCGAGUAGAUGCUUUCAACUAUUGCAAAUACCAUUAGUCGAUUAGCCAUCAUCUUGAGAACAUCAUAGAGUUGAAAGAAAAAAUCAUACAACUCCAUAAAGAAGAAAAAAUCAUUUUUGAAAAAGAAUUGGCAUUAUCAAACUUGACAUCAAUGCUUUGGUUUCUCAAUACAAUAUUAUGGACAAAUUCAUCAAAUUUGGCUCUUUCAAUCCUAUUACACUAGCUCUAAGUAGAAGUAAGAUGGUGAGUUUCGAAGGGAUUGAGGGCAAUCAUCUAUUUUUGGAAUAUCAGAAUGGUCAUGAUUGGACUCUAGCCACAUGUCAAAGAAGCCAAUGAAAAGCAUCUCUCCUAGGUAUAAGCUUAUAUUAUCACAUUGCUCCUAAGCAUGAGCAUAAAUCGUUCAUCCAGAAUGAUGAUGAUCCUAAGCAUAAGCUUAAACUAUUCAUCUAAUGCUCCUAAGAUGGAGCUUAAUCUAUUCAACCUAAACGAUCAUGCUUUAAGCACAAUCUUAAACUAUUCACAAAAAAUAAAUGAUGAUCCAAUGAAGCAUGAGCUUAAACUAUUCAUACAAAAUAAGCGAUGACCUUCUAAGCAUGAAUUUAAAUUGUUCAUACAUAAUAAAUGAUGAUAUUACUAAGAACAAGCUUAAACUGUAGUCUAAAAAAUAUUGAACUAUAUUAUAACUUGAUCUUUUAAAAAUGAAGGUACGUAGAUAGCUUGGUUUCAUUGCCAAGUUCAGUCUAAUUAAAUAUGUUUAUGGUGUGUUUAGAGAAUUAAAUGAUUAUAUGAUUAUUUUCCAGGUAUUCGAGGUUGUUUCAUUUGGUUUAAUGGGUAAAUAAAGCUUUAAGGGGUAUGUGAUUACAUGAAAUGAACUAUCAUAUUUGAGUAAUGAUAUGGAUGAUGAUGAAAUGUUUAAUUGAAAAGGAAAUAUGGUUUAGUAUAUAUGUAUGAGUGGUGAAUUAUGAAAGUGAAAUGUAGAUAUGUUUUAUACCAUGUUUUGAUUCGAAUUAUAUAUGAUAUUUAAACCAACUAACCUUGUGAGGUGGUGUGUAUAGGAAAGGAAAGUUGGCUUAAAACAUAAUGAAAUUAUGCUUGGUUUUUUAACUUAAAAUAUUCAAUAAGUUAAGUUUCCUUUAUAUGAACUUACUAAACAUUAGUUGCUUACAUAGUUAUUUUUCUUUAUUUUGUAGUUCAUCAGAAGCUCGACCGAUUGGAAUCAUGUUAGAGCAUGAUCACACUAUCCAUUCAACAUUUUAAUAGUUCUUCGUUAUUUUGGUAAAUAGUUGUAAAUGACAUGUAAUGGGGUUUAACGGUCAUUCCAGUAAUUUGACUUGUUUUGAGUUGUGUCAAGCUUAUUGUGAUUAAUGUUGUUAGUUGCUGGCAUGUAAAUAAUGGUGUAAAUAUGUGUGAUCGGACCCUUAUGCAUGCUUUAUUGAUUAAAGAUAUCAUAUGUUAAAAUGGCAUGUUUUUGGAAUGGUUAUUUGGCAUGAUUGGUAUUUAUGAUCUUGAGAUGUUGAAUUGAAUUAAGUUUGAUAUGUAUAUUGUGAUACCUUCAUUGACAUAUUGGUUAGAUAUUAAAGGAUGGUUGAUUUGGUAUGUUUUUGAAAUGGUUGUUGGUAUGUUUUCUCUAAGUUAAUUAAAUGAAUUUGUAAUGUUGAAUGGUAUAAUAUUUGUUGGUACAUUAGUUAGUCUUAUAGGUUGAUGGAAUUGGUAUGUUUUAAAUGUGUUUUGGUUAUUUCAAUGUUUGUGGAAAUGGUGUGUCUUGGUGUACAAGAUUUGAAAUUGAAACGGCUUGAUUUAGAAGCAACUUAUGCUACACACCGCCUGGGACAUGGAUUGUCACAUGGCUGUGUCAUUAUUAUUUUAGGUAUAGGUUUCACACAAUCUAAGACUCAGCUCACGACACAGCUGUGUAUCACAAGUCAGUAUGUAACACGGUUUUGUACAUGGCCUGCGACACGAUCGUGUGUCCAGACUUCGAAUGUCCACAUGGUCUAGGCUAUGUCACAUGGCUUGGCCACAUGGCCGUGUGACUUUUGUUUUCAAGUUUUCCAAAAUUUUCUAUUUUAUUUCAAAUUGAUCCUAGAAUAUUCUCAAACUAUUUUUAAGGCCCCGUAGGUUCGGAUUAAGGCCCGUAAGUGUAUGUUUGCUAUAAUUAAGUUGUGUUAUUGAAUGUUAUUAAUUCAAACACAUGAAUACUUUGUUGUAAGUUAAAUGUUUUAAUUUGUACUAUAAUGCUUCGUAACCCUAAUCUGGCGAUGGAAACAAGUUUGGCGUGUUACAAUUUUGUAUUGUAAAUUUGUUUUGGGGCUUUGUUCUUUGGUUCUUGUGAUGUUGGUUGGAUUUUGGUGUUUUAACAUUAAACUGCAAAAUUGUAGGAUUUAACAAACUAAAAUUAGGUUUUCAAAAUUAAAACUCUGGAAAUUUUUGUUGCAAAGUUUAAGUAAUCACUUAAGUGUUUUUCUAUAGAUAAUUAAAUGGUUUUUAACAAAUGUUUUCCUUACUUUUGGAAAUGAUCUGCCAACAUUAGUACUUCUAAAACACAUGAUUUCAAAUUCAAAUUCUCAGUUUUAAAUAAGGGUUUUCACACUUCGAUUUUUUUUAAACAUUUUUGAGAGGUUUUUGCCAAAUUUUAUGUUUUCAGAACGUGUAACCAAGUUGAUUUUUAAUUAGUUUUUCAAAGUAGUCGAUGUAAUUCCUCAAAAAUCCAGUCAUAGCGUCUAGGCCGGGUUUGGGAUAUUAUACUGACGUUACUAAAGUUAAUCUUCAUCUAUUUAGUCUUGAUCUAAACAUUAAUAUUCUCUUCAAAAAAAAUCAAGAUUAUCAAAUUGUUAAAACUUGGUAGGCAGACAAUCAUAUUAAAUAAGCAUAAAACUUAAUAAAUAAUUACCGAAGAUUGAAAUAAUCAAAGAAAAAAUAAAUUAAUUAACUAAGAAAUAGGAUCCAUUAUUGUUUCAAGAAAAUAGAGUUUAGUUCACAUUGAGUUGAGAAAACCAAAAGGGAGAUUCAAAACAAACUUGUGAUAAGGGGAAUAAUGUCAAUAGAUCAUAUUCAAGUUGUUCGGCUUGAGAAAGAAAGAUUCAGAUCUAACUUGAAAACAAGAAACCAAAAAGAUUUAGAAAAACAAGAAAAAACAAAGAAAAUAACUAAAAUGAUAAAUUUAAGAAUAAAUAAUCAAUAUUAAAAAUAAUAAAGAAAUAAAGAAAUUAUAGAAUAAAUAGUGGAAGAUGGAAUGAAUAAACGAUGGAUAUGACAUAUAGAUGGAUAAGUGUCUUAUAAUUCAUGAAAAGAGUUAUAUUUCAUGCCUUUAGACCUAACUAAUUGUUUGUACUUAAGUACAUUUUGUUGCAUUUUAAGACAUUUUAGUUAGCAUUUCUAAUAUUGCAUUAGGACUUAGAUUGUGUUGGAAUUAUGUGUUUUUAAUAUGGUGGAGUUCUUUUGUGUGUUGGUAUGGCAAGAACAUAUUUUAGAACGAGGAAAUAAAUGAGUGAAGUUUUUUCAAGGAAAAAGUGCAGACAGUUUGCCAGAACAGAUGCCGUGACAAUGCCAGGAAGACAAAGUUAACAUUUCUUUGCGCAACAGUCUCAGUUGAAAUUAAAACUUGUACCAGAUAAAUCUCCCUAAAAGAGGAGAAGAUAAUCACAAGUUGUUACUUGACACUAGCCUAAUCUAUCUAUAAAAGCCAAUAAAGGGGAUCUCGCAAAUGGCAGAAAAAAAUGGGAGGGAUCCUUAGGUGUGAAUAAGGUUUUAGCUGCGCAAAGGAAAGGAAGUCGAAGGAAGUGCUUUUUAGCCAUCACAGGAUGUUGUGCUACCGAAGUGUGGACUAGGCAAGUGAAAGUUGUUUCCCAAAGUUCUUUCGUUAUUUCCAUCAGCGUUCCUUCAAAAUAUUGAAGUAGUUGAACACAAUGUCGGAUAAUAUUUUGCUUUUGAAUUUUAUUUCUCAGCCCAUGAGCUAAAUCUCGUAGGGUUGGGAUUACUUUUGAUGAAACCUUAAACUAUUUUUGUGGAUGCAGUAUAUAUCUAAUUUACUUUACUGUUUCAUUUGGUUGUUCUUAUUUCUUAAUUAAAAUGCAAAUGAUUUCUAAACAUAGAAGACUGUUCGCAUACUUAUAAACUCAUUCUAAUUCUGAAAGGGUUGGAUUGGUUGGAUUAAAAUUAAAUGAAAUGAGCAAGUAUUCGAUGGACACUUGUAGUAGACUCUAUACAUAGAGUGACGAUCAUACAGAAGGAACCCAUGCAAGGUAUCUAAAAAGUCUUUAGACACAGGCAAGGUAACUUGAUGUUUUGCUCUCACGAGAGUCAGGCCAUUUUAGUACUCUUUUGUGCUUUAAAGUAGAUACGAUUUUGCCAAGGCAUUAUUGACAGUAAGGGUCGAUUUUGGGUAAUCAACUUUCCAAAUCCACAUCGUAUAUCCUUUAUACCUUACCAUAGUAUAUUUGCCACAUCAUUAUUAGUUAUUUAUUUGUUCAUUUACAUAAUAUUCCCAUAGUAAUUCUCAUAAUUAUCAUUAGAUUUCUACUCUCAGUUUGCCACAACAUUACCAAUUAUUUAUUACCUCCACGUAUUGCUUACACCAUUACUCUACUAAUUUCAACUAUAUAUUUAUCAUUGAGUUUGCCAUGGCAUUAAUCGUAUUUUAUUAUAAUAACUUGACCAAUUGUGUGCCUCAAUCUGAUCCCCAUGGGAACGAUACUCACUCAUCACUUUAUUACGUGAUUCAACUGUAUACUUGCACAAAUCGCAUAUCAUUUCACACACGACAGUGUUCAAUUGAAACCUUUAAGAUAUAAACUCGGACAAACUCAAUUAAUGGCUUUAAUCAACCCACCAAGAAAUAAUGAUUGGCAAAUUGAACGAUGAAGAAUGAAUUCCCAUGACUCCUUAAAAAAUUGAGAAGAAAAAUACUUCUAAAAAUCACAAGAAACAAAUCUUGCACAAAGAAACUAACUUUUAGAGUUGGAAAUUUUAGUAAUAAACAAAAACAAUUGCAUCUCUAAUGAACAUGAAGGGCCUUUACAUAGGCUAGAUAAGUACAUCCAGAUAAAAUAUUCAAGUAUCAAGUACAUCCAGAUAAAAUAUUCAAGUAUCUUGAAACUUUAAUUAGUAUAAGUAAGAAGUAAUUUUAAACUAAAAUAGUUAUAAUUUCCGUCAUAAUCCCAUCCAAAAAUUCUGCUCACAUAAUCAUCAUUAAAAUAGUCAUAAUUUGAGCUCUUGAACUCAAAAUUGAGUGAAUAAAAGUGUGUUUCGAAGUUAAGUGCUAGAUCUUAGAACUUUAUGAAGACAUAUCAAUCGAAAAAUGUCUGGAUCCCAUCCAAAAAGUCACCACAAGUUAACUAAUUUUUCAAACUUGAAAAUUGGCAGCUUUGGUGAAUGGAAUUUAAUAAAGUUCACCCCAUCUAUUCAUGUAUCAACUCGCAUUGGUAAAAAGUAAAAAGAAAUAAUCUAUAGAGAAAAUAGUUGAAGAAUUUAUGAAAAUUUAUUCAAAUCUCUUUUUUUUCUAGUCUUUGCAAGCUUGAAGUUUCCCUUGGUGUGUGAGAGUUGUUCCUUACCCUCUAAGUGAUUUUUUUUCUUCUUCUUUCUCUUCGAUCUCGUCACCUAAGGGUGUUCAAACAAUUGAUUCAGUUAAUACCCGUACAAAACUAUCAUUAACUGAAAUUUUGAAACCCUUAAUCAUUAAUCAAACCAAUUUUUUUGAAACCUACUAACUAGCUUCAUUGUUUUCGGUUAAUUUGAGCGGUUAACCAAAAUUUACACAUUGUUUGUUUUUUUUCAAACAAUUUUAAAACAAAGAACAAUCCACGACAAUUUUUCCUUGUUUUUUAUUCAAAAAAAUUAAAAGAAUUAAAAAAAACAUAAUAACAACACUAAAUUAAAAACAUAAUAGCAUUCAUUAUAUAUAUAUUUACUUUUUCUUGACUUUUUAGUUUAAUUUUAGUUUUUUUUUUCCAAAUAUUUUUAGUUUUCAUAUUUUUGUUAAGCUUAUUAUAAGAAAACUUAUAAAUCCAUUAGUUUUUAUAUAUUGGGUUUGUAUAAUGCAUUGGACCUAUCUCACAUAGUCAUCAUUAAAAUAGUCAUAAUUUGAUCUCUUGAACUCAAAAUCGAGUGAAUAAAAGUGAGUUUCUAAGUUAAGUGAUAGAUCUUAGAACUCUAUGAAGACAUAUCAAUUGAAAAAUGUCUGAACUCCAUCCAAAAAUUCACGCAAGUUAACUAAUUUUUCAAACUUGAAAAUUGGUAGCUUCGGUGAAUGGAAUUUAGUAAAGUUCACCCCAUAUAUUGAUGUAUCAACUUUCAUUGUAAAAAGUAAAAAGAAAUAAUCUAUAGUGGUUAGUGUUUUAAUGGGGGUUUUGUGUUUACUCUCGGUUAGGGGAAGGGCAAGAAGAGUUGGUACUCCUGCAGCAAUUUGAGCGUUAAGGGUGUCUGUUCGUCGGCGGUAAGGUUUCAAAUUCUUUGUUGGUUAUUGUAAGGCUCCGUUUGUGGAAUGGUUUUGGAUUGAGUUUCGUAAGUGUACUGAAUUUGGGCUUCUGGAUGCUAUUUCUUAGGUUCGAUGGUCUCGGGGGUGCUUGUGCAUCAAAACGAUAUCAGGUGUGUACCCGAAAUGCAGAAAAUCGAGCUUCGAUGAAAUCUAAAACACCUUACUAUCGACACCACAAGGGCAUGUGCCUGGCCGUGUGGUUGGCUGUGUGUAGGACACGGUCAUGUGUUUGACGAGGGUAGGGUCGUGAGGAAGACAUGGCCGUGUGACGAUGUGGGCCCGCAGGCUAGGCCAAGUUAGGCUUGUGGGUUUUGGGCCACAUGUGCAUGUGGGUUUUGGGCCAAGCCAUGUGAACCACAUGGACAGGGCUAAUCUGGGUGUGUUGACCACAUGGGCAUGUGGGCCCGAAAUUCUAAAAUUUUUCGUAGGGUCUCACAGGUCAUUUUGGUCGACUUUGUGCCUACCGUAGGGUCAGUAAGGGCUAACCAAACCCUAAAACUAUGUGAUCUGUUAGUUUGAUAUUUGUUCUAAAUAUGAUACUACUAUGCAUGUCUGAUUAGUCUGGUGUAUAUAUAUAUAUCUGAUAUAUAUGUAUGAGCAUGUGAGCAUGAUAACUCUGAUUAUAUAUAUCUGAUUGAGGUGGGAUUUCUAUAUGUGGAGGAAGUGUUCUAUAUGGCGGUCAUCGCCUAUGUUCUGGCAGCUUGGCUAUACAUUAUCUGACAUGUAUCGUAAUGGCACGAUAUGGUGUGUAGGGAUUGGUGGGUGUUUUUAACCCCACAUGAUGUGAUGGGAUGGUCAGAGUUGGUUUGUAGAGGAUGGAGUUAGGAUUCUGUAUUUCUAAUAUGCAUAUAUGUUCUAUUAUUUGAAUCUAUAAAGGACUUAGGUCUGAAUCUGAAUCUGAAAUUGUAUCUGAUCGUGUAUGAGUUUAUUGCACGUAUUGCAUGUAUUUUUCUGUUGGGUUACACACUGAGUUUACGAAAACUCACAUUUGUUUGUCGGUUUUGUUUAGGUAAUCCACAGACUUAGACGGGUCAGUGUUACGGAGGCUCAGUGGUGACCACUUGAUUGAGAACUAUUUUACUUAGUAAAUUAUGUUUUAUUUAUAAUUUCGAUUUCAUUUGAGAGUUUGUAAUUUUUGGGACUCUCCGGACUGCUGGUUUUUAUUUUGGUUUUGGAUGCGAUUUUAGACUCUUUUGUUGCGAUGCAUAAUGGAAAACACGGUUUUAUGAAAACAAAGGUUAUUCUGAAAAUACGAACUGGAUUUCUAAAAUAUAACGGUUCAAAAACUUCUGCUAAAAAUCAUGUUUUGGUAAAUAAAUGAAUUAAGUAACACUUUCAAAAAUGGUUAUAAAGAAAUAUGAACUAUGAAUCUUUAAUGAUUUGACAAAAAGACCUUAUUUUCAAAACCAUACAUUGUGACCACUCCAGAUUCAGCUAUAACGUCUAGACCGAUUUGGGGUGUUACAGUAAGGAUGAAAAUUUAAGGGGGAGUGAGCUAUGGCGCUUAGUAUGAGUUCAUUCACAAUAAAUUCAAUGCAAACGGUUGGUAGGACACAUUAAAUAAUAUCACAUAAAAUAAUCACAGUCAGAUAAUAGUUUAGAAUGUCGGUUUUACAAUUUAACCACCAAUAUUAUCACAGUAUUCACAGUUGUAAUUUCAGAAUAUCAAAUUUUCACACCAUUCACAAUAUUUAGAUAUAUAUAAAUAUAUCAUAACAGAAUUCCAGAUUUGUAUGCACAUGAUUUAGAAGAUGCCAUACAAUUUCGGGUUUUAACAGAAUAAAUCCUACCCCACGUUACAUACCAUAAUGGGAGUUCCCCUAAACUCCCUUCUCCAACACACUGGGUACCACUACUGGUUUACAAAUAAUAACUAUCAUUUGGCUGUGGACACACAGCAAUCCCCCACAAUUGGAUUCUAGAUUUGGUUGUGGGUUCACAGCAAAAAAAUCUACAAAUGAAGCAUGCUUUUGCCUGUAGAUUAUACAACAUAUACCCAUAGUUGGAAUCUGCCUUCGGCUGUGGACACACUGUAACACCUCAAACCUGACCUGGACGUUAUGGCCGAAUCUUGAGGAAUUACUUUAACUCGCUAGAAAACCCAAGAGUUUACUUUGAAAUCAUGUGGUUAAACUAGUGUUCACUUUGAUAAAUCGUUUUCCAGUUUUAGGGAAAAUUAUUAUUAAAACUACUACUUUAUUACAAUAAAAAAUUAAAGUGAUUGUAUCAUUUUGUAACGGAAUCUACUGAGCUAUAAGGUUUUGAAAAUCGUGGUUUAAUUUGCAACAAAUCAUUUUGCAAAUAGAAAUUUAAUACUACUUAAUUUGGAAAAGCAUGCUAAAACGAAAGCAAAGUCCAAACUAAUUUACGAUUUAAAUUCUUAAAAGUCCAAAUUAAACAUAAAGUCAAUUUAAACCAGUUUAUCGAAAGUGUAACACCCCAAACCCGGCCUAGACAUUAUGGCCAAAUCUGGAUGUGUUACAAAAAAAAAGUUUAUAAAACGACUUCCUUGUUAUUGGCAAAUCAUCGCAACCAUUAUUACAUAGUAUGUCUGAUUUGUUUGGAGAACUUUUUGAUAUACUUAUUUGAUUUAAGAUCGUUGCUUGCUUAUGCCUUUCUAUUAAACCGAAUGUUUUGCAGUGGAGUUUCUUUAAAAUGUCAUAUUUUGGCAAAUCAAAUUGUUUCUUGAAAAUCGUUAUUUCAGAAAAGUUGUCAUUUUCAGGAAAACUAUUUUAUCGGUUGUUACGCUUAGAAAACCAAAAUAAAAUCCAAAACCAAAAAUAGUCCCAAAAAGUCCAAAGAGUCCCGAAAUUACAAAACUCUCAAAACCAGAAAAGUUUGAACUAAUUUUAAAAGAAUGAAAAUUUAUAGAAAUAUGGUCAACAUUGAGCUUCCGUCACACCGACCCACAUAAAUGUAAGGGUUACUUGAACAGAACAAACAAAUAGAGAGUGAGUUUUGAAACUCAGUGCGUAACGCGAAUAUAAACAAAAAUUUAGAAUCAAUCUAAUGCAUAACAGAUACAAAUGUAAACCUUUUAUAGAAUAAGAAUUAUACAGAUACAAAUGUGCAAAAUCCUACCCUCGUCCUCUACACACCAAUUCUGACCAGCCCAUCACACCACGUGGGGUAUAAAACACCCACCUAGCCAUACACACGGUAUAGUGUUUAUACGACACUUUUCAGAAUAAUCGCAGUAGAGUUGCCAGUAUAUAGGUGAGAUAUUUCCUCACACAGAACACUUCCUCCUCAUAAUACAAAUCCCGCUCCAUAGCCAGAUACAGACAGAAUAUUAGGUAAAACAAAUUAACAGAUACCAGAGUUAACAUAUCAUGCAUGAGCGUAUAACAAAUAUUACACAUGCUUGUACAUAACAGAACAAACCAUACAUACCGUAUUCCAUAAUACUCAUAUAAAUGUUAUUUUUUAAAUUGUAACAAAUAUUAUUAUUAAGAUGUUUUUCUUUUUAUAUUUUUAUAAAAAUAUAUUAAAAAACAAUUAGAAUAAUUUUAAGAGAAAAAACACUCAUAAAUAGUAGAAUUUAAUCUAAAAAUAUCAAAGUUUUAAAGCCUCAACUUUAACAUUUCAACCAAAAUUCCAUUAGUAUAUAAAUAUUUCAUAAAUAUAGAUUUUAUAUAAAAAAUUUAUGUUAACUUUUUUUUAACCCGCAUCACAAGUAUACCAUAUUUAGAGAUAUUCAUAGCUAGGCAGCCCACUUUGGGUCAAGCUUGAGCUUAGGUUUUAUCUCAAGUUGGCCCAAUUUAACCUAUUUUACUAUUUAAAAAUAUAAAUAUAUGUUAUAUUGAUAUUUAUAUAUUUCUAUAAUUAAAUUUUAAAUAAAUUUAUUGUUAACUUCUAAACAUAAAACAAAGAGAACUUUCACCCAAGUUAUAAGUUUGUGGUUAGACAGCCGACUUUCGGGGCAGGAUUCAGCUUACGUUUUUAAUCUUGGGAUUUAACAAUAAUAAAAAAUUUAAAAAUAAUAUUCUAUUAAUAUUUAUAAAUUUUAUAAAUUUAAAUUUAAUUAUAUUUUUUAAACAGUAAAAUGAACCAUUUAUAUGGGCUAAUUAGAGUUAAGUUUGGUUUGAAUCAAGGCUUAACUUUGACCAAAUCCAACUAAAAACACCUCUAACAAUUAUCUAGUAUUGUUUUUAUGAAUUGAAUUUUAACUUCUAAUUUUCAAUUUUAUUACAAAAUUUCUUUGCGGACGAUAAGAAAAUAACAUAUUUGUAACUUCUUCACUCCGACGUAAAGGUUAAGUCUGAAUUUGGAUUACAUCGGCCAUAAAUAUGGCCUAGCAGGAUUAUCGGAGUUUUUAAAAAUAGACAUCUUUAAAACGUUUGUUUAAUUUAUAAAAAAGCUUAUUUAAUUUCCAAAUUAUUUAUUACUUGAAAUCUUAAUUACAUUUUAAAAGCAGGAAGUGGUAACUAUUUAUUUUUAAUAAAAAUCGGGGUUCAUGUAUAAUUCAUUAAUAACCGUAAUUCGAAAACAUUAAAACUUAAAUUAAAUGUCAUGCAAAACAAAACAAACUUAAAUCUAAAUCUCAUGCCACAGUGCAAAACAAUUUAUUGUAGUCUUAGAAAAUAAAAAAAAAUCAUAUAAUGAACCUAAAAUAAUUUUUUUUACUUUAAUAAUGUGUCAAGACCUUACAAAUGUCACGCCCACGUUCAAUCCUGGUGGGUUAUCUAUAAGGAUGAAAAUUUAAGGGGGGUGAGCUUUGACGCUUAGUGUGAGUUCAUUCACAAUAAAUUCAAUGCAAACGGUUGGUAAGACACAUUAAAUAAUAUUGCAUAAAAUAAUCACAGUCACAUAACAGUUCAGAAUGUCGAUAUUACAGUUUAACUACCAAUAUUAUCACAAUAUUCAUAGUUGUAAUUUCAGAAUAUCAAAUUUCCACAUCAUUCACAAUAUUAACAUAUAUAUAAAUAUAUCAUAAUAGAAUUCUAGAUUUGUAUGCACAUGAUUUAGAAGAUGCCAUACAAUUUUGGGUUUUAACAGAAUAAACCCUACCCCACGUUACAUAUCAUAAUGGGAGUUCGCCUAAAAUCCCUUCUCCAACACACUAGGUUGUGGAUAAACCAAUACUCAUCCGCAGAUAAUAACUAUCAUUUGGCUGUGGACACACAGCAAAUCCCCACAGUUGGAUUCUAGGUUUGGCUAUGGGUUCACAGCAAAAAGUCCUGCAAAUGAAGCCUAUUUUUGCAUGUAGAUUAUACAACCUAUACCUGCAGUUGGAAUCUGCCUUUGGCUAUGGAUGCACUAUAACGCCCCAAACCUGACCUGGACGUUAUGGCUGAAUCUUGAUGUAACGCCCUAAAAUUUCUAAUUCUAUUAUUGUAAAAAUAUGACACAAAAUAUUUGUCUGCUUUAGUGGUUAUGUGUUCUGGGAGUGUUUGGGAGGUCCCAAGUUCACGUCUUUGCUUGGGCAAAUUUUGGUAUUUUGAAUGAAUUAGGCUUUACUCUUGUUCAGUAGGAUUUUAUUUGAUUGUUGGGAAAAUUAUAUCAGAAUGGGCUUGCUGGUCUAGUGGUUAAAUUGUGUGUUAUUAUGGUGAAGGUCUUGUGUUCAAAUCCUUAUGUAGGCAAAGGUAUUAUUAUUAUUAUUUUUGCUCAGAUUUCGGGAUAUAGUUGUGUAAUAGGGGGAUUCUGAGUAGUGGAUGUGUAGUGGGAAUUAGGGGAGAAGAUUAAGGGGUUUCGGGAUUUUAUUUUAUUUUUUCCCAGAACGGAAUUUUGACUCUCUUUUCCAAAAAAAUUCUGUCGUCUAUUCUUCUCCCUCUCCUCUUGUCGAUAUUCUCUAAGUUUUUUCAUCUUUCUCUUCUUUUUCUUCUUCUUGAUUUUUCCCUAAUCCAUUUAUUUUUCCUUCAUUUUCGCACGCGAUUAGUGCUCGCUUAGUUUCGGUAAGCGUUUCUCUUUGUUUUUAUCAUGAAUCUCCUAGGGACUAAAGUGGUAAUUUUUUUCUCUGCGAUUUGGGCAUAAGGGAAGGCUCGGACUGGUGAAUUCAGUAUUCUCAUCUUAUCAAUAGUUAAAUGGGGGGUUAUCGUUGGUGGUAUGUUGGGUUUCUGUUCGUUCUUGGUUGUCAAUUCGCUUGUAAAUCCAUUAAAUUGAUGUUUAGUAUCUUGAUUAUAGGCUUUGGAGUGCUUGGGGACUGUUUUAGCAUCAAACAAAACCAGGUGUGUACCCGAAACGCAAAAAAAAAGGGAUUCGGUGAAAAGUUAAAAUUGCUUGCUAUUUGGACAGCAGCAGUAGACUAAUUUUGAAAAAUCACCAUAAAUUGUGGAAAUCGAAUUAGAGGAUGAAAAAAAUAUGAAAUUAAAUCUUAUUGAGUCUAGUUUCUCAUAGAAGAAACGGUGUAAGUAAUGGAAUUGUAAAUCGUGAGAUAUAAUAAACUUUGUGAGACAAGGUUAGAAUAAAUUCGGGUUCCCCUGUUCUGAUUUUGGAAAAUCAUCAAAAAUUGGAGAAAAGUAAUUAGGAAUUAAAAUUUACAUGUUUAAAUUAUUAAUGAGUCUUUUUUUUCAAUAGAAACAAAUGGGAACUUCAUCCAAAUUUUGUACUAAAAGAUAAUUAAUUUUUAGCAAAGAAGGGUCAAAGCUGUCAGACAGCAGAACAAGGGUAAGUUUGAAGAUUUUACUGUACUUAUUAGCUGAACCAAAAAUUCUAAAAAUUUUAUGGUAGAAAGGUAUUUGAGUCUAUUUUUAAAGACAUCAAGCGAAUUUUAAUUAGAAAUUCUGUAGCACAAGAUAUAAAUAAUUUAGUAACAGUGACUCAAGUAGAAAGCUUUGAAGGAACACAUAAGUAAAUUGUGAUAACAUAUAUGAAUAUUUAGCUAACACAGGUUACACUGAAAAUGGAUCACGUGGCCAAGGCCAAUUUGGGCCGAGUGGGCCACGUGGGCGUGUGAGCCCAUUUUUUUGAAAAAUUCUGUAAGGUUGCACGGGUCACCCAAGUCGACUAUGGACCUACUGUAGGGUCAGUAACCUUUACUUAGACGCCUAUAUGUGUGAUCUGUCUAGCUGAUUUCUAUAACGAGCAUGACUUAUAAUAUCUAAAUGUAUGUACUAUUAAUUGCAUAAUGGCAUGGCAUAUUUUGUAUGUUGCAUUGCAUCGGGGUGGGUUGAUGAUAUUUGGAGGAAGUGUCUAAAGGGAUAUUAAGCCAGUUAUCUGGCAGCUCAGCUGCAACCUUCUGAUUAUGUGUCGAUUUCAGUAUAGCAUGGUGUGUAAGGAUGGGUGGGUUAAUUUAAUCCCUACAUGGUGUGUAGGGUUGGACGGAGAUGGUGUAUAGAGGCUGGUGGGUAGGAUUCUAAUUUACUAUAUCUACAUUCUGAAUCUGAUAUGGGCCAAGGCCCUAAUGUAUUUCUGAGACUGUAUCUGAACGGGCUAAGGCCCAAACUGAUUGUGUGAUGGGCCUAGGACGCAGACUGUAUCUAACUGAAUUCUGUUGAUUAUUUGUAUGCAUGUUUUCUAUGGGGAUUACACACUGAGUUUGAGAAAACUCACCCUUUCUCUGUUUAAUCUAUACAGGUAAUCCCCAAACUUGAUGGGUAGGUGCAGCGGAGGAUUCGACGGUGGCCACACGUAAAUUUCAGACUGUUUUCUGUUAAUGCCUAGAAUUUAUUAAUUAUUUGGGGUUUUUGAUGUAUCUUCUGGACUAUGGACUAGUAGGCUUUAAAUUUUAGACUUUAUACUAUUUUUUAUGUUUUUUUUAAAACUGCAACUCCACAAAACACGGUUUUUUUCUAAAAAAUAAGGAUUUUCGUAAAUAGAAAUGAUUUUCCCUAAAUUAAUUGGUUACAAAAGUUUUCUCUAAGAGACAAGUUUUAAAGCAAAUCAACUAGUUUUUUUUCAUAAUUAAAUAAAAGUUAACUUACUAUAACGAUUUUUCUUAAACUCGACAAUCUUGUCUUCAAAUCCCUUUUCAUGUGACAUCACCAGAUUCGGCCAUAACGUCUAGGCCGGGUUUGGGGUGUUACACCUGAUGAGUUACUUUAAAUCGCUUGAAAACCUAGAAAUUUACUUUGAAAUCAUAUGGUUAAACUAGUGUUCACUUUGAUAAAUCGUGAAAGUAUGUGAUUAUUGAGGACAUGCUGAGCAUGUCAAAUGAAUGUGAAAAGUAUUGUGAUAUGACUAUGUAUGAGAUUGUGUAACAUAUUGCAUAUGCAUUGGGUUGGGAUUUUUUGGUUGACGGAGUAGUUCUGUGGAGUACCGUCGGCAUAUUAAGCCCGCAUUAUUCGUAGUUAGUGCACUGCACCUGGAGUACUGAGGGGAUUGGUAAUUUUAUCGCAUAUUAUAUGUUAUUGGUGAUUGUAUAGCACUAUUUGAUAUCCGACAGAUUUUUUGCAUUAUUGAUUAUUCGGUGGUUUUACCACAUUGAGCUAUGCUCAGAAUGUUUUAGAGUUUGGUAGACGGGUUCUAGGGAACACGUGGUGUGUAGCGGAUGGUAUGGGUAGGAACCUUUUUGCAUUGCAUCAUGUGCACGACAUAUUCGAAUGUUAUUGGUUUAUGCUACGUAUUGUAUUUUUUUGUAUUGAAUGGUAUCAAAAUUAAUGAUUGUCACUCGAAUGAAUUAUGAACUAUGCUCAUACACUGUUUGACAUCAAUUUAAUAAUGGCUAUGUAACGAUAUGAAAUUCCUAUAAUGGUUUUAUUUUCUUCUAUUAAAGCUAAUAUGUUUCACUGUAUUUGAUAUUUAUGUUUGUUUAAAUAAUUGUUCGACUCACACUGAGCUUUUCAUAAGCUCACCCCUAAUAGUGUUAAACUUUUCACGUAAACCUCGAAAUUAAGACCAGACUUGGCAUUCGAAGAAUCACCUUGGACCUUGAAUUAUUUUUCUAAUAAGUAUUAAUCAAUCUCUAAUGGUUUUGGUUUGUAAUUUUUAAUUAUAUCUAGUCUGUGGCUUGAUAACUUUUCUUUUGGGAUUUUUGCAUGCAUGGAUUACUCAAGCAUAAUAACCGGAUAAUGCAUGAUAUCAGGCUUAAGUAAAAUUUGAUAUUGUUCCCUAGAUUCUGCUACAUUGCAAAGGAUUUGUUUUUGAAAAACAAAUUGAUAAGGUAACUAAGUUUUUAAAAUGACUUGAAAAAUGGUUUUUCCCCUAGAUUAGUUUAACAUCAAAUUUUUUUUAAAGGAGAGCAACAAGCAAAUGGUUUUUCUAAAACAACACUAUCAACAAUAAAAUGAAUUCUAAGUAUACACAACCUAAUGAAUGAAUGCUUUUAAGCUAACUUAAAGUACAAUUAUGGUUUUCUCUAAAAUGAGUUUAUUUAAGGUUUUCAUAAGUAAUGUAAGUUAGCUUAGCCAUUUCGGUGGCUAAUGUAGCCUUCUCAUUCUAGCCAUAACGUCUAGGCCAGGUUUGGGAGGUUACAGUAUUGAUAGGAACUGUGGUAUAAAUUUUAUUUUGGACAUUCUUAAAGUGUUAUUUGGACUAAACUUUAGAAACUAUGGAUUUUAUACUGAGCCUAAAUUUACGAAGUUCAUGCGUGGUUUUUACGAAAAUGAAACUAAUAUGAAUUUUUAAAACCAUGAUUUUUUUUAAAGCUCCAAUUUGAAAUUGUACAAGAAAUGUCAAUUUGAAUUAUUUUUGAAUGUUUUUUUAUGCCAAUAAAAUAUUGUUUCAAAACAUAGCUAAGUAUUAUUUAAUUUCGUAAAGACGAAGCAAACUCCAAACAAUCUAAAACUUUAAGGACUAGUUUGUAAUUUUUGUUUUUCCUCAAUUGUCUCUGGUUUGAUUCAAUUCUUGAUCUAUACAAUUAUUCCAUUCAAUUCAUCAAUAUUAAACAUUUAUACAUUAUGUCAUGUCAUGAAUGAACCUAGAUAAAUUCAUUUUUUGAUACCCUUAAAGUUUUACAUUUAUUUCAAUUUAGUCUCUAAAAUCGAAAUAGUCAUAACUUUAAAUUCUGAACUUCAGUUUGAAAAUCGACCUCAAUUUCAUUUUAGACUGUCUGUUAAAAAUUAGUGCAUCUUACUGGAUUUUUUAAUUUACUUGUUUUCUUUAUCAAAUAAGUUGGUUCCUAUUAUAUAGGGAUAUGAUCAGAUUAUGUUUUGUUAGUUGAGGUUUUAGUGGGCUAUUAGUUGCAGGUUUUUUAACUUUAACGUUACAUGUAGUUAAGCUAUUUAUAUGUCAUUUUAUCUAAUGUAAUUUUGUGUGUUUUUUUUAGUAAUCAAAAACGUUCUUUAAUACUUUAAGCUUUUCUUGUUAUUAUUUCUUUCAUUACCUCGGUCAUUCUUUUUUGUUUUAUGGUGUCAGUGCCAGGUUAUUCAUUGGUUAAUUGUGUGAAAGGGUGUUUUGCUAGUUGCUGCAAUGGAGGUUUCAAAUGGAGGAAAUAAUCAGAUUGGUAUGGAGAAGCUUGUAGGCACUAACUACAAGUAUUGGAGGAUGUGUAUGGAGGCAUUUCUUCAAGGCUAGGACUUGUGGGGAUUGGUUGUUGACCUGAUGCAACAAUCCCUCCCAAUAUUCUCGAGAAUGCCAAGUCACGAAGGAGGUGGAAGGUCAAAUGCGGUAAAGCUUCAUUGAUCAUGUUCAUGAUGUUAACUCUCCAAAAGAAGUUUGGGAAACGCUUGAAAGGUUGUUUACCAAGAAGAAUACUGCAAGGUUGCAAUUGUUGGAGAACGAAUUGGCCGGGUUAAAACAAUGAGGUAUGUCAGUUUUAGAAUAUUUUUUACGAGUUAAAAAUAUUUGUGCUGAAAUUUCAGAGAUAGAUACGGAUGAGAAAGUUAGUGAAGCUCGUUUGCGUCGUUAUCUUAUCCGCAGUUUGAAGAAGGAGUAUGGGCCUUUUGUCACUUCUAUUCAAGGGUGGUCGACACAGCCUUCGGUGGAGGAGUUAGAGAAUUUUCUCUCUAAUUAAGAAGCUUUGGCAAAGAAGAUGGUGAAAAGUUUCGAAUCUGAUGCCAGUCUCUUCUCAAAAGGGAAGCCAAACAAGAAGAAUGAGUCUGGAAAUAAAGGCAGAUCUGAAGACUCUAGUUCGAAAAAAGAUGGCAACUCACAAAGCAAAAAGUCUUUCAAAUGCUUCAGAUGCAGAAAGACUGGACAUAUCAAGAGAAAUUGCCGUGUGUAGAUUUCCAAGGCCAAUAUCGUGUCCACGGAAGAAACCGAUGAUCGACUCAAAUGGGAGCAUUGCUUUACUGUUGAAGCUAUUGAACAAAAGUCAUCAAAAGCUUUUGUCAAUUAUGCUGAUAACAAGAAGGAGGAGUGGAUCAUUGAUUCUGGUUGUUCUCACCAUGUAACCGGAAAUGAUACUUUGUUCUUAGAGAUGCAUGAACACCAUGGAGAUCGAGUUAUUGUGACUGCAGAUAACUCCACUCAUCCGGUAGCAAAAGAGGGCAUUGUGGUGAUCGAUGUUGUCGACGAUACGAGAACCGAAAGUGUCAAAUUGACUGAUGUGUAUCAUGUUCUAGAUGAAGCUUAUGUGAAGAAAACAAGCCAAACCGAUAACGCUGCUAUUUGGCAUGCUCGAUUGGGUCAUGUGGGGUACCAAAUGCUGCAACAAAUUUAUUCGAAAAGGUUGUUAGAUGGGAUGCCGAUCUUGAAGAGUGUACGUGAAGAUGUGAUUUGUCAAAGCUGUCAAUAUGGUAAAUCUCAUCGUCUUCCUUUCAAAAGCUCAUCAAAUCGGAGAUCUUCUUUGCUCGAAUUGGUUCAUACAGACUUGACGGGACCAACGAGAACACUGAGUUGUAGCAGCCACUGUUAUGUUAUGGUUUUGGUGGAUGAUUACUCAAGGUUCUCUUGGGUGAAAUUUUUGAAAGAGAAGAGUGAAGCAUUAUCCAAGUUUGUGGAGUUCAAAGCUGCUGUUAAAAAAGAGUUUGGAAAGAAGAUUAAGUGUCUUCGAAGUGACAAUGGCGGAGAAUACAUGUCCAAUAAUUUUUUUCAGUAUUGUGUUGACAACGGCAUCUGUCGUCAAAUGACUUGUCCAGAUACUCCAUAGCAGAACAGAGUUGCAGAAAGAAAGCUUGGUUAUCUUGCUUCGAUUUGCCUUUCAUGGCUGCAUGACAAGAAUCUUCCUCGAGAGCUUUGGGCGGAAGCUGUUCUUUGUGCAUGUCAUGUGACAAAUAGGCUGCCUCCUUGGCCAGGUACACAGAAAUCUCCUUUUGAGAUUUUAUAUGGUGAAAAGCCAAAUGUGAAUUAUUUUCGAGUCUUCGAUUCUAUUUGUUAUGUACAUGUUCCGAAAUCGAAAAGAACUAAACUUGAUCCGAAAGCAAAAAAGUGUGUAUUUGUUGGCUAUGAUUCUUAUAGGAAGGGAUGGAGGUGUAUGGAUCCGGAUACAAAGAAGUUUACUACUUCGAGAGAUGUCGUGUUCGAUGAAGUAUCAUCUUUCUACUCCACUCAAAGAUUUGCUGCAGAAAAUAUUAUUCUUGAAGAUGAUGAUGAAAACUUGGAUGAGCUAUUUCCAAGAGUUAAUUUGCAACCAUUCAUUGAUGAUGAGUUGGAAAAUGAAUCUCCAACACCAACUCCAAGUCAAAAUGUUCAAUGACAUGAAGGUGGUUAGCAACAGAGUGAGGAGGUCUACUAGAGAAACGAGACAACCUGAGUAUCUCAGAGACUAUGAGGUGCAGCUUAAUCAUUGUAGUAUCACUUCUUGUUUCUUUGUUUGAGCGUUUGAUGAAGAACCAGUAAGUUAUGAGAAGCCAAAAGCCAUUCAAAAUGGGAGGCAGCCAUGAAAGAAGAAAUUGAAGCUUUAGACAAAAAUGAGACGUGGGAGUUGGUUCUUAAACCAGAAAAUUGUAAGCCGAUCACUUGUAAAUGGGUUUUUUGCGUGAAGAAAAAAUUAGAUGGCACCAUUGAUAGAUUUAAAGCUCGUCUGGUGGCUCGUGGUUUUUCUCAAAAUUAUGGAUUGGACUACGAGGAGACGUUUAGCCUAGUAGCAAAGAUGGUGACGGUGAGAUCGAUUAUUUUGCUUGCUGCGUUUAAAGGUUGGAGACUAUGGCAACUUGAUGUAAAGAAUGCUUUCUUUACGGAGAUUUAGAUCGUGAAGUAUUUAUGGAGCAACCUAUUGGCUUUGUCUCUAAGGAAUUUCAAAAUCGUGUUUGCCGUUUGAAGAAAGCGUUAUAUGGCCUUAAGCAAGCGCCACGAGCAUGGUAUGGUAAAGCUGCUCAAUAUCUCAUUUUUUGUGGCUUUAGAGUUUCUGAAUCAGAUUCUAGUUUAUUUAUAAAAUUGGAAUCAGGUGCACAUCUCUUGGUAUUAUUAUAUGUUGAUGAUAUGAUAAUAACUGGAGAUAAUGAAUCAGAAAUUUGUAAUUUGAGGAAUGACUUGUCUGUUCGUCUUGAGAUGAAAAUUUUGGGGGAGAUUGGAUGUUUUCUUGGUCUAGAAGUGGAAAAAUCAGAUCAAAGUUGUUAUAGCCCGAUUUUGGGUCUAGUCAGAACAGUGGUUUUGGGACCACAAAUUCAACAAAAAGAAAAUGGGUAAAAAAUAUUAUUAAUUUAGUAAGUAUAAGUUAAAUGUGAAGUUAGGAAAAUUUUUUAAAUACUGAAUAGUGCACUAGAAAUAAAUAUUAAAAUAAUUAGAAUCGAAAUGAGGUAUCAAGACCUCGGGGAUUUUAAACCGAGCCAUAAAUAUUUUUAUAAAUAUUUAUGGAGUGUUAAAAAGUUAGUAUUAAAGUUUCGUUAGGAAAUUUUAAAGUUCCGAUAAUUAAUUGAACAAAAAGGACUAAAUUGUAACAAAUGCAAAAUUUUGGGAAAUGAUUAAGUAGCUUAAAUGAUAAAAGGAAGAGGGCUUAAAAGGCAAAUAGACCCAAGGUUUAUUUGGGCUGGACGGCAAAGGCAUGAAAUCAGCAAGAAAGUAAGGAGAAUUAAGGGCAAAAUUGGAAUAUUGCAAAAUUUGCUUAAUAAAGUUAGGACCCAAGUGGAAUUAUCUAGAUUUCUCUUCAUUUUUCUGAAUUCUCAUCAGCAAAAACACCAUGGAAGGGCUUCUUCAAGCUGGUUCUUCAUAUUUUUACUACAAGUAAGUUCAAUUCUUGACUAUUUCUUGAAAUUUUUGUAUUUUUAUGACUUUUACAAUUAGGCUCACUUGUUAAAUUCAUUAGUUUUUGAUUUUAUGAAAGAAGUUGAAAGUUGAUAUGAAUAUGUGCUGGAAUUAUAUGAUGAUUUAGCAUGGAAUUAGAGCUUUAAAUUGUUCAUAUGCUGAUUUUAUUGAAAGAAUUGAAUAGAAAGUGAAUGUUUGGGACCUAAUAGUAAAAGAGUUUGAAGAUAGAAUUAUAUGUGGAAAUUCUGAAUUUCAAUAGUUGUGUAACAACUUAUAAUGUCUAGGUAAAGUAUUAAUUCAGAAAAUUGGAUUAAUUGAGGGGUUAAUUGAGAAAGGACCGAAUUGUAUAAACUGUAAAAUUUGGGGCAAAAUGGAAAUCAACAUUUUGCACUAAAGCAGUUUUGGACAGCAGCAGUAGUGUAACUUUGAAAAAUCACAAAAAAUUGUAGAGAUUGAAUUAGAGGAUGAAUAAAAUAUGAAAUUAAAUCUUAUUGAGUCUAGUUUCUUAUAAAAGAAACGGUGUGAGCAAUGAAAUUGUAAAUCAUGAGAUAUAAUAGAUUUUGUGAGACAAGGUCAGAAUGAAUUCGGGUUCCCCUGUUCUGACUUUGGAAAAUCAUUAAAAAUUUUACAAAAAUUAUUAUGAGUUAUAAUUUAUAUGGUUAGAAUCCUUAAUGAGUCUAUUUUUAUAAGAAACAAACAAAAACAGCAUCCGAAUUCUGUACAAUGAGAUAAUUAAUUUUUAGUGAAGAGUGGUCGGAACUGUCAGACAGCAAAACAGGGAAAAAUUUAAAGAAUAAACUGUACUAUUUGGCUAAACAAAAAAUUCUGAAAAUUUUAUGGAAAUAAUAUAUGUGAGUCUAGUUCCAGGUAAAAUUAACGGAUCUUAAUUUGGAGCUUUUUAGCUCCGGAUAAAAAUAAUUUAGUGACUCUAACUCAGACAGACAGCCUAAAUUUUUCAUACAAGAAAAUAGUGAAAGUAUGAAUAAUGUUGUUUAAAUGUGUUAUACACAUUAAGGAUGAGGAAUGGAGAGGAGGUGGAGGAAAAUUGGGAAAUAUAUGAAUGGUUUAUCAUGUUGUUAGUUCCAAAAAGAGUUAUGUUUCAAUACACUAGCUUGCAACUAUGGUUGAAUGAUAUGUUUAUAUCUUGUGUGAUGUGCAUAGGAAACAAGUGUGGAAAGAUAAUGAAAUAGUAAGUUCAUAUGGCUGAAAUUUAAUGGUUAAAUGUUAAUUCCAUGAAUUAUAUGAUGUAUGAUGAGAUAUUUUUAUUGUUGAAAUAAGAAUAAAAUAAAAGUGCGAAAGCUGAAUAAAUGAUCAAAUUGAGCGGAACGCCGGAUUUGAGUACUUCUGAUCAAGUGACAAAGUGAUAAGUGAUAGCUUUAGCUACACUUAUUUGAUCAAGAACAAGUGAUAAGCGGUGACAAAGUGAUAAGUGGUAGCAUUAGCUACACUUAUCUGAUCAAGUGAGAAAGUGAUAAGUGGUAGCAUUAGCUACACUUAUCUAAUCAAGUGAGAAAGUGAUAAGUGGUAGCCUUAGCUACACUUAUCUGAUCAAGUGACAAAGUGAUAAGUGGUAGCCUAGCUACACUUAUCUGAUCAGGGACAGGUGAUAAGUGAUCAUACGUAAGACCAUAGUUAUACUAUGGCAAAGUGAAAGUGAAGUACUCAAUUUUCCGUGACCGUUCCCUAAUUUGAUUAAGGAUGGUAAGUGACAAAUGAGCCCAAAAGAAUUAAAGUAAAUGGAUAAGUGGUAGUAUAUUUAUAUCAGGACGAUGUUGUUAUUCAAGCUAAAGUGAUAUUUUCAUUGCAAAAUUGAGAAUUUCAUAAAUGUGUUAUUGAAUGGUAUAAUCAAUAAACAUUGAGUUAAAUGGUAAAUACGUAAUAGUGUUGAACUUGAUGUCAUUGAAUUGUAUGUGAAUUAAAUGGAAAUUGCUAGUGAUAUGAUGUAAAUUGUGAGCAUGAGAAAUUGCGACUUGAAUGAAAUGGAAAUGAAGCAUUGAAUUGCAUGAGUAUGUAUCGGGUCUCAUAGGCCCUAAUUAUUAUGAUUAUAAUAUUUCGAGGAUAUAUUGUGAAAAGUUAUAGAAGCAUGUUAAUUAUUUUGAAAGUUUAAAUUUAUAUGAAAUUUUAUAACUCGGUUAAAUAUGCUUACAAGUGCAUAUGUUUUGGUGAUACCUCGUACCCUAUUUCGGCGUUGGAUACGGGUAAGGGGUGUUACAAGGUUACUUUGUUUCUCAAAAAGGCUAUGCAAGGAAUCUCUUGGAGCUUUUCGGUAUGGGGGAGUCGAAAGAAAAAGCUACUCCGAUGGAGCCGAAUUUGAAGUUGAAGAAAGAUGAUGGGAGGCCGUUGGAAGAUGCAAGGAAGUUUCGACAACUUGUUGGAAGCUUAAUCUAUUUGACCAUUACAAGGCCUGAAAUUUCAUACUCUGUUAGUGUUGUUUCUCAAUUUAUGCAAAAUCCAACAAUUAUUCAUAUGGAUGGAGCAAAGAGGAUUUUGCGUUAUGUUAAAGGAACUAUUGGUUAUGGUCUUCUAUACAAGAGAUGUGAUAGCUUUAUGUUGAGUGGAUUUACUGAUGCUGAUUGGGCUGGAGAUACAAACGAUCGUCACUCGACUUCGGGAUAUUGUUUCAGUAUCAAUUCAGCAAUGGUUUCUUGGUGUAGCAAAAAGCAAGGUGUUGUUGCUUUGUUGAGUAUCGAAGCCGAGUAUCUGGCAGCAACUAUGGCUGCACAAGAGUGCAUUUGGUUGAAGAGGUUGAUUGGAGACAUAUGCAAAGUUAAUUAUGCUGUAAAAAUCAAGUGUGAUAAUGAAAGUGCUAUUAAGCUUGCAUCGAACCCGGUUUUUCAUGCUCGAACGAAGCACAUCGAGGUUCGACAUCAUUUUGUUCGAGGAAAGGUUCUAAGUGAAGAGAUUGAGCUUGUAAACAUUCGCACCAACGAUCAAGUGGCUGAUAUUUUCACUAAGGCUUUGGUGAAGCCUAAGUUUCAUCAAUUUAGAGAUGCUCUUGGAGUUCUUGAUCGUAAGCAUGCACUAAGGGGGAGUGUUAAAAAUUAGUGCAUCUUACUAGAUUUUUUAAUUUACUUGUUUUCUUUAUCAAAUAAGUUGGUUCCUAUUUUAUAGGGAUAUGAUCAGAUUAUGUUUUGUUAGUUGAGAUUUUAGUGGGCUAUUAGUUGCAGGUUUUUUAGCUUUAACGUUACAUGUAGUUAAGCUAUUUAUAUGUCAUUUUAUCUAAUGUAAUUCUGUGUGUUUUUUUUUUAGUAAUCAAAAACAUUCUUCAAUACUUUGAGCUUUUCUUGUUAUUAUUUCUUUCAUUACCUCGGUCAUUCUUUUUUGUUUUACUCUCUACUAUCCAUUAUUAUCAAAAUUUCACAUCAAUUUCACAAUUUAUUUACUUUAGUUAUUAUGUACAAAAUUAACAACCAAACAUCACAAUUUAGUCAUUUUUCAUAAUUUAAGCUUAAAAUCUAUAAAUUUAACACCAAUUUCUUCAAGAAAUCAACCAUGAAAUCUAUAAAAAAAAUUUAACAGUUUUGCAAAUUGAUACAUAGGUUAUUUAAAUCAAACUCUCAUGACCUCAGAAACACAAAAAAAAUUAUACGAAAAUGAUUUAGAAAUGCAUACCAAUUGAGGACCGAAAGCUUGAAGCUCAAAAAUGGCUUUUCCCCUUGAGGUUUUAUGUUGAUUAGAUGAAGAAGAAGAAGAAAUAAAGAUGACAACUUGCACUAAGUCACCUUUAUAUACUUAGAUUAAAUCUUAAUUAAUCAAAUUUAAUUAAUUAAAUCUUAAUUAAUUAACCUUAAUCACAAUUAAUAAAAAUUGGUGGAUGUUAACAUCAUCCUACACUAUUUGAUAUAACCAAAUGAUCUAUUUACCAUUUUGAACCUUUAGCUAAUUAGAAAUCUAUAGCGAUAAGACUUUCAAAAUUUAGUCUCUGUAUCUUAAUUAAGCAAUUAAUAGACAAAGUUGAAGGUUUAAAUUUUAAUGUUCUAUUAUACCAACUCUGUAAAUAUUCAUAUUUAAUAUUUACAGACCUGAAUUACGAAAAUGAGAUUUUGAAAUUGUAUUUUCCAGUACCACUGAAAAUCGGACAAUUACGUAACCUAUUUGCACCAAUGGGCCAAACAUGGCAAAUACUUGACAUGUAUGUCUUAAUAUCCUCAUCUAUUCUCUUCAAUAUAAUAACAUCCAAUAAUUGUUCCAUCCACUGUAACUAUCACGAAGAUUAGAUUGACCAAUACAGCCUACAAUUUGAAGAAGCGCGAUAUUUUCAUUCUAGAGAAAGAUAUAAUUGAAACAAAAUUGAAAUAAAGAUUUCAAUACAGAAUCAACAGACAUUCCAGCUAAUACUUAUCAAUUAUUUGCAGCUUUAUUGCUCCAACUAAGAUGGUUUUUAGUCGAAUAUGGUAAAUGAAAUCAAUGAACACCAGCUACUUGAUGAACGAGUGAAUCAAAGUCCUGAUAUGUGCCGGCUUAUUGGUGAAAAAAUACAUGGGCUAGUUUUGCAGCAAUUCAUGAUCUUACAUUUUAUAACCUUUGCUUACAAUUAUUCACUGACUAAUCAUUCAAUGAAUGUAGGCCUCAAAUUUAGCCACUAAACUUUAUUCUUUAUUUUUAGAUACAUAUUAUUUGAUCACUUCAUACAGCCUAUUACUCAUAAUAACUUCCAAUUUCCCUUCUUUAGGUUAGUUGCAAAUGUACAGCUUUUUCUAGAAGAAGAAAAUUGUCAAGAGCCACCUGUUCAAGAGAGGCGCAAACAAAAUGUAAAAAUACCUGACCUACUUACGGUACAGCCAAGUAAUCAUGUCUUUCUAUGCUAGAUCAUUAAAUCAAUGACUACAAAUUUCAUGCCAUGGUCGUGUAUCAUUUAUGCCAUUGAUGCUGCUAUUUUCUAUUCUAAUGCAUAAUAGGGAUUUAGUGUUUUUACCGUUAAAAUUGUGUCCUUUAAUUUUGGCUCUUUUCAGUUGUUGAUCAUGUCCACCUAUGCUUUAUUUUACUACUAUUGCUUUCUGUAAUGAUAGAUGAUUGAAUCGGUAGAAUUUUAUUAAUCCUCAACAUGUUUUAUCUUGACAUAUGGAUCCUAAGCAUUCCUUGGAUUGUGCCCUUUUUGUUCAUUUAUUUUUUCUUGGAACCUUAUUACAUGUUGUACCACUCCAGCUUUUUGGAGACAAUGAAGACGACUAACUGCUGAAUUCUUUCUUCUGCAGAGGAACCAAUGGCACGAGACUCAAAAAAUCCUACUCUUUUUUAUACCUUCCUCACCUCUUUGUGACAUUAUAGCUGAAAAAUGAUGUAUGCUAAUACAUGAAAUGUUUCCUCUUGCCUUUCUUUUUGUAGUACUAAAACUACAAAUAGUGUUUGCAAAACUCUUUAGAGAAAAACAAAUGUCUGUAAAUCUCUUUACCCGUAAUCUUAUCUUUUCCUCAUUGUAAUAGUUGGAAAACUUUUUAUUUGAAAACGAUGUCAACUACUGGGAUAAGUUAUUGUAAGCAUCUUAAGUGUUUCAUAUUAAAAACAAACACUGUUAUUGUUUAUUUUGUAGUCUAAAUUAUGAUAAUUUCUGCACAAAAUUCACAUAAAUGGUUACCCUCCCGAAGCAGAGCGAGGGUGAUGCAUACUAGUUAUUAAGAAAACAGGACCUUGUAGGGCUUAACUGUUGAAUCAAGAAAGAAAUUUCUUUUAAUGCCUUCAAUUGUAACAUCCCGAUUUUGGGCCUAGUCGAAACAAUGGUUUCGGGACCACAAAUCCGAUGAGGAAAAUUUUAUUUUUACUAUAUUAUUAUGGCCUAUAAUUUCACGGAAAGAUUUCUUGAAAAUUUCGUUCAAAAAUUUUGACGUUAGGGCACUCAAUUUAGCCAAAAGGACUAAAUUGUAAAAAGUGCAAAAGUUGAGUUUUAUUGGUUAAAGGUACUUAAUUGCUAUGGAAUUAUAACUUAGGGGUCCUUAUAUGGUAAUUAGACCAUUAGUUAGUGAUGGACAAAAAUGAACAUAAGUGAAAUAGGAUUUUUUUUAUGUAAGGGUAUUUUAGUCAUUUAGUAAAUAAAUAGAAUUAAAAGGGAAAAAUAUGUAAAAAAAAUUGUGUUCAUCAUCUUUGCUAGGUGCCAAAAUUUGAAGGAAGCCAUAGCUAGGGUUUCUUCACUUUCUCAAGCUCAUAAUCGAGAAGAACGAAAUUUGGAGGUAGAUCGGGGAAAGAAAAAAAUUGAGGACUAAAGUGUUAGAUUUGAUCACAUUUUUGUACCGAGGUAAGUUUACAGUAAAUAAAUGCAAUAUUUCAAUAAUUAUUAUUAAUGCUGUAUUUUUUAGCAAUUAUGUAUUUAUUUCAUGAAUAUAUUUAAUGUUGACUCAAGUAUGAGAUGACAGAGAAUUAGUGACACAAGCCUCAUUGAAACACUAGGAAUGUAUUGGAUACAAAUGCCAUGACAUUUGGGUAAAGAGGUCCCAUGUAAGACCAUGUCUGGGACAUGGCAUUGGCACCGAGAUGAGAGGUCCCCCGUAAGACCAUGUCUGGGACAUGGCAUGGGCACCGAUAUGAGAACUCCCAUGUAAGACCAUAUUUGGGAUAUGGCAUUGGCAGUACAGGAAACAUCCCAUGUGAGACCAUGUCUGGGACAUGGCAUGGGCACCGAUAUGAGAACUCCCAUGUAAGACCAUAUCUAGGAUAUGGCAUUGGCAGUAUGGGAAACAUCCCAUGUGAGACCAUGUCUGGGACAUGGCUUUGGCAUGUUAUUAUCAGAUAUGAGACCCAAGUAUCCUUAUUAUUCCAAUGUGACUCAACGGGCUAGAAAACAGAUUAUGUUCUACGAAAGUUCAAGUAAAAGUAUAAUUAGCAACUUCAGGUGAGUUAUAAGAGUUAAGAACAUAUUAUGUUAUUAGUGAGAACCAAUAUUUUAGCAAGAGAAGAGUAAGUUGUAAUCUUAAGCUAUCUAAGUAGAUAAGUAAGUAAACAAGUAAAUGAGAGUCAGUAAAGAGAAAACUUAAGAACAUGAUACUUGUAUAUCAUUAUUUAUGUUAAAUGAUGUCAUUUAUUUAUUUGUAAACUUACUAAGCUUUAUGCUUACUUCUUUUAUUUCUUUUUCUUUCAUAUAGUAUUAUCAAGCAUAGUCGGGAUCUUGAAGACGUCGGAGAGUGUUCACACUAUCAACCACCACAACUCGGUAUUUUAAGACGAUAAAUAUUUUGGGCUAUGGCAUGUAUAGGGACUUGGUCAUUUCAAUUGUAUAUUCUUAAAAUAUGACCAAAAGAUGAUAUGUAAAUGCUUGAUGAUGAAUAGUUAUUAAAAUGGCUAAGUAUGAAGGUGUUUGUGGUUAUAAAUGUCUAGGUUAUAAAUUAUGCAUAGAAAUCAUGAAAGAGUAAAAAUUUGUAGUGAAUCAGUUUUGAGACAGCAGUAGUGACGUGAAUUUGAAAAAUCACCAAGGAUAGUAGAAAAUGAAUUAGAGAGUGGAUGAGAUAUAGAAUUAAAUCUUAUUGAGUCUAUUUUUAUAGAAAAAUAACAGUGUAGACAAAGAAAUGAUAUAUUCCGAGAUAUUUGCAUUUUAGUUAGACAAGGUCAAAGUUGUUUUCGGAAUCCCCUGUUCUGAAUUUGGAAAAUCAUUAAAAAUUGUAAAAAAAUAUUUAUGAGUUUUAAUUUAUAUGUAGAGAUUCCUUAUUGAGUCUAUUUUCUUUAGAAAGAAUUUAGAACACUAUAUGAAGUAUGUACAAUGAGAUAAUUUAAUUUUAGUGACAAGAGGUUAGGACAGUUGAUUAGUGAAACAGGGGAGACUUUAACUAAUAAACUGUACUAAUUGGCUAAACCAAAAAUUCUGAAAAGUUUACAGUAAAAAUUUAUAUGAGUCUAGUUUCAGGGAAAAUUUAUGGAUCUCAAUUUCAAGUUUCAUAGCUCGAGUUAUAAUUAAUUUAGUAACUAUUGUGCAAGUGAAUAGACUUACUAUGAACAGUGAAUUAACUUUUAAAACUAAAUUUUUAUGCCCCGAACUUUUAAGUUAGUCAAGUAACGCCUCAUGCUCGACUCCGGAAAUGGACUCGGUUAAGGGGUGUUACAUCAAUUUUUUUUAAAGCUGAUUUUUUUUUUUACGAAUUAAAGUUUUGAUUGUAUGUUAAUUGCUUGAGGGAAGGUCGGAUACUUUAUUAUCCCUAUUUUUAUUUGUUAUAUAUUUUAGCCAUAAUGAUUUUUUUGGCUCUACAACUUUACCAAAAAAAUCAUAUUAUCUUUCAUUUAAUUUUCAUCUCUUUUAACCCUUUAACUUGUAUUUUUUUAUCAAAUCACCCCAAAAUGGAUCGAAAACUUAACAUUUGUAAACUUUGAUGAUGUGGCAUACACAUUAAUUGUCACAUGGAUGACAAGUCAACAUUUUUUAAAAAAAACUUAAAAAUAUUAAAGAAAAUAUUUUUGAUAUUUUUAAUGAUUUUUUUAAUUAAAAAAGUUUUUAUAUAUUUUUAAUUUUUAAAAAUUAAUUAAACACAAACAUAGAAAUUCGCAUCUAUGUGUCACAGGCCACAAAUUAAAGCCUGCGACCAUUUCGCAUAGAACACCCCAUAGAGGUCAAUUUAUUAAACGUGGUUCAUUUGACCCGCAUGAACUGGCUCGAAUCGUGGAACCCGUAGAGAAACCCAUCUACUUUAAGCCUUGGUGGUCUAGUGAAAUACUCCAAUAAAACUAGAGUUACUAGGGUAAAUAAUGUAAAUCUUAAAUGGAUAAGAUUGUAUAGAGUUUAAAUUCCUUAUAACUCUCAAUUGUAGAUAAGCGGUAACAUUAAUCAUCGAUGUAACUCAAUCUGUAUCGUUGCUUCUAGGAAGCUCAACUAUAACUAGAGGUCUCCCUCUUCAUUUGUAAUCAUUCCAUUCAUAGUUGUGAAUAUAUUUGAGAGCAUUUACUCAAACACCUUGUGUGCAUUGCUUUUCUUUGGCUAUUCUGCUCUUUCGAGCUUCUGUCUUUGAGUGUCACAUCCCAAAAUUGGGCCUAGAAGAAAUAGGGGGAAAAUUGAGUUUUAAUUUUUUUUUAACAUAGGGUAAGGGAAGUAGAAUGCCUUAAAAUUAAUUUUUUGCUAUAAAUCUAAUAAGAAUGAGUUUGUUGGUUUAGUGCUAAGGUCAUAGCCUACCUAUAGGUUCCAAGUUUGAACCCCUUGGUGAGCAUUCAACCAAAAUAUUUUUAUUUUCUUGUUUUUACCGCACCAAAAGUGACGAAUUUUAAAAUAACCCAGCCCAAAAACUAUAUUUUUUUAAAAUUUAGUCCUUAAUUUAAAAUUUUUCCCAAACCUACAUAAAUUUUUAAAACCUAUUCCAAUUAGGAAAGAUAAGUAUUAUAAAUAAACAAUUUCAAAACAAACCCUAGAAUUUCAUCUAGCAAUUUUUCGAGAAAACAUCCAUAAACACUUUAUUUUCCAAAUCAAACUUUCAAGCGAAAGGAAUCGAAAUCUUCAAAAUCAUCCCUCAAGUAGAUCUUCAAUCUCUUCUCCAACACUAAGGUUUUAAGUCUUCAAAAUAGGUGUGGGAACUAAACCUAAAUCUUUGUGUAUAAUUGAAUCUAAUAGCAUGUAGAGAACCAGUAUUGGCGAACCCUAGGAAAACCCCCCUGUAUGUGCGAUCAUGUAGGUGCGAGCCUGUAGAUGCGAAACCCCUUACACAUGAAAACCCCAUGCAUGCGAACCCUUACGUGAAACCCCCCCUUUCAUGCGAACCCUGUAUGAAUACCAUGCAAACCCUAGGUUGUUAUGUGGAUACUCAUACUGUGAACACAUGUGCACAAACAUAUAGGAAUAUUCAUGUGAACCCUACUAUUAGAUGCGAACCCCCUUAUACGUGAAAACCCCCUUGCAUGCGAACCCUAGUUAGUAUACAUACGAGUCUCAUAUUUACAUGCGAACCACUACUAGUGCGAGUCAAUUAUAUGAUACCACAUGCGAACCCUACUAUUACAUGCAAACCUUUAUACAUGUUAUAUUCUAACUUUUUUUGUUAAAAUAGGUGAGACUUGUCUAGUAUUACAGACGACCCUACAUAUACCUAAUUUGCGAACUCAUAUGUUAAAAGUAUGCAAAACUAUCUAUGUUUGUUAUGUGAACUCACAUGUUAGCAGUAUGUGAACCUAUAUAUAUCAGUUAUGCCAACUCACAUGUUAGCAGUAUAUGAACCCAUAUGUCUGUUAUGCAAACUCACACGUUGGCAAUAUGUGAACCCUAUAUACACCUUUAUGCAAACUCACACAUUAACAGUAUGCGAACCCUAUAUACGCCUUUGUUGAUGUUAGUUCCCAUGCAUCUUGUGGUGCAGCAAUCGUGGCCAUGCAGGUCACAUGGAGAAAAGAAGCAGCACAUGAAGGCAGUAACUGGAGCUUGUGGAUGCUGUCCAAAUUCAACUUAUUUUGUUGGUUUGAUUUUAUAGUUUGUAACUUAGUUCUUUUGGAACUUUCUUGGUAAAACUUUCGAUGUAUUUUUUAUGUUGAUUGACUGAAAAUUCAGCAAAGCAACUUAUGCAAGCUAGUUUAGCAAUUUUCAAUGUAUUAAGUGGUGUUAGGUAAGUGUUUAGGUAGUAUUUUGACUUGUAAGCUUAACUCAUGUUUGAUAUAUGUAAUGGCAACUUGCCAAUGCCUUGUUAAUGAAAAAAUUCAGCUUGUUUUCAAUUUCUGUUCUUAAAAACAAAAAGGUUUCUACUUUGUUUCUUCUCCAAGUCACGAGGCUUGCUGACAAAGCAAAGCUAAAUCAGCUUGCUCACUGCCUUUGACUCCAACAGCCUUUAUACAAACUCACACGUUAGCAGUAUGCGAUCCUUAUAUACGCCUUCAUGCAAACUCAUACGAUUAGCAGCAUGUGAUCCCUAUAUUUAUGCGAACCCUUCUAAUAACAAAUAUGCGAACCUUAACUUGCGAACCCUAGGCAGGAACCCUACACUCGCAAAGCCUUCUUCUGAACCUGUACAUAUGCUAGAUAACCAAGCCUAUUAGUUUACGUUAAAUCACUGUACAUAUGAGAUUGUUUGUUUACUUGCACAAAUUAUAUGUGUAUUUACUAUUCGAUACAAGAGUACCUAUCGACCUUUUGAUGAGAAUUCAGAGAUUAAUGAUGAUAAUUCCAACAAUCGGUGGAAGAACAAGUUAAAUCGAGAAUUGGUGUAAUUUAAGGUAAUAAAGAUUAAAUUUUCAGUAAUAAAUAUAAAAUUGUUAUGGAAAGAAAUGAUGGGUAAAAAAAUGAGAGUUUUAAACAGAAGAGAGGAAAACUUCAAUUUAGGGUUGAAGAGGAACUAAAAAUCCAUGUGAAAUUAGGAAAAAAAUAUUAAAUACCUAGGAUUAAAAAAUUUGAGGGGGCUGAAUGGUAAAAUACCCUUUUUGCUUAAAAAUGAAAAGAAAUGGAAAUGGGGAUUGAGUUUGGCAUGACUUGAACCUUGGAAGCAAAGGAAAAAAUUGCAAAGGCCAUACCAUUUGGGUUGCUACCUACAUUUGGCAUAUUUUUACACUAUUUAAUAUAUAUCCUAGCUUAGUUUUGAUCAUAGGUUGUUGAAAAAAAAACAAGGGGUAAGAGUGUGGCUUCAACCUUAGUUCUCUAGUUAGUAUACUAAGCUCUUAACCAUUAAGAUUAAGGCUCAUCUCUUAGUCAAUUAAUUCAUCUAACUCUAUAUAUUUUGGUGUGUUACAUCUUGAAUUAAAAAAACCCAUAAAAUGCAUGUAGACUUGUAUUGCUUGGUACUUGGUAGUAUAUAUGUAGACUUGUAUGUUGAUUAAGCCACCUUAAUUAAGACCAAUGUGUUAGACUUGUCUAUGCAUUGAACAAUUUAGAAGAAAAUGAAGAAAAAGACUCUAAAAGCACUUGAAAACAGAUAAAACUCAUAUGUCAUUGACUAGUUAAAUGUGGUCACCCAUAAUAGACCCUGUAUUUGACUUUUUGUUGAGGGAGAUUGACUCCUUUGGGAGAAGUCUCCUGAGUGUUGUUUGUCAAGCAGUCAGGGUUGUCCUAAACAACUAAAGGUAUUGUCCCCAUGUCGAGAUUUUAUCCCUAGCCUCUGCAAAAUAAUCAUGGAGAAUAUGUGCGAGAGAAUUCAAACACCAACCAAUGCAUGUGUAGCCUUUACCUUGCCACCAUCUUUGGGAACCCAUAAGGAUAAAAUCCCAACGAGAGAAUAGUAUCAUCUAUUGAGGGGUCUGUCAACCCAAUAAAUGAAAUUUAAAUGCAUACUUUUUUUUUAAUGAAAGUAAAUAUCAUAUUUAAUUAGAGAAAAGCAAUGAAAAAUCCAACAAUAAAAUCCUUAGCAAAAGAUUAAAACACAAUUGUACCAUAAAUUAAAUAAGAAACUAAAAAAAUUCAAAUCUAACGAAGACAAUAACUUGAUUCCUCAAAGCCACCAUAAACAGUAAUUCAUACGAAGGCCUGUUGCUCAUUUUAUAGGUUUCCAUUUUGAUUUUGCAAAAGAAGUUUGAAUUCCGAAGCGAGCCUAGUACAUGAGAGAAAAUUGUCGAAACCGUCUUUUUGAAAACAAAAAUUUAGUUGUCGACUUUAAAAAUAAAACUGGAGUCGCCACCGAUCCUUUAUUAGGGUGUGAUCGGCUCACCUUAAAAAUUAUUUUGGUCUACGAGCUUUAAGAAAACGAGUCCGGGAGUAAGUUACGCAUGAGGAAGGGUUAGCACCCUCGUAACGCCCAAAAUCGGUACCAAAUCGAUUAUUUAAUGUCUUAGUGUCGUGGACUAAAAAGAAGUUAAAAAAACCAAAUGAUGAAAUCAGAAAAGGAUAAUCAAUUGUUCAAGACAUGUAAAGAAAUCGAGUCCCAAUACGUUAGGGUACAAUUUCUCAAAAUUCCCGAACUUUGAAUAUCGCUUUUAUUUUAUGCGAAAACAUUCAUUGUGAGAAAGUAACAUGCCACACCCAAUACGUUAGGACACGACAAGUUAAGUUCCAAAAAAUGAUUUUUAUACUCAUGCAUUUUGAAUAAAAAAUAUUCUCGAUUAUUUAAAAUUAACAAAGAAAAUCGGAACCCAAUACGUUAGGGCUCAAUUUUCUCAGAAUUCCAAAUACCGAAUUGUGCCUUUUAUUCGAAAAUUCUUAUUUCGAGAAGUCAAAAUAUCAUGACCAGUAAGUUAGGACUUGACAUUUUUUGAUUCCCGAGAACAAGCUUCUAUUUGAAAUUUGCAUGAAUUUAUUUCAAAAUAAAUACCUGGUUUUCUAAAUUCACCAAGAAAUAAUCGCAAUCCAGUAAGUUAGGAUACUGUUUUUCUCGAGAAUCAUGAAUGCCAAAUAUUUUGGAAUUUUAUAAAAUAUGAUGAUUUUAAUGCUUUGACAGAACCAAAAUAUAUUUUCUUUAAAAAGUGUAGAAAAAUACUAAUGUAUCACAUAAAAUCAAUAUUUUAAUUUUAAAUUAUAUGCAUAUAUGUAUUUUCAAAAUAUAAGUAUGAUACAUAAAUAAAUUUUGAAAAUAUAAGUAUGAUACAUAAAUAAAUUUUGAAAACAUGUAUAUGCACAUAUUAAAACAAGUAUAUAUAAGUAUACACAUAUAAAAUAAAAUAAUGAAUGAGAUAUGUAUAUCAAAAUAAAAAUUAUCAAAAUUUCUACAAAAAAAAAUCAUGUAUGUAUAUACGUAAUGAAAAUUGUAAAAAUAAAAAUAAAAAAUAUGCAGAUGUGUAUAUAUUUACAAAAAAAAAUUUAAGUAUACAUGCUUUAGUAAAACAGAAAUAAUAAUAGUAUAUGAAGAAAUUAGGAAAAUGUGUAUAUAGAUGUACAUAUAUAAAAAAAAUGCAAAAAUAUAUUUACAAUAAUUUUGAAGGGCGUACGUGUAUAUCAAUAUCUAUUUAUGCAUAUAUAUUAUAAAAUAUGAAAGAAUAUAUAACUAUAAUAGAAAUAUAAAUGUAUAUACGUAUAUAUGUAUAUAAAAGCUAAAAAAGAAAUAAUAACAAUAUAUAUAUAUAUAAAUAUGUAUAUGUAUUAGAGAAAUAUUUAAUAUAUAUAUCUAUUAGCAUACAUAUGCGUAUGUAUGUAAGUAUAAUUAUAAUACUAUAUAAUAUAAUAAUAAUAAUAAUAGUAAUAAUAAUAAUAAUAAUAAUAACAAAAACUACAAAAAAAACCUUAAAAAGCACCAUUAAGGAUUAAACUGAGAGCUAAACGAAGUUAAAAGGCCAAAUUUAAAAAUAGAAAACACCAGGAAGGACAAAGUGAUACGCGCGCCAUGAGAGGAGGACUUAAAAAACAAUUUUCCCAAGUCGCUGAAGCACUGUGCAGUGACAUGGAUUAAAUCGUCACGCGAGCAAAAUAUUUGGGCCGAAUUUAAAAAGGAAAAAAAACUUGAUUGAAACACGUAGCAAAAGGGGAAGGGCUAAAAUAUAUAACAAAAAAACACAAAAAGUCAAUCUGGUAAAUCGAUGUUGGGUACUCUAAUUUUAGGAUUCAGAAGGCUUAAGAGUGUUUUCGCAUCAAAAUCGUACUAGGUGUGUCCCCAAAACACAAAAAGUCAGGUUUCGAUAAAAGCCGAAAAUGCAUCCAGUCGAUGCCACACGGACGUGUGCCUGGUCGUGUGGCUAGCCGUGUGUGAGACACGACCUUGUGGUGGUGUGAGUGUAGCGGUAUGGGCCACACGGGCUAGGCCAGUCUGGGCAUAUAGGCCCACAAUUUUAAAAUUUUCCUUAAGGCCACAUGGUUCGUUUCGAAUGAUUGUGGACCUACCAUAGGGUCGGUAAUGGCUAAUCAAACACUAAAUUAUGUGAUAUGAUAUUUUGAUAGUCUGCAUUGUGUAGGAUAUCGAUAUGUACAUCUGUUCUAUUUAAGUAUAUAUAUGCUAUCUGUAUAUGAGCAUGUUAUGCAUAAUAUUACUGUAUCUAUUAUUUCUAUAUUCUGUAUCUGUGAUUGUGGUGGGUUUUGUAUAUGUAGAGGAAGUGAUCUGUAUGGUGACACUUCCCUUAUAUUCUGGCAGUUGAUUGUAUAUUAUCUGUAAUGUGUUGUAUUGACACUAUAUGGUGUGUAGGGAUGGGUAGGUGUUUUAAACCUCAUAUGGUGUGAUGGGAUGGCCGAAGAUGUUGUGUAGAGGAUGGGGGUAAGAUUCUACAUAUCUGUACUACUUAUCUCAUUCUGUUAUCUAGAUUUGGAAUGGAUAUAAGUCCGAAUCUGGAUCUGACUGUAUAUAAGACUUCUGUUUGUAUUGCAUGUCUAUUUUUGUUGGGUUACACACUGAGUUUAUGAAAGCUCACAUAUGUUUGUCUGUUCUAUUCAGGUCUAUAGACUUAGGCGAAUCAGUGUGACGGAGCCUCACAGUGACCACGAGAUCGUAAACUGUUUAAGAUUAUGGUUUUUAUUUAAUUUAAGGAUUAUUUCUAGAAGUUUGUAAUAAUUGGACUUUCUAGACUAUUUGACUUUUAUUUCAAUUUUGGAGGCAUUUUAACUUUUAUGGCCACGUUUGACCAAAAUCACGGUUUUACUAAAAUAAAGGAUUUUCUAAAUACAUGAAUUAGAUUUCCAAGAUUCAAUGCUUUUUGAAAACUUCGACCUUAGAUUAUGUAUUGGAAAAUUAAUUAAUUAAAUAACGCUUCUAGUAACAAAUAGUACACUUGGGGUAUUUAUCAAAUGACUAAAUAAAGCUUUAUCAAAAUAUCACUGUUUUCAAAACCAUUCCAUGUAACACUCUUGGAUUCAGCCACAAUGUCUAGGCCGAGAUUAGGGUGUUACAUUUAAUGCUAUCAGAGCCAGGUUGCAAAACUCAAGCUAUGAAUUUUGGGUUUCAAAAAUUAUAUUUUGAAAAAGAACAGGUUUUCAAAUAAUUUGGAUCAUUCUGAGUAAGUAUGUGGUACACUGAGUCUAUGGUAUUGAUCCUGUAAGUACUUUUGAAAUUAGAUAGAACUUUCUGAAAACAUUGUAGUUAGUACUUUCUAAAACUAUACUGAAUUAGUUAAAAAUAGAAACCUCUGAAAUAUGUUCAAACUUCUGCUAAUUUGAGCAUAAAAUAUCUGUUAAUAAAGAUUGGAACUGAUGCAUAAAAUUUUGUAAUGUAGAUAAAUUUGAAAAUAUACGAUGAGCAAUUGUGGAACUCACGGUCAUGGUAUUCGUGGGCGCGUAGGGUCGUAGGGGGCUGGAGCUGAGUCUUUUUCUCUGGGCAGUAUGCCAAACUUAGAUAUGAGUGAGACACCGGUUUCACCUGCCAUUGAGACAAGGUCUCAAAGUCGCUUGGCUAGGGACGACGCACUGUCUCAAGCCAUGUUGAGGGUUUUGGAGAGGGUCACUAGACCUCAUUCUGGAUCUGUGGGUCGAUAACUGAACGACUCCGAUCCAAUAGAGCUGAGCUGUUUAGGUGUGUCAUUGGAGUCACCCCUACUGUGGCCGAGUAUUGGUUGGAGGCCACUGAGAGGAUUAUGAACGACAUUGACUGUACUCCUAAGUAGAAACUUAAGGGUGCAGUCACUUUACUUUGUGAUGAGGCAUAUCAAUGGUGGUUGUCGAUUGAGGAGGGUACUCAACGGGACUGUCUGAACUGGGAUUAUUUUAAGACUACCUUCUAGGGGAAGUAUGUGGGUGCGAGCUAUGUUGAUGCUUGUAGGCGUGAGUUCAUGAAUCUCACGUAAUGUGAUAAAUCUGUGGCUGAGUACGAGGUUGAGUUUCUGAGGUUGAGCCGCUACGCUUGAGGCAUAGUGGCGACUGAAUAUGAGAAAUGCAUAUGUUUUAAGGAUGGCUUGAGGUAUAAUCUGAGGGUAUUGAUUGCUCCACAGAGGGAGCGAGAGUUUUCAGUUCUUGUGGAUAUGGUGAAGAUCGCCAAGGAGAUUAAAUGCAUAGAGCGCUAAAAUAGGGAUCAUGAGUGAGGCAAGAAUAAGAGGGAUUCAGAGCCCUCUAGUUCUGUUUAGAGGCCUAAGAAACAGGUCAGACCUGAUUGGCUUGUUAGAGUAGGGGUUCCUAUUGCUUCUACUAGGAUUUAGCCAUGUGGUGAUUGUUUUAGGCGCCAUUCAGGUGAGUGUUGGAGGAGGUUAGAGGCUUGCCUGAGGUGUUGGUAUUUGGAGCACCACAUUAGAGAAUGUCCACUCCAUACGGAUUAGAUGCAAGCUUCAGGACUGAGUUUUAUAUAACCUCAGAGGGCAGUUCAACAGCCACCUAGGGGCCGUGGUCCGACUAGGGGUGGUAAUGGUAUGGGCCGAGGACAAAGAGCACUGGGAAAAGGUGUUAGUCAAACUGAGGCAAGGCAGCCUGCACUGGUUUAUGUUGCUUGAUGCCAAGAGGAUAGAGACGCUCUUGAUGUGAUCACAGGUACGUUCUUUAUUUUUGGUGUUCCAUAUACUACUCUGAUAGACAUAGGUUCUACUCAUUCCUAUGUAGGUAGUACUAUUUCCAAAAAUUUAUUGAUUUCUGGUGAGGGUACUUCUAGUGAAAUUAUUGUACUGAGUCCGUUGGGGCAGUCUGUUCGAGUAAGUAGACUUUAUAGGAAUGUACAUUUGGAAGUACAAGGGAUUGUGUUUUUGGCAGAUCUGGUAAGGGUAGUUCUAGUGAAAUUAUUAUACUGAGUCCUUUGGGGCAUUCUGUUCGAGUAAGUAGACUUUAUAGGAAUGUACCUUUGGAAGUACAAGGGAUUGUGUUUUCAGCGUUUUAUUCACAUAAAAGCAGCAAAAUUUAGCGGCGUUGUCUACAGCGGCAUUUUUUACGGUGCUUGUGAAAGCGCCGCUAUAGGCCUAAAAACACCGCUAAAAGCUUGUUUUGCUGCAGUGAAUUAAUAUUAUUAUAAGUGUAUUUUCACCUUUUCAUACUUUUAUAUAAUCUUUAAGUAAAACGAUUGAAAAUUAUUAUUUGAGAAUCAAACACAAGAGUAACAAUAUUCAUAUAGAAAACGCUUACCACUCCACUAAUAAUCAUUUGUUGAUGUAUUUUUGGUAAAAAGACCCCUCCAAUCCCUCUUAAUUUCACAAUUGCUCAAAUUAGUCCCUCUCAUAAAAAUUGGAGCAAUUUAAUCCCUAUCAAUUUUGAAAGUGAGUAACUAAGGACAAUUAAUUAUGGUGUUAAAUUCUUCCAUCAAUUGUACAUAAUUUUGAUUGGUAUAAGAAUAAAUUUAGCCUUCAAUGUUUAUAUAUUUUGUCAUUUUGGCCAUAAUUUAAAAAAAAUUCAAGAAAUUGAACCUCAACAUUUACAUAUUUACACAAACGUUGCGGGAAAAUUUUGUUAAAUUAAGACCAAAUUGCAAGUGUAAGUUUUGAGGGCUAAAUUUAUUAUUAUACCAACCAAAAUCAUGUACAUUUUAUGGGAAAUUAACAUCCUAAUUAAUUAUUCUUAGUUACUCACUUUCAAAAUUAAUAGGGACUAAAUUACUCUGAUUUUUUUAGGGUGACCAAUUUCCUCAAUUUGGAAUUUGAGAGAGACUAUUGAGAUCUUUUACAUAUUUUUUUAUAAAUAUAUAUAUUUAAUAUAAAAUAUAUUUGUUCACACACAUCGUGAGUAUGAUAAAAUAUUUUUAUUGUUAAUUAGUUGGUGUCAAAAAUUAACUCGACGCCAACUCAAUAUUAAUGAUAACAAUAUGAUAAAUAAUUGAUUUAUUUAAUAUUCUUAAUUUAACAUAUUGAUAUAAAUUUUAAGACAUGCUUGUCUUGAAGAAUUGUGAUUAUACUUUUCGAGUAUUGACUCAGUUUUCCACAAUUGUGGGUCUCUAUUUAAGACAAACAAUUUCAACAUUUCUUCAUAUUGUUUAAUCCAAAUGCAUUAAGGAUUUUCUUAUAUCAUUGUUUCAAAAAUGAUAAAAAAAAACAACGUCGACAUUGAAUUUGCUGUUUCACAUUCAAUUUUUGGAGAAGUAGAAUCUUCUAACUUAUUUUCCAUCAACUUCACUUCAAUUUUCAAUCACAAUCAAUUGCAUUCAAGAGCACCACAUAUUUUUUGGAUGAAACAAACCUAUCAAUUUUAAGAUAAACGGGUCUUUAGGGUUAUUAAUUGAGGGCCUUUUCCACAAUUGUCAUCGUUAAGCAUUUUUCAAUCUUGUCUACUGUGAAUAUCGUUUUUAAGCAUUUUUCAUUGAAAUAACGAUUAAUAGACAAAUAAUAUUCAAGUAAAACAAUUUUUGUAUAUUGGUUUGAAAGGUUUUCUAAAUAGUACAAGGACCUGAAACAGAACCACUGGACAAAGCUAACCAAAUCUAAGAGUUGGAAAUAUUUGGGAAUGAAUAGUUUAAAUUGUGAUUAUUUCUUCGGGUUCCUGUCAAAGAUAUCAGCUGAGCAAGAAGGCAGGGUAAUGUGCCAAUGAUAGAACCUUGAUGAACAACGAGCAAAUGUCAACCUAAGCAUUAAAAGGGGAUCAUUCUCAAAAAAUGACAUUCUACAUGUAACGCCCCAAAAUUUUAAUUUUGGGUAUUGUGAAUGUAUGACACAAAUAUCUGUCUGCUUUAGUGGUUAUGUGUUUUGGGUGUGUUUGGGAGGUCUCAAGUUCAAGUCAAUACUUGGGCAAAUUUUGGUAAUUUUAUGAAUAAGCCCUAUCUCUGGUUAUAGGCUUUUAAGUAAAAGUUGGCAAAUAAUUAAUAGAAUGGGUCUGUUGGUCUAGUGGUUAAGUGGAGUGUUGGUGUGAAGAAGGUCAUGGGUUCAAAUCUUUGGGACGGCAAGGUAAGUCGUUUUACUCUCCAUCUUUCUGACGUUUUCUCUCCCCCAUGUCUGCCGAAUUUUUUUUCUUUCUUCUUUACUUGUUACUCGGUUAUCUUUUCUUUUCUUUCCUCUACUACUGUCGAAAUUCCCUUGUUUCCCCUAAACCAUUCUUUCCUCUUGAUUUCGUAGCUUUAAGCAGCACUUGUUCAAAUUUAGUAAGUUGUUGGGUAUCAUUUUAAGAUAUUAUUUUGUAUUCAAUAGUCUAAUUUUGGGGUGUUGACAGUAGCAUUUCACGAGGAUUAAGGCUCUCCUCGUGAUUUUUGCAACGUACCGAUUUUAAGUUUUGCGGUAAGUGUUCAUCAUUUUAUGGGUAAGUAUUUUGGUUUCGGGAUUUUAAUUACUCACAAGGUAAGACUGAUUAUGGUGUUAUUUGCUCAAUUAUACGCUUAGGAGUGCUCGGGGACUAUUUUAGCAUCAAACAAAACCAAGUGUGCACCCGAAUCGCAAAAAUAAGGGAUUCGGCGAAAAGCCGAAAUUGCUUGCUGUUUGGACAGCAGCAGUAGGCUAACUUUGAAAAAUCAGCAUAAAUUGUGGAAAUCGAAUUAGAGGAUGAAAAAAAUAUGAGAUUAAAGCUUAUUGAGCCUAGUUUCUCAUAGAAGAAACGGUGUAAGUAAUGAAAUUGUAAAUCGUGAGUUAUAAUAGACUUAGUGAGACAAGGUCAGAAUGAAUUUGGGUUCCCCUGUUUUGACUUUGGAAAAUUAUCAAAAAUUGGAGAAAAAUAAUUAGGGGUUAAAUUUUACAUGCUUAAACUAUUAAUGAGUCUAUUUUCAAUAGAAACAAAUGAAAAUGUCAUCCAAAUUUUGUACUAAGAGAUAACUCAUUUUUAGCAAAGAAGAGUCAAAGUUGUCAGACAACAGAAAAGGGAUAAGUUUAAAUAUUUUACUGUACUUAUUAGCUGAACCAAAAAUUUUGGAAAUUUAUGGUAGAAAGUUAAUUGAGUCUAGUUUCAAAGACAUCAAACGGAUCUUAAUUCGGAAUUCUGUAGCUCAAGAUAUAAAUUUAUGUUUAUCUUAUUAUCUUUCUUAUUUUAGAAUUGAUUACAUGAAAGUUAAUUGCUAAUAUUAUUAGUUAAUUAUUAGUUUUCUUCAAAUCAAAUUAAACCCCGAAAGGUAUCUCUUUUUUUAUAUUAGUUUUAGUUAUCCAUUAAAUUUGUUUCUUUGUAGUAAAAUUAAAUUAUAGAAAUAACAUUAAAAUUUUAAAUAAAAAUAAUUCACAAUAAUUUAUUAUUUAAAAAACGCCCUGAAAUUUAAAAUUAUUGCUAUAAAUAUAUCAUUAAAUUAUACAGAAUUUAAUUUUUCUUUCAAAUACUAAAGUUAAUAAGGAAAGAGAAUAUAGUACAUAUCAAUAAAACUAUUAAAAAAGAAAUAUUGUUUAAAAUCAAUAGCGUCUAAAAAUUGUCAGAAUGAAAUAUUUGAUUUUAUAAGAUUUCAUUACUCUAAAAAAAUAAAAUAUGACAAUGCUUAAAAAUUUUAUUAAAAAAAGUUUUAAAUUUUAUAUAAAAUUUUAAAAAAUAAAAAAUAGUACUAAAAAUUUUUAUAAGCAAAUUUAAAUAUUAAUUAGUAAAUUUUUUUGUAAUAUUUAUAUGUAUUUUCAUUUUUAUAAAUACUAUUAAAACUUUUUAAAAAAAAAUUGAAUGCUAUUUAAAAACAUUAUUAAAAAAUAAAAUAUUAUAUGAAAGUUAAAAUGACCUAAAAACAUAUUUUAAAAAUUUAAAUACUUUAUACAAUAUUUAAAACUGCUUAAAAUUUCUAAACCCUAAAAAAUAAAUAAAAUAUAAUUUUUUUCUAAGAAAUCAAUAAAAAUAUAUUUAUAAUUGAACUGUCAACAAAAUUGUGGGAAAUAUUUAAAUUUUAUGAAAUUUUAAACUUAAACUGUCAAUAAUAGAAAAUUGCCUGAGUGACUUGGGAUAAGAGGUUCAACAUUUCUGGAUCGCAUUGCAUUUAAGGCGGGUCUUUAGGGUUAUGCUUUAGUUUUUUAGAACAUUUUCCACAAUUUGCCAUCAUUACUUGUGAGUGAUUUGUGGGGUAAGAGGUUGAACACUUCUGGAUCACAUUGCAUUUAAGACUGGUAUCAUUCAUAAAUUAUAUAUCUACAACAAGAAUGGUAGCCUCUUAUAUUAUAUUCAUGUAUCUAUUUUGCAUCUUUCAUUAUAAUAUGAUUUAGUAAUUUUAAUAUUUUUAUAGAAUAAUAUGCUUUAAUUUUUUUUGUAUCAUUCAUAAAAAUUAUAAUAAACUUACAAAAUGAUUUAAUGAUAUUUAAUUAUUAACGGAAAAAAUUUAUAUCAUAUAUAUUCUGUAUAUAUUAAGAUUUUGAAUGAUUAAUUAUAUAUCUACAUAUUAUAAUAAAUUCAUCUUUCAAAAUUUUCCUAAACUAUAUUCAUAAUAUUAUAAAUAUAUUAUAUCAUAAAUAUUCUUUCAAAUGUUUUUUAAUGUUUAAUAAUAAGUUAAUUUAUAAAAUAUUCUUUCAAUAAAUUAACGUGAUGAGAUCGUUAGGUGCUUGGAUUUGGUGACGGGGACGAGGAGAAAAGGGAUGGAAGUGAAGAGAAAUGUUGGGAAAUUGAAAGGGUUAGCAAGGGAGGCCUCCGUGAAAGGUGGUUCUAUAGAUGUGAACCUUCAAGCUUUUGUGGAUGAUGUUGCUCAAGGUUGUUGCAAGUAAAUUUAAAAAUAUUUUUUUAAUUAUUUUUUGUUAAAAAAUAUUUUUUUCUAUGUAGCAUGCCACAUUAGCAUACUACCAUGUGGUAACUUCUAGUGAUUUUCGUAUGUAACAUUAGACAAAUUAAUCGUUAAAUCGUUCAACUGACAGAUUUCGUUAAAGGAAGAGGUCAAUUGAUUUUUUUGGAAUCAUUGAGUACUCAAUUGGUGCACUAUUUUCAUAAAGACUAAAUUAAUUUUUUUAAUUUGUUAUCGCUGAGGGCUACAGUAAUAAAAAAUUUUGAGGUAAAAUUAGAAUAACGUCCCAAAAAUCUUAUAUUUAAUUUGUAAAAUUUUACCAUUAAUAAGUAUUUGUUUUAGUGGUUAAGUAUUUGAGUCGUGUUUAUAAUAUCUUGGAUUCAAGUCCCUACGUGAAUGGAUUGUUUUUUUUGUUUUUAAUUUUUGCAUGGGUCGGGUAGGUGGUUGAGUUUGAGUCCAUUUCGAACUUUGGAAAAAGGUGGUUAGUUAUCUGAGAUGGGUUAGUGUUAGUAGAUUUGGAUUUGGUUUAUUUUAAAAUUUAUUAAUUAAUUUGUUAAAAAAUUAAAUUAGUUUUUUCCUAAUUUUUGGCUCACCAUUCUUUCUCUUGUUCUUCUUUAUUCUUUCUUUUUCUGCUACCUUUCAAAUCACGUCGAUUUGUUCCUAUUUUGCUUUUGAGUUUUUCUUUUCUUUCCUUUACGCUCCUCUACGAUCGUGUCUUAAUUCCUUCAUUAUUUUCUCGUUGUUGGCGUUGCUCGUUCGAGAGUGGGUUAGUUUCCGUUUUGAUGUGUUUUUACGAGGUUAGUAAAAGAAAUGCGUUAAUUUUUGGAUUAUGGAGUUGAUCGUUUUUAAUCAAUUCUCCAGUAAGUUGACUCCUUUGCUGUUGUUAUGUGCUAGGUUAAGAGAUUAAUUCUGAUUUGGGCCUGCGUGGUUGUGUAGAUUUUCCAUGUGAAUUCGUUUGGUAUUUUUAGGAUAAAUCAUUCUUUAAGUCGUAUUGCUACCAUCGCUAAUGUGAUGUUUUAAUUUAUGCAUUUAGGAUUUGGUAGUUUUAUGGGUGUUUUCGUAUAAAAAUCAAACCAAGUGUGUAACGAAAAACCCGACAACAACGAGCGACGAAAGUCAAAAAAUUGCACUGUCGACACCACACGGCCGUGUGUCGGGCCGUGUGACAAGCCGUGUUUCAGACCGUGUGCGACACACUGUUUGGGCUAGUUAAGCCGUGUGGAACACACAGGUGUGUGUGAGGACGUGUGCCACGCCAUGUGAGCCACACGGGCUGGCCAUUUAGGCCGUUUGAGACCAAAAUACUAAGGGCACGUUUGGUUUGCUGUAUUGGAUUAGAGGUGUAUUGGAUUAGAGGUGUAAUGGAAUAGAUGUGUAAUAGCAAAUCAACUGUUUGGUUGAAUGUAAUGGAAUAGAGGCGUAAUAGUAAAACUGUGUUUGGUUGAAUGUAAUAGAGGUGUAAUAGCAUAAUGGAGAAAACUAAAAUGACCAGAAUACCCUUAGCAUAAAUUUGUUUUGGUAAAUGAUUAUUGUUAUUGUUAUUUAAAUUUUAAUAAGAUUAUUUAUUAUCAAAAAUAAAUAAUUUAAUCAUAUUUAAACAUAAUUAUUAUUUAAUAUAUUUUAAUUAAAAUAUAUAAUUUAAUAAAAUUCUUAAUAAUUAGCAGAAAUUUGUUUUGGUAAAUUAUUUUAUUUAAAUUUUAAUAAGAUUAUUAAUAUCAAUAAUAAAUAAUUUACUCAUAUUUAAACAUAAUUAUUAUUAAAUAUAUUUUAAUUAAAAUAUAUAAUUUAAUAAAAUUCUUAAUAAUUAAUAUUCUUAUAUGAAUUUACUCAAAUCAUAAUAUAUGAUACUGUAAAAUAUAAAUUAAAAUAAUAAUUAUUAAAUAUAUUUUAAUUAAAAUAUAUAAUUUAAUAAAAUUCUAAUAAUCAAUAUUCUUAUAUGAAUUUACUAAAAUCAUAAUAUAUGAUACUAUAAAAUAUAAUUUGAAAUAAUUAAUAUUAAAUAUAUUUUUAUUAAAAUAUAUGAUUUAAUAAAAUUUAAAAUAAUUAUCUAGAUUCAAAUUUAAGAAUUAUUUACAUGAACAAAAAUAUAAUAUUUGUUUCUAAGUUAAUUAUUUUAAUAAAAUAAUUAAAUAUUUAUAUAACGGUGUUCUCAUCUUUUGGUAUUUUUAUAUGCAAUUUUAAAGAUUGAAUCCAAACUUAAAAGAAUAUUUAUUUGUAAGCAUUUCACCGGUUUACUUCAACUCAAUUAUUGAUUAAUUUUUAAUAAACAUAAAUUCAAUCACUAAUUCUCUUGGCUCCUCUGUUUCAAUAUAUGAAACAUGACUCAAUCACUAAUCCUCAUAACUCAAAGGUGAGCCAGAUGGUCCAUCAGGGGGUGCAGAAGCAGCAUGAGUCAAAGCAACUAUGGCAUUUUUCCAGAAAGAGGAGCCAAGAGAAUUAGUGAUUGAUCUUAACAAUGGCAGAUCAUUAAGAUCCCGGGUCUGGCUGUCCAACCGAUCAACAUAGACUACAACAUCGGGGGGACACUUCUUUAUGUAUUGCUUUAUAGAAGCUAGGACUUUGUGAUUGGCACCUUGCUCCAUGGCAGAAGAUUUCAAACCUGGGGUAUCAAUGAUUCUCAGUUUAACACCAUCUACCAUUCCAGUAAUCUCUUUCACUACUGUAGUGGCAGGUUCAAAUGCAUGAAUUGAGGUCUUUGACUCACCAAAGAUUGAAUUUAUUGUGGCACUCUUGCCCACCCCAAUCUUCCCAAGCACAAGCAUGUUUAUGGAGAAGCUUAAAUCAUCUUUACCCUCUGUUUCAAGUUCCAAAGCUUUCCUCUUCGCAGAAUCAACACUAAACAGUUCACUGGUUUGUCUCCUUGCAACAUGUGCCAGUCUAUAAAGAACCUGUGCUGCUAAAGAAUCUUCAGUAGAAAGUCCGAGCCUUUGAAGAAUCCUCAAAAAUUUGACUCUUAUAAGCUGUAACUUUUCCAAUUUUAUUUUAUCUUCUUCUGUCAAGUUGUUGUCAGAAUCUCCCCUACUUGUUACAGCAGGACUAAAUAUGUUAGGCCUGUUUGAUCGAGGUGCGGAUGUUGCAUUUUGCAGUGAGGAUCCUAAGCCUGCAGGACGUUCAACAGUGAAAAGCCUAGAUCCAUCUUGAGAGGUUAUAGUAAUGUUGCCGCCAUCAGAGCCAGCACCAGUUGCUGCUUUCAAGAGGGCUGCCAAAGCAGCAGAAUCAAAUAACUCCUUCCCCUCUCCUUCUUCAUCCGUAUCCCCUUCUUCAUCUGAAUCAACAGCAUUUGUCUGUAUAUGAUUAUGAGAAGUAUCAGCACCCGAGUGAGAACCAAUGGCAGAUCCUCGUUCUAGCUCCUCCAAGAAUUGCUUAGCAGCUUCAGCAUUCUUAAAGAACAUACUUUCAGCCUCUCCAUCAGUCUCUGAGCCUUCAUUCUAAUGCUGCUUCUCUUCCAUUUCACCUUCAAAACUAACUUUUCCAGCCACUGUAGUUUGCUCUACUGACUCAGGCCAAUGAGAUUCUUCUCCUGGCAGGGUUACUGACCUUUUGCUUUGAGAAUCACUAUCUAAAUUCUCUGUUUCAUGAGCUGCCAUUAUUUCUGUAGGUUGAGCAGAACUAUCCUUUGCCUGAAUUCCAUCUCCACCCCCUCCAUCUACUUUCUCAGCAAAUGCUUGUUCCAAAAUAUCUAUGAUCUCCUCAUCUUUGAGAUCAUUUAGCUCAGUCCCAGAAUUGUCUUUACCAAGCAUAACCCCACUGGCAAUAUCAGCUUUAUUCUCAGCAUCAACAGCCAACUCGUCUCCGCCGGAAAACUUCGAACCAUCAGCAUGAUUCAAGCCGUUAUCCAAGCUCGCAUUAUCGUCAACUGGAACCACCUCUGUCUCCUUCAUCACCAAUGUCUCAAUGCCUAAAGCAGCUCCAGUCAAAGGUUUCGCAUCGACAGCCAACUCCUCUUCGCCAGAAAAUUUCGAACCAUCGACUUCAACUACCUGAUGAUCUACUGUUUCUACAAUCAUAGGAUUGAAACCCUUAGCUCCACCAUCUAACACCAAAUUAUUCUCAAAAAUCCCAAUUCUACCUUCCUCUCCACUUUCCAUUGAUAAAACAGAUUGGUCGACUUCUCCAAUGGAACCCAUUUCCACCUUAUCGUCCUUUUCACCAUUACCAACACUAUCAACAUCAACCUUCCCCAUCGAACCCUCACCUCUAUAUUCCUCUAAACCAUUAUCGCCAUCCCCAAACGAGUCCUCAUUCAAAAUCACAUUCGAACCAUCAGAACCAACAAAAGGGGCAUCACUAACAUCCCUCACGGUCGGAAUUACUUCAUCAGGGUCAGCCAUAAAUGGCCUCUCGGGUACUGUUUCAAACUUCCCCUCACCAUUCUCGUUACUAUCAUUAGUUUUACCAUUCCCAUUAUCUUCCAAAGUACGUUCACUUACUGAACUAGUUACAAACUCAGAAUCAUCAUUCGAAGUUAAAGAAGAAGAAGAGGAAGAAGAACCUGGAGAGGUAGAGAGCGACUGAGAAGUGAUUUCCGGGGCAGAAAGCAAGGCGUCCAUGGUUGAAAGAGAGGAAAGGGAGAUAGAGAGAAUUGGGUUUUAGGAUAUGGAAUGAAUUUUGAGUGGCACACAGAGGGAGCAAAUCGGCAGAAAGGGUAAAACAGGGAGGGGAAACCGAAGGGGCAACUAAUCUGCAGAAAAGAGGGGGAUUAGAAAUCGGUGGUUUUCACCGAUUAGGAAGGUAAAGGAUUACACCCGUAUUAGAAAUACAUCAAACCAAACGAUGGAAUACAGUCGCAUUAGGUGGGGCCCACCGAUUAGGGGUGUAUUGGCUAUGCCAAUACACCCAACCAAACAUGGUGUAAAUUUUUCCCUAGGGUUAUACACAUCGUUAUGAUCGAUCGUAGGCCUUUCGUGGGGUCGAUAUAUAAUCAAAUAGACUGUAAAGUAUGAAAUCCGGUCAACUAAUAGUAUAAAUUCUGAUAUCUGUUCAUAUAUUUGAGAUGUUAUUUGUUCAAUAAACCUUGUAAUAGGCUAUGAGAAACUUGAGAAAUAUUAUGUAUGCUUUGUAUCUGUUAUGUCAUACAUGUAUAAUGUAUUAUGUCUGAUUUUGUUCUAUUCUUUUCUGUAUUUGCAUCUGGGGUGGGUUAUAUUAUGUGGAGGAAGCGUUUCUUUGAAUGGCGAUAAUUCGCCUAUUACACUGGCAGCUCAGCUACAAAUAUUCUGAAAAGUGUCAUAUCAACACUAAGUGGUGUGCAGGGCUGGAUGAGUGUUUCAUACCCCAUAUAGUGUGUUGGAAAGGUCGGAGAUAGUGUUAGCGGAUGGGGGUAGGAAUAUAUGUCUGUAUCUGUACUGCUCUAAUAUGAAUAUGUUCUGCUAAAUCUAUCUUAUACAAAAUAAAUAUUUAAAGUUAUUCGUUAUACAUUGAGUUUUGUAAACUCACUUUCUAUUUGUUUGAUAAUUUUAGGUAUUCCUCAGACUUUGGCAAAUCGGUGUGAAAGAACUUGGUUAAAUUGAUUUAGUUUCAUUAUCUAUUAUAAUUAAAUUUUGGGUUAUUGUGUUUCAUUAUUUUUGGACUGUUGGGAAUUUUUGGAUUGUUUUGGUUUUUGAGAUUUUAUUUUCAAUUUUUGCAUGAUACUAUUAAAAAUGUUUUAUUGGAAAUGUUUGUUUUCCUGCAAAACAACUAAUUUCAGACAAAUAAACUUAGUUUUCCAAACAUAAUGAUAUGAGAAUUUUCGCUUUUAAGUAUUCAUUUUAGAAAAUGUAAGCAAACAUCGUUUCAACUAUAAAGUUAAGUUAGAUGUAUUUUUCUCUUAAAUCGAGGUUUAAGUAAUAAAAGUUUACGACAUUUUUCCAAAUUUUACAAAAAAUUGGAUUUACAAUUGUUUUAUGUAACAUCUCCAGAUUUGGUCAUAACAUCUAGUCGGAUUUCGGGUGUUACAUUUAGUGAUAUCAGGUCAGGUUGCAAAACUCAGGCUGUGAACUUUUUGGUUCAAAAUUUUGUGAAAACUAUUUUUCGAGUAAAGUUUGUCGAAACCACUUUUUCGAAACAAAAAAUAGCGUCGACUUAAAAAAUGAAAAUUGGAGUCGCCACCAGUCUUUUUUAUUUAGGUGUGAUCGGAUCACCUCCUAAUUUAAUCAUUUAAAUAAAAGUUAAAAUUUACUAAAACGAUUAAUGGGUUUAAAAAACCUUUUUCUUUACAAACAUUAACAAUAAUAAACGAACAUCGAAGAAAUAGAAAAGAAAAAAGAAAUCGAAAAGAAAAAAAAUUAGAUUUCAAAUCACCUCUCAAAAAUUUAAUUGCUUUCUGAUUUCUUUGGUAUCUUUUUUUACUGAUUUCUUAUUGUUCGCGUAAAAAACUUACAAAGGUCUUUUCUUCCGUUUUAUAGGCAAAAUAUGAAAUAAAUAAAAAAAUACAAUAUAUGUUUUUUCUGUGUUGCUUUUCGUCCUAUUUGUAGGUACGAAGACCAGCUAGCGCUGUACAGAGGCGGUGCAGCACGUGCUUGGCUGAGGUGACUAGAGGCGUGCGGUGGCUGGGUCUGCUGUGUAGUUUAGGGUUUCUGUUGAUUUUUGGUUAUUGGGCUGGGGUUUAAUUUGGGCUUGGGAUUGUGUUUGAUUUUUAAUCUGUAAAUGGACUUUUUAAUAUUGGACUUUUAUUUUUUAUUUGGAUUAUUAUUAUUUUUUGUGUAUGCGGGUCCGGGCUCUACAAAGUUCAUUUCUGGAUUAAUCUGAAAAUUAAUUAUGUGAAGUACCGAGUCUCUGACGUUGAUCCUGUAAGUACUUCUGACUUAGAAAAAUUUUAGUUUAGAAAACUCUAAAAUGAUUAGAACUGUAGUUGGAUAGUUAGAGACAGAAACAUUUCUAUAAAUUCUUUUGAUAACUUUUUGAGUAUAAAAUAUCUACUAAUAAAUACUAAAAUUGAUACAUAAAAUUCAUAAUAUAGGUAAUAUAUACGAUGAGUACUCGUGGAACACAUGGACGUGGUAACCGUAGGCGUGGCAGGCGCCGAAGAGGGGCUCGAGCUGAGUCAUCCUCGAUAGGUACCUGAUAGGCUAUCGCUGGAGAGAGCAAUAGUCUUGAGAGAAGAAAUUUGAAGAUCGAAGUCGGAAUCUGACCUUUAAGGCCUUUAAUUGCUUGAAUAAUAAGCAUUUCCAAACUAAAAGGAUUACAAUUUCUUCAAGAAUUUGACCUGCAGACAUAGUUGAAACAUGAAGGUGUUAAAUUACCUAUUUUGUUAGUGUAAAUCAAAGAGGCUUUUUAUUUUUAUUUUUCGUUGUGAAAUAAUAUGGAUAUGUUAGAUUCUAAUCAUAUUUAAGUAUAUAUUAGUUCUUGAAGAGUUCUUAUUUUUGGUAUUUAUAUUGCAAAUAAUUUUUUUAAAUUAAGAAAAAAGGGGGGAGGGGCAAAUGUGUUUAAACUAAAGACAUCAAGGAGAGUUGUGUCAAAUUCCCAAUGCUUUUUGGAAUGAUCCCACUAAAUUGAUUAACAGACAAUUCCAAAAUUUGAAAAUUGCAGCAUUUGUCUAUACUUGAUGGAAUAGAACUUGAUAAUUCAUUUCUACUGAUCAAGUAAAGCUCUUUAAGCUUGGGAAGAUGGACACACAAAUCAUCAGGCAAGCCACCAGAAAGACUAUUAUCACGUAAAUGAAUCCUUUUCAAAGAAGAAAUGUUAAACAUGGUGCAACCUGGCCAGGUAAUUGAUAAAAUUUUGAUUUAAUCCCUUAAAAAAUAUAAAAAUAUAGACUAUUAAAAUGGUAAAAUUACAUUUUUACUAUUGUAAAAAUUACAAUUUAAUUUCACUCCUAAAAAGAUUUUCUGGCUUCGACCCUAAUAAAUUCUUUGGCAAAAGAUUAAAAUAAAAUUAUACCGUAAAUGAAAAAAGGAAACUAUAAGAAAAUCCAAUCUAACAAAGAAAAUAACUUGAUGUCCAAAAGCUACCAUAAACCGUAAUUCAUGGGAAGGCUUGUUGCUCAUUUUAUUGGUUUCCAUUUUGAUUUUGCAAAAGAAGCUUGAAUUUUGAAGAGAGCCUACUACGUGAGAGCAAAAGAAAAAAAAAUUGUUUAUUAAUUUUUAGGAAUACCGAAAUAUUAUAUAUAUGAUUAAAAAUGUUGAAUUAAAGAUAAAAUUAAGUGUGAAUUAAUAACCACAAGUGUACUUAUUACUCACCAUCUCUGUUAAAAAUGUUGGAUGUUGUUUAGCAACCUUUGUUUGAUUUUCUUCAGCUCAACCACAACAUCUUUCAUAUCUUUUCUUUCUUCUGGCAACUCAGCUGAACAAUUCAAAGCCAACUCCAUGAUAGAUGUAAUACAAUUUGCUUUAACGACAAUGUACUCAUCCUCUCUUCUUAAUAAAUCAACAUCUGCAAUUUCUAUCGCUCCUUUAGGCAAUGAACUUUCCAUCCAAUGCCUUAUACUCUCUUCUUCAACAAAAACAUUAUCAGUAGGCUUUUUCUUCGUGAAAGUUUCUAUAAGGACGACCCCAUAACUAUAGACGUCAGAUUUUAUAGAAACAAUUCCUGCUGAUCCAAAUUCUGCAUUCAAGUAUAAUUAGAACGUCAUUCAUCCUCAAUUAUUUCUAAAAUGCUUAUUCAAAUAUAUAUUCACAUCCACAUGAAACAAAAAUAUAAAAUGCAUAUUAGGAAAAUAAUCAUACAAAAAUAAAAAAGAAUUCACCUGGUGCCAUAUACCCGAUAGUUGCAAGAGUCAUGGUUUGCUUCAUUACUUCACCUUCCCCCAACAAUUUGGCAACGCCAAAAUCUCCAACAUGUGCAACCAUGUCUUCAUCUAGUAAAAUAUUGCUUGGUUUUAUGUCACAGUGAAUUAUAGGUGUUGGAUGUCCAUUGUGGAGGUGUUCUAUAGCUACCGCAACAUCUAUCAUUAUAUCGACCCUUUGUAUGAUAUCAAGGAAACAAUUUUCAGAAUGUAACCAUUUCUCAAGGUUUCCAUUAGACAUGUAAUCAAGCACCAAGGCUUUGAAGUCAACACUUGAGCAGCAAGUAAUGACCUUCACAAUAUUACGAUGAACUAUAUUACGCAUAGCAUCACAUUCAAUGUCAAAACUCCUAAAUGCUCCCUCUGUUUGCAAAUUGAAAACUUUUAUUGCAACUUCCAUUCCAUCUGAAAGCCUCCCUUUAUAUACAUAUCCAAAACUCCCUGAACCAAGCAUAUUGCUUUCCUCAAAUCCAUUAGUUGCUCGUGAAAGUUCAGCAUGUGAAAUUCUUCUCGGUGUCUUCAAAGACAACAAAUCAUCUUUAACUGGUAGAGUUGUACUCCUUUGGCAUCUUCUAUACAUAAUAGUUAAGACUAUUAGUACUAGGACAAUACCAAUUGUUGGUAAACCAUACCUAAAAGCAUGCAAUAUAAUCAUUUGGGAGUUUUUGUGGAUGUCAUUUUUGCAAGGUGGGACUAGCAAUCUAGGUGGACCACAAAGUGCACAAUUCUUCAUGAAUGAUGUGCUAGAAAAGUUUGAAAAACAUCCUUUGCUGGGAAUUUCCCCUUCAAGUCUAUUGAAAGACACAUUAAAAUACUUUAGAUAUAAAAGUUGUUCCAAAGAUUUGGGAAUGACUCCAGAGAAAUUGUUAUUGCAUAAAUCCAAGAAUUCCAAACUAAUCAACCCAUCAAAUGAUUCAGGGAUACGACCAUGUAGUAUAUUAUUUGAUAAAUCUAAUGAAACCAAAGUUUGAAGACCCCCAAAUGUGGAUAAGAUAUCGCCCAUGAGAAGAUUCCUUGAUAAAUUUAGUCUCAGUAGACUCCUAAAAUUUCCAACAUCAAUAGCAUGUGAAUUGUGAAGACGGUUUGAUGAUAAAUCUAUUUCUAAGAUAUCUUUAAGACUCCACAAAGUUGAGGGUAUUGUAGAACUCAAUUUGUUGGAAUCUAACCAAAGAUAUCUCAAAGCAGAAAUAUUACCUAAACAAGAGGGUAUGGAUCCAUGCAGCUUAUUCAACCCUAAAUGCAUCUCGUAUAGUCUCUCCAAACCACAGAGGCUUUCUGGGAUAGGCCCUCCUAAUUUAUUAGAGGAAAGAUCUAGACCUUGCAGAUUCCGCAGUCCUCCUAUUGAUGCUGGAAUGAAUCCACUUAAUUUAUUAUGGCCAAGUUCUAAAACCAAUAAGUUGGUUAAGUUACCUAUUUCCAUAGGAAUAAUGCCUUGAAGCUCACAAUUAUAGGCAAGAAAGAAUUGAAGGGAUUUUGAAAGGUUCCCGAUAUAAGUAGGAAGAACACCACUCAAUGGAUUUCCCGAAACUCCUAUGGCUUUCAAAUUCCUACAAUUCGUCAAAGAAGAAAGAAAGCUCCACUCAUGAUCAGUAGCAGAUCCUGUGAUCAAAUUAUUGUCAAAGAUUUUGAGCACUUCAAGGUGUUUUAAGCUGCCUAGCGUUUUAGGGAUUGGGCCAGAGAAUAAGUUAUGUGACAAGGAUAGAAUCUUUAGCAUGGAAGCAUUGGAGAUAGAGUUGGGAAUGUUUCCGCUAAGUUUAUUUCCCCACAAUAAAAGAAUCUCAAGCUUUGGAGCAUUGGUGAUGGGUGGUAAAUUACCUGUAAAAUAGCAUCUUUUAGUAUACAUAUUCACAAAAUAUAUAAUACAUUAAAAUAAAAACUGUAAAACUUUAAAUCAAUUAAGAAUAAAAUUUUGGCAUGGAAAAAUGUGAUGAAAUCAAUUAGAAAGUUGAGACAUAAUAAGAAGUUUUGAGUACUAAUUAGUCUUUGUGAUUUGUAUAGACAAAACAUAUAAUACACUAAUAAUUUUUUAAAAUAUUGUAAAACUUGAAAUAAAAUAAAAAUAAAAGUUUGGCAUGAGAAUGUGGCAUCUAAUCAAUCUUAAAAAUGAGACUCACACUGAAUAAUAAUUAGUUAUGAUUUGGGAAACAAAAAUGUUAAAGCCAUUGUUUUUAAUGUAAACUGGUAUGAUUCUUAUCUAUUGGGUUAAUUAUUUAUUUUUAUUAAAUUAUAGUGUAAAAUUUAAAUAUUAUUAUUUGCUCAAAAUUUUUGUAUUUUUCGUAUAUUUGAAAUUCAAUCUUUAUAUUUUUUAUUUUCUGUGAUUUAGUCUCUCUACUUUUUUUAUUAAAAAUUUUAGGUUCAUUUAUUAACACUGUUAAAAAGUUUUUGUAUUAGUAUGACAUUUUGAAAAAUAAAAUAAACUUGAUAUCUAUGUUUUUAAUUAUUCCAAAUAUUGUUUUACUAUUUCAAGAUAAAUUAUUUGUGUCUAGACCAAUAUCUUAAGAACUAUUGUUGCAUGUUUAAUUAUUCUAAAAAAUUAUUGAUUGAGUCUUAGCUUGAUUGGCAUGUGCAUUGUUGCCAAUAUAAGAGAAUGUGGGAUCAAAUAUGCUGAAGUUCAUUAUCCUCCUGUUAUGAAUUGGGGAGUUGGUAAAGUAUUAAAUUUUGAUAUAUUUUAAAAUAUUAAAAAUUUAUUAAAAUAUUUUUUAUAAAAAUCGGUUGUACCACAAUAUACAAUUUUAAUAUCAAAUUUUUAAUAUUUUUAAAAUAUUAGCGAAUAUAUACUUUAUUUCAAGUUACACAAUUUUUACUAGUUUUUAACUUUUUUUAAAAUUUUUAUCGUCUUUUAUAAUUUCUAAUAAUUUUUUACAAUAUUUAACAAUUUCUAACCAUUUUUAAUAAUUUUAUUACUUAUUAAAAAUUAACAAAUUAACUAUUUUUUAUUUUUUUAAAACAAUUAUAUAUUUAUAAUGUAGUUAUUUUUUUAUAAUUUUAUUUGAAAUUUUAAAGUUUUUUUGGUUUGUUUUCUAGAUGAUGAUGCCAUCAUGAUGUCAUCAUAUGCCACAUGGCAAUUUAUGAUUAGUUGAAUAUCUCAAUUUAUUUUUUUAAUGUCCAAUGGACUAAACCAAGAACACUUGAUUAUGUUAGAGACUACACUAGGAAUGUUUGAUAACAUUAGGUACUAAAGUAGGAAAAAAAAAAAAAGGAGCAAUACGAUGUAGGGAGUAAACUGUGCAUUAAGCCAUUAAAAAUAUAUCUAUAAUAUAUAUAAAUGCAUGGAUUUUGAGAAACUUUUGAAAUGAUAAUUAUAUAGUCUUUGUUUUUUUACUAUAUUAUUGAAUUUGUUAUUUUAAAUAUUUUUUUAUUACUUUUAAGAUUUAUCAUAUGUAUGGAUAAGAAUUUUGGUUUUACUAAAAUAUUUGGUUAAAUAAAUUCACUUCAUAAGAAGAUUUAGCAUCCUUGUAAAUAACAAUUUUGAUUCUAUUAAAAAAUUAUUUUAAAAUAUAUAUAAUAAAAUUUUAAAAUUUAUAUUGAAUUACUUUAUACUUAAAUUAUUAUUAGAAACUUUAUCAUACACAUACGUGUAUGAGAACUAUGUAUUUAGAACAUAAAUUUGUGUUUUAAAAUAACUUAUGAUAAAUAAUGAAAUGUAUAAUUUGAAACUAUUUAAUAAAAACACAUGGCUUAUCUACAAUAUUAAAAUAAAAAUAGCUUAAAUUGUAAGCAAAACAUAAUUUAAACAUAUGAAUACAUUAAAUUAAGAAUACUAAAUGAAUACAGUUAUUUAUGAUGGUGUUGUCUUCAAUUCCUAAGUUGGUGUCAAGUUAAUUUGUGACAUCAUAAAUUUAAGGUUUUAUGUAUUGAUGUGGAUUCAAAUAUCACCAUUUUUUUUAAAAUAAAAUUUAAAAUAAAUACAUUUUCCACAUUGGUUUCUUUUCUUCUACAGACAAAGGAUUUCUAAUGAUUUUUUUUUUAAAAAAAAUUACUUAUAUAAAAUAGAUUAGUUUAUGCAAUAAAAAUAAUUUCUUUUUUAAAGUUUAAUAGAAAUUAAAAAACAAAAAAAAAAUCAAUUCAUAUAAAGCUUAUUGUUUAUUAUCAGAUUAAAAUGAUAAAAGUAUACGAUAAACCCAUACUUGACGGAAUGUUACCAGAUAAUUCAUUUUUAUUCUAGUAAAGCCCUUCAAGCUUGAGAAUAUGUUGACACAUAUCAUUAGGCAAACUACCUGAUAGGUUAUUGUUGGAGAGAUCAAUGGCCUUCAGAGAAGAAAUGUUGAAGAUCGAAGUUGGAAUCUGACCUGUAAGGCCUUUAAUUUCUCUAAUAUUAAGCAGUUCCAAACCAAGAAGAUUACCGAUUUCCUCAGGAAUUUGAUCUGCACACAUAGUCGAAAAAUCAAGAUGUGAAACUACCUAUUUUGUUAGCAUAAGUCAAAGAGGUUUUCUUUUCUGUUCUACAUAAUUUGCAGAUGUUAGAUUUUAAUAUUUUUAAGCAUAUUUGUUUUCAUCAAAUUAACUAUUUUGAACUAUUUUGCCUUGAAUGAAAUAAAAUGCUCAUAUUUUUGUUAUCUAUUACUAAUCAAACUCUUUUAUAAAAAAAAAUACUUUAAACUAAAGAAACCAAGAAAAUUCAAUACCUUCUAAGUUAUUCAACUCCAAAUAUAAUUCUUUGAGUCGUGUCAGAUUUCCAAUACUUCUUGGAAUGAUCCCCCUCAAUUUAUUAUCGGAAAAUGCCAAUAUUUUAAGGUUGCUGCAUUUGCCCAUACUUGAUGGAAUGUUACCAGAUAAUUCAUUUUUAUUCAAGUAAAGCCCUUCAAGCUUGGGAAGAUGUUGACACAUAUCAUUAGGCAAACUACCUGAUAGGCUAUUGCUGGAGAGAGCAAUAGUCUUGAGAGAAUAAAUGUUGAAGAUCGAAGUUGGAAUUUGACCUGUAAAGCCUUUAAUUGCUUGAAUACUAAGCAUUUCCAAAUUAAAAAGAUUACCGAUUUCUUCAGGAAUUUGACCUGCUGACAUAGUCGAAACAUCAAGGUGUUAAAUUACCUAUUUUGUUAGUGUAAAUCAAAGAGGAUUUUUAUUUUUCUCGUUAUGAAAUAAUAUGGAUAUGUUAGAUUCUAAUCAUAUUUAAGUAUAUAUUAGUUCUUGAAAGAAAGAGUUCUUAGUAUUUAUAUUGCAAAUAUUUUUUUUAAAAUUUAAAAAAAGGGGGGGGGGCAAAUGUGUUUAAACUAAAGAGAUCAAGGAAAAGGCAUACCAUCUAGGUUAUUUAACCCCAAGUAUACUUGUUUAAGUUGUGUCAAAUUCCCAAUGCUUUUUGGAAUGAUCCCACUAAAUUGAUUAAUAGACAAUUCCAAAAUUUGAAGGUUGCAGCAUUUGUCUAUACUUGAUGGAAUAGAACUUGAUAAUUCAUUUCUACUCAAGUAAAGCUCUUUAAGCUUGGGAAGAUGGACACACAGAUCAUCGGGUAAGCCACCAGAAAGACUAUUAUCACGAAAAUGAAUCCUUUUCAAAGAAGAAAUGUUAAAGAUGGAAGAUGGAACCAGGCCAGAUAAUUGAUUGAAUCCCAAGUUCAAGAUCUCUAGAUUGGAUAAGUUGACAAGUGUUUGAGGGAUUGUGCCUGUGAAGUUAUUAUUUCUCAUUUCCAACCUUUGAACUCUGUGCAAGUUCCCAAGCCAUGAUGGAAUUUCCCCAUUAAGACGGUUGUAGCUUAAUCGAAUGAUCCUCAAACGAUGCAAUUGGCCCAAUUCUUUAGGCAGAUGGCCAUAGAAAUUGUUGUUGCUCAGGUCGAGAGAAAAUAGAAAUGAAAGAUUUCCAAGGUGUGGAGGGAUAGUACCCCUAAGAUUCAUGUUUGUAAGAUUCAAAGCUACAACUCUUUCAUGGAUGAUGUCACAAGAAACACCAGCCCACUUACAAACAGAGGUAGAGUUCGUCCAAUUGUUUGCCAACACAUUUUGAGGAUCGACAAUGCGAUCUUUAAACUCAAAGAGUGCAAACUGAUAGGAGUUGAGAUUCCGGACUGUCAUAGCCAAGGAAACAAUGGAACAUUGUAUGAAUAAAAGUGAAAGAAGAUGAAAGCAAGUGUUGUAGUUCAUGAUGGCAAGACGAAAUAAGCCAGGAAAAGGGAAGUUGAAUUGAUGAAGAAAUACCCAGCCAACAUGCUUAAAUAGGCUUCAACCCUUGCACACUUCUCAUACAUAAAGUUCACUGCCAUUACAACAAGAAAACUCGUAUCUCCAUUCAUACCUAUCCAUACUUUAUUUGACUAACUUUUCCCUAACAGGUGUUCAGUAAGGAGACAAAUCACUUUGGAGCUAUUCACCGACUUCUCCAACCUUGGUUUCAAACUCCUAGCCCAUCAAUUCACUUUAAUUGAAACGAUAUACACGAGUCUUUCGGCUUAUAUUUUUAACUUACUACUUCUCUUUUUAAUUUAUUUUUUGUUACUUCUCAUAAUAUUUUUUGAGAAAUCCAAUAUUCCAGUCUGAAAUUUCUUCAUUGCCACGUCUAUCUCCUCGGUAAGUUCGUGGCUAGGCGGCCCACUUUGGGGGCAGGAUUGUAAUUUUAGUUCUAUCCGACUCAUUUUACUAUUUAGAAAUAUAAAAGUAAUAUUAUAUUAAUUUUUAUAUUUUUAUAAAUUUAAAUUUAAAUUUAAUUUUUAAACAAUAAAACGAGUCAUUUUUAUUUGCCUAGGCUAAAUUGAAUCAGGAGUGAAAAAUUUUUUAAUCAUAAUUUACUAUUAUUUUAAUUAAUUAAAUUUUAAUUUACUAUAACUAGUAGUUGCAAAAAAAAUGACAUUCCUUUAGAAAAAUGAGAACUUAUGAAGCAUUCAAUAAGAGUUGUUGGAAUACAUGGUAACGAAACCAUAAUUCGAUAUAAAACUAUAUAAAUAAUGUAAGAUUUGUGAUACCUAAAUUGUUAUGUUUUCUAUAAAUAUAUGGAGAUUUUUUAUUAGGAAAUAAUUUUAUAUAUCAACAUUUGUUAUUUUCUUUUGAUAGAAAUUUAAUUAUGUUAUCUGUAGAAAAAAAUAUUUAUAGAAAUAUCAUUAGUAGAAAAUCAUAAAUUUGUGUGUGGCAAAAAAUUUUCACCACCAAGAAAGGGACAAAUUAAACAACUUGAAAGUCAUUGGUUGUUUAAAAUAUUAGAUAAUAAUUUUAGUGAAGAAUCAUUAAAAUUAUGACAAAAUAACCCUAGAUAUUGUAGUAUUAAAUUAGAAAAUCUCAAUAAUAUUAUUAGAGUAAAACCUAUGAUGUAUCUAAACAAGAUAUAGAAGAAUUUGAUAUACAAAUUAAGGGUAGAAAUCAUACGGAAAUAAUAAAAAACAAGAAAAAGCUAGUAUGGUCAUUAAUUAUAAAAGAUUAAAUCAAAAUAUUAUUUUUUGUAGUUACUUGAAUUAAUCAGGAUAAACAAAAAAAAAUAUUUUAGUAAAUUUGACUGUAAAUCAGGAUUCUAGUAAAUCAUGCUAACAGAAAAAUCUAAACCUUUAACAGCUUUUAGUGCACCCAAUGGACAUUAUUAAUGGAAAGUGAUGUCAUUUGAAUUAUGCGAUGCACCACAAAUCUUCCAAAGACAAAUGGAUUUUAUAUUUAAUAAAUAUAAAAAAUUAUGGGUAGUUUAUAUAGAUGAUAUUUUGAUAUUUUCAGAUACACUAGAAUUACAUAAGAAAUAUUUAAAUAUUAUUUCUUAAGAAUUCAUAAAAUAUAGAAUCAUAUUAAACCCUAAAAGUAUGGAGUUAGAAAAAAGAGAGGGAAUUUUUAUAAUAGUGGAAAUAAAAAAUUGUCCUCAAAAGAUUGAAGAAAAAAAGAAGUUACAACAAUUUGUAAUAUAUUCCUCCCAAAUUUUCAGUUGCAAAUUUAUUACAGAAUUUCUUUGCCGACAAUAAGAAAAGAGCAUAUUCACAUUUUCGUCGCAAUUUCAACUAACAACCAAUCUGUUUCCCACUUUCCUUUUUCGGCCAAUUUCAAACGUAACUGUUUUUCGAAUUUUCCUCUUUAUUUCAUUAAUAAAAUGAUCAAUCUAUUUGUUUUUUAAAUAUAUAAUUUUAUUAAUAUUUUUUAAUUAUAAUAUAAGAGUUGUUGUUUAUUUAUAGUUUUAUUACAUUAUUUAAUCUCUUUUUUAUAUCAAGUUUUUAAAAUUAUAAUAUAAGAUUUAUUUUAUCAAAUUGUGGCUUAUCAAAUGUUCAUCUAUUUUAAUAAUAACUUGAGUUCGAAUCAUUAUCAUACCAGAAAGAGUUCCCUUUAUUCUUUAUCGUAAAUUUUAUAAGAAAUUAUAUUUUAUUAUAAUACUAUAUGUGUUAGAAUAAUAUUUUAUUGUGGAUGCCCAUAAUUCUCAAAGUUGUAACCUUGAAUGUAGUAACCUCAAUGAAAUUAUGAGGCUUUUAUAUUGUAAUCAAGCCUCUAUCUAUUCUUUGUAUUCUUUGUAGAAAAUAUGAAGUUGAUUUUACUUUAUUAAAAAAUUUAAAAUAAAUUAUCUUGUUUUUUUUUAAAUGAGUUAACCAAAUUAGCAUAUUUAUUUUGAUCUAAAAUUAUCCAAAAUAAUAUAAAAUAUUAUAUUAAUAAAAUUAAAACUAUGAAAUAAUUUUUUUUAAAGAUUAUUAUUUACUUUUAUCAAACAAUACAAUUAUAUUCAGUACUUAUAUUUACUAGUUUACCAAACAGUUUUCCAAUAUGAAUUCAACACUUAUCAAAUUCAGUAUUAAAAAUUCAGUGCUUAAUUUUUUAGCACUUAACUUUUCAAUUCAUCAAGCACGUCUAAUUCAAUUUAUACAAUUCCCUAUUUGUAUCUCUAUGAAUUUAUAAAAUCCUUCUCGCAUUUAGUUGUUGGGAUCUUUAUAUGAAGAUAGAUGCUUUUAUUUUUUAUUGGUUCAUUUUUAAUUGUAUUGAUUUAUUUAAUUUUAAUUUUGAUUAAUAUAUAUGAUUAUUGUGGAAUGGGAGUAAAAGUAUUUACUUCUCAUAAACUUUGAAAUAUUCACCCUGUCUACAUAUUAAUUAUUGUAAAAUUUGAAUUGAAAUUAUGCCAUAAAAGGUGGAGGUUAGAAAACCUCUUAUUGAGACCUUAUAAUAUUUUGUAAUUUUUUGUGUUAUGGUAUAUAAAAAAAUAUCUAACCAUAGUGAUUGAUUAGUAAUAUAAAUUUGUUAUUUGUUAUGUUUAAUAUAUAUUUUAUUUAUACUUAUUCAUUUUAUUUUUAUAUGAGUAAAUGAAGUGUUUGAAGAUUCGAAAUUUUUAUCAUCCAUGUUGAAAAUAAGUGCAAAAGUGUAUAUUAUUUAAAAUAAAUUACGCAUUCAUUAAUGUUAUGUGAUAAAAUCAUUACAUUUUCUGAAGAACUAAUAUUGCAUCAAACUGUAAAAAGCUCUUGAAGAGCUAAUAUUUAUCUCCCUGUGAUGCAAAAUCUUGUAAAACAUGAUAUUAUUUUUCAAAUCAAGAAGAUUUAUGUUGAAGGAAAUAUUUAUGUGUUUUACAUUAAAACCAUGGAUAGAAAUGACAUGAGACACUCAUGUAUUUGCAUUAUAAAUAUUCCUUGAAGGAAUACACUUCACUUGUAUGAUUGACAUAUGAGAUAAUAGCAAGAAGUUUAUAGUGUUGGUAUGGCCGGCUAGACCAUCUCAAGUCAAUAAUGAUGCAAAAUAAUUUGAAGAGAAUUUAUAUGAUUUUAUUGAAGAAUGAGAAGUUAUUUUCAUUUUGAUAAUUGUCAUCAACAAUAGUUCUUUGGAAAAAAAAAUAUUGAACUAACAUCAACUAAAGUUAGAGGUUGGUUCAUGGUUGCAUUUUUUGAUGAUAUCCAAAUAAUAUAUGAGCUCAUGUAUCACAUGUAUGCAACCCAAAGUUUACAGUAUUAUUUCUUGAAAUAAUUUGAUUCUACACAAUCUCUAUAGCAUGCAAUUUGUGCUAACAACACUGGUGCAUUAUAUCCUAAGCUUGAUUUUCGUAGUUUUAGCUGAGAUAAUAUUAAGUUGUCUAUGCCUAUAUAUAUUAUACUUAAUGGUUAGCAAAAUUAUGCCUCCAUUUAAUUGCUUAACCAUUAAUAUAAGAAUAGCUUUAAAAUAAGCAUGUAAUUUUAUUUGCAUCGAGCCAACAUGUAAGAAAUAUUUGUCCCAUGAGAAUUAGCUUUUAUUUAUAAGCCAAUAGGUUUCAUUUAUGACUAUUUGGAUGUAAAAUAUCUAUUUUAUAUUCCACCAUAAUGCACUAAGAUGGACCAUCAAGUAUGAAGUUGAGAAAAAUUAGAAUUUUUAUUUGAUGGUAAAAGUUGAAAAGAGAUAUAUAUUUAUAAUUUUGAAAAAAAUAGUCAUGUUGCAAAUUUUCUCAGUAUUAGAGGGAGACAAGUUGGACAAAUACGUAUAAUUAUGUCAUCACUUUUUGUGAUCCCUCACUAAUCUUAUGUGCACAAAGUUUGAAGGAAAAAAAUAAUUUGCUAGACAUGUUUAGUGAUGACAUUUAGAGAUUGUAUAUAUUGGAUGAUACAUAUACCAGCUAAAAUGUUCCAAAUAAUUAUGCGUCCUAGAAGGACAAAGUGAUAAAAAUAAUUUUUGGGCACGCUAGAAGGAUGAAAAACUAGUUGGUUCUAUAAAUAAAAAAAUUCUUGACAGAAAAGAGUAAGAAAUGAAUAUGGCCACACGUUAAAGGAGACGAGUACUCAUGAAGAGACCCAAGGUAUAACUUUUAAUAAAACCCCAAAAGAGGUUCAAUACAUGAAAUUAUGAAUAUAAUAAGUGUAAUAACCAAAUUUUUCCCGGGCCCAAUGCCAAACAAAUAAAACCCAAACCAAAUAAAUAAAAUAAGAGUCCAAAUUAUAGUCCGUUAGGGCCCAAUUCAGACCAGCCCACUAUUCAAUCAGACCAGCCGAACAACAAAAAAAAACCUAGUAGCCCACAGCCCAACUAAGCCUAAAAAAUUUUCAGCAAAAGAAAAAACCCUAGCUGCCAUGCUAGCCGCUGCUCCUGCCCUAGCCUCUGCCCACUAUCGUACGCCACCUCUGCCAUCACCAUUAGCCUCUGACACCUGCAAAACAGCAAACAACAUGCAACAACAGAGAAGAAGACGACAAGCAAAAAACAAAUCACUAAAGGACAAAAAUAAUGAUAACAAAUAGCCUUAGUUUGGCUAUAAAAGCAAAAAAAAUGAAAACUUUGUACUUCUUUGGCAAGAUUAAUACAAAAAAGAAAAGAUUUGAACUUUUUAGGGUGAUAUUUCAUUUUUUUUUACGCUUUAGAUCUAUUUUUUUAUUUCAUCUUCAUCUACGAAAAUAAUAGAAAAAAGACUUUGAUUUCAAGGUGAUAUUUUGUUGUUUUUUUAGAUCUAGUGUUUUUUUAUUUAUUUUUAUCUACAAAAAUAAAAAAAGGAAAAGAGAAACGUACCUAAUUCACCCCGUGGCUCCGUCGACGGAAGUCCCAUCGCCAUCGUCGGAAUCGGGCUUAAAAGGGGAAGGUUUUUAUUUUUCUUUACUUUUUUUUGGAUUUUUCGUCUCAAGAAAUGGACUAAGGGAGGGGAAAUGGCCAAAAUGGUCUUUUUCCGAUGAACUCUGGCAACCACAUGUGGCAGUUAACAGUGCCGGUGCUCGGUGGCUGCGGUGGAGCCAUGGUGGUGUCCCAUGGCCGGAUCUAGAGAGGAAGCCUUUAAGAGGGAGAGAGUUUCUAACAUUUUUUUUAUUUUCUAAGGCAGAAAUGAAUUUUUGAAAAAAAAAAGUUGGGUUUUAUAAGUGCGUGAAAUGGCGCCAUUUUGCGCAAGUGCACAUCGACGUCGAAACGACAUCGUUUACCCCUUUACCCGCUUGCCCGAGUCUGGCUCGAUGAAGGUCCGCAUAUUUUCAUGCCUGAUGGGUUAUUUCCCUGCCCGAUCCUUCCGAUUUUGGGCUUCUUCUCAAUCUGGUCCUGAUCCUACUUUUUCCCGCCUUUUAAAUUGUACCAUUUAAUUUCAUUUCAUUUUCAACUCGGUCCCUCGGCUGACCAAAGGAAAUGAUGCGCAUAAAGUUAAGGGAUAUUUUCCCUUUCAAUCCCCAAUAUUUUUAGAGCGAUGCAUUUUAAUCCCUAACCUUUCAUUCCAAUCUUUUACACAUAUUAUUUCAUUUUAUUCGUUUAUUUAUUGACUUAUCAUUUUUACCCUCUUUUUAUACUUAAAAAUAUAUAUUAUUUACACUAUUACUUGCAUUUUUUUACUAUUAAAUUAUUAUUUUUAAUGUAUUAUAUUCCCAUUAUUUUACCAUUUUAUUUAUUUUGAUACUUUCAUGUCACAUUUAUUUAUUUUAAUAUUGCCAUUAUUUAUUUUAUUUUAUUCUUAUGUUUUUUAGUAUUUUAUUAUUUCUUUUAUUGUUCACGGUUUUUUUUUCAUGUUAUACAUUUUUAUCUUUCUAAUCAUGCAUUUUUCCUUUUUUUAUUUUGUUUUAGGUUACGUUAUUUAUUAUUAUUAUUAUGAUAAUAUUAUUAUAAUUAUAUUACCAUUAUUAUAGAAUUCCUUUAUUUGUAUAUUCCAUUAUAACUAUUAUUAUUAUUAGUAGUCUUUAACUCACUUCUAUUUUUAUUAUUAUUUUUUAGAAUAGUAGUCAACAUGCUUAUCCUUAUUGUUAUUUGGUGUUGUUCUUAUGAUUUUAUCAUCAUUAUUGUUGUAUUUCAUUUUUUGUUCACUCUUUAAAUAUUUUGUUCAUAUAGUUAUUUUACACUAUUGCAAUAUUGUUGCAUUACGCAUUAUGUUUCUUAUAUAAUAAUUAUUUCGCUUUCACGCGAUGUUCGAAUCAAUUAAACAUGAAUCUUCUCAAUUAUUACAUUAAUUGUUACUUAAGUUCAAAAAGAAAAUUUUCAAAAUAAGGCAAUAUUUUGCGUUUUGGAAAUUCGAGAAAUCAUACCCUAACUUACGAGGUUUCGAUUUUCUCGUUAAACUUAAAUAGCAAAAUAUUCUUUUAAAUUUCAAAAUGCAUGCAAUUUCAAUAAAAAUCAAAGGCAAGCUUAUUCUCUAAGGUUCCAAAUAUCGCGUCCUAACUUACGGGAUGUGACAUUUCGUUACCUCGAGACGAGUAGGUCUUCAACUCUCUUUUCGAUUUAUUCGAGCGUUUUUAAUAACAUUAAUAAAAAGGGAUCGUAUUUUAAAUUUCUAUUCAAGUUUUCAACCUUGGACAUUAAGACAUUACUUAAUCAACUAGGUACCACCUUUGGGUGUAUUGAGGGUGUGUUUUCUAGAUUUUGUAGACCAAAUAUUAUCGUUUUUAGUAAAUUUAAAUUUUUAUUAAAAUGAUUAAAUUACAAGUGUUGACACCAUUUUUUUGAUGAAAAACGGGGUCGACUUGGGUUUUAAAAAAAAUGAAAAACGGGAGUCGCCACCAAUCCUUUUUGAUAAGGUGUGAUUGGGUCACCUUGAAAAAUGGUUGUUUUUAAUAAAUGAUUUGAUUUUAUUAAAACAACGGUUUUGGUCCAUGAAAUUUAGAAAACGGGUUCGGGAGUCGAUUACGUACGAGGAAGGAUUAGCACCCUCGUAACGCCCAAAAAUUGGUACCUAGUUGGUUAGCUAAUGUCUUGAUGUCGAAAAUUGAGAACUUGGAAAAAAUUAAAAAUACGAUCCUUGUAUUAAAAUGAAAAUUUUAGGAAAAGGGGGGCAUACUUCACGCUAAUCGAGAAAGAGAAUCAUAUCCAGUAAGUUAGGACACAAUGUCUCGAAUUCCCGAUACGCGAAUGAAUGCCAAAAUUUUACUUAUUUAAAAGACAUUUUAGCCGUCUCGAAUUUAAAAAUGAAAUCACGACCAGUAAGUUAGGACGUGAUUUUUUAAAACUUGAGUUUGAAAAGAUUCGUGCAUCUAGAUUUAUCGUGAAAAUCAAUACCCAGUAAGUUAGGGUACGAUUUUCUUGAAUUUAAACACGAAAUGCCAUUUUUUAAAACAAAUUUUGUUAUAUCGAGUGAAAUAAAAACACAAAGUCGUAGUAAAAAAAUGUGUAAGCAAAUUACAUUGUUAUGCAUGGCAAAAUCAUAAUGAAUACAAAAGUAUAAAAAUGAUACGAGCAAUAACAACAAUAUAAAAUAAAUAAAAGUCAAACCUACAAUAAUAUUAAAUAACAAUGUAUAUAAACAAAUAAAAUUAAAACAUUCAUUCAAAAUAAUAAUGAAAAUGAAAUAAAUAAAUAGUAAAUACAAAAUAAAACAAUAGUAAUGAAUAAAAAUAAUAUAAUAUAUAUAUGUAUGUUAGAAUUAUAAAGUAUAAAAAUAUACGUAUGUGUAUAUAAGAAUAUGUAAGCAUGUAUAUACAUAGAUUAUAAAAUAUAGAUAUUUAUAUAAAAAUGAGUAUUUGUAUUAAAUAAGUUGAAAAAAAAUAUAUAUAUACCUACAUAUAUAUAAAAAAUUAUAUAAUAAUAACAAUAUAAUAAAACACAUAUAUCUAAAAUUUACAUAAGUAAAUAUAAAUAAAAACAUACUAAUAACAAUAAUAUUAAUAGUAAAAUGAUAAUACAUAAAAAUGAUGAAGAAAAUAAUAAAAAUGCUUAAAAGGGGACUAAAUCGAAGUAAGAACCAAAAAAAAGGGGCAAAAUCGAAAUAAAGACAAGAGGGACUAAAUUGUAACGCGCGCUGAAAGAGGGGGACCAACAGGGUAACUAAACCAAAGCCUCAAAACGCUGCUCUGUAAAGGACUGAAAUGAGACAAAAAUAAAAUUUUGUGGCCAAAUUGCAAAUAUGCGAAAAACUUCCAUGAAAUCGCUACAAAAUCAAAGGGACUAAUUGCGCAAAUAGACCCUUAAACAAAAACGCGCGGAUCCUUGGGUGCGGGUCGGGUCGACGUGCGGAUCCCCUCACCAAAACGGCGUCGUUUUGUGUUUAAUAUAAAUAUAAAAAAAGGGCUAAAAAAACAGUUUCAUCAUUUUUGUUGAAAAACUGAGAGAAACCUCUCUCUUUUUUCCCUUUCUCAGGCUCAGAUUCCGGAGAUGGCCCGGCCUAGGCUUCUGGCGAAUCUCCGCCGUAGAGCCACCGUGUGUGGCGGCCGGAGGUCCAAAAUCGGACCUUUUCGGUCCCUUUUUGAAACUAAGAAUCCCUAGGGUACGGAUCUGGGACCAAACCCCCGAAAAAAAGAAUCGGAGACCUAAAGAACGAGGGGAAACCGCUCGUCUUCUCUCCUCCGGCGCGGCGCAGGUAAGGUUUCUUUUUCCUUUAUUUAUAUUACGUAAAAAACAUACAAAAAGAAAAAAAAGAAAAUAGAGUUUAAAAAAAAUCUAAAACAGAAAUGAGAGAAAAUCACCUCUCAAGUUUUCUUGUUUUUUAUUUCUUUUUGCUAAUAUCUGUUUCUUCUUUUUACAAAAGUUGAUGGAAGAAGAAAAAAUUACAUUUUGUUGGCUUUUUAUAGCCGACUUCUACUACUGCCUGUGUUAUUUGCUCUCUGUUUCUUUGUUUUGUUUCUUCUUUGCAGGUGACGGUGCAAGUGGUGGUGGUGACGUGACCGUGGCAGUGGCGGUGUGAUGUUGGCGGCGGCGGCAGGCCAAAGGUCAAUAGGUGUGGAGCCUAGGGUUUUAGUUUUUGAAACCCUAGGCAGAUUUUUUUAGGGGAAUUGGGCCUUAGCUAUUGGGUCGUUCGGGUUUGGGCGUUGGGUUAGGCUAGUUGGGCUUUGAGGUUGGGUUGUUUUGUAAUGUGCUUUGGUGUUUGGGUUGGUAGGUGGUGGGUAAGGUUUAUUGUUUUGGGUUCUUGGGCCUGGUUCUGUUUGGUUAGGGUAAUGGGCCAUUUGGGUCUGGGCAUAAAAUUGGGCUAUACAACAAGGUGACCCGAUUACACCUCAUCAAAAAGGAUUGGUGGCGACUCCCAUUUUCAUUUUCAUUUCUUUUUAAAUCAAAGUCAACCCGUUUUUAAAAAAAUGGUUUCGACAAUAAGAUAUAUUGAUUAGUUAUGUCAUAACUAAAGAUGAUGGAGUUGACAAAAGGAAAUUGUAGUUAACAACGAAUAAUCUACGUAGAACAUUUCAAUAUUAUGGAAAAAUGAGUAUUUACCAACCUUCUUUUAGUCAAAUUAUGCAAGCCUAAAAUUUUUAGCUUAAUUUGAGUUUGUUGACUAUGUCUAAUUCAAGUUUUAUUAUUAAGGACUAAAUUGUAACUUAAAAAAAUUAGAAUACCAAUUUAAAGAGACAAAAAUUCAAAACCCCAAAACCCACAUGGGCAUGUGGGUAAGUGACACAGGCGUGUGGAGACUGGAGCUAUCACACACGGGCGAGUGGGACAGAAAAAUAUGAAAUAAAUUAAUCCACUUAAAUUUCAAACAACCAUGCUAUACUACCAAACCAAAUAAUGCUAGAAGCUUUGAAUAGGGGUGAAUCGAAAAAAAAAUAAAAGAAUUAGAAUUAAAUUAUAAAAUUUUCAGAAGUUAUCAUGUAUUAAUUUAUUAUUUUUUAAAGGGUCUUAAUAGAAUUUUUUUUCCAUUUUGGUUUGGCCAAUACCCCUGUCUACCUCUUUCAAUUUGCUUCAACCCUAAACCUAAUAUUCGAUUUGUUGUGGAAGUUUGACGCAUAAAAAUUUCUUUUUUAGAGGUUUAAAUUAUAAAUUUUUGAAAGUUUAAAAUAAAUUUUCAUUUUUAUUAACAAAAUAUAAAAGAAAAAAAACAUGUGUAGACAAACCAAGAAACCUUUGGGAUCAUACGGGUGAUUUUGAUGAUGUUAAUGGUUAUUUUGAUGGAGAGGGUGAAAAAGAAACAAAUGAUUCAUAUAUAUAAUAUAAUUAUGAAAUUCAAGCCAUAUAUUGUAUGUUUCAUCCAUAAAAAUUUCAUGGGAGGUCCGAAGGUAAUUAAAUGACUUGUAGGCUUGCUGAAUUUCUUUGAAAGGCCCAAUGGCAAUUUAACAUUCACAAAAUAAUCUCUAAAUACUGUAAAGACAAAAUCAAAUCCACAGCAGCAUUAGAGUUGAUUAAGCUAAGCAUUGGCAAAUAUUACUUUGAUUUUGCAUGCAAUAUUAGCAAAACCCCCUCUUACAUUAGAUAAACAACAUACUCCAUGAAACAUUGAUAGCCCAAAUACAAAUUUCAUCGACAAAAAAGUCUCUUUGUUUUGUAGAACAUGAUAGUAAAAAUGUGGAGUUUCGUUCUUCUUAUUGGCCUCCUUUAGUUUUCCUUGAUCAACAACCACUAGCCAAAAACACAAUUAGAUUAGAUUAUGAAUGAUACUGACAUUAUUAAAUAUAAAACACUCUAAAUAACUCUAAAUAAAUGGAAAGCAGCAAAUUACCUGACGAGGCAAGCUAGCUCAAUUAAGACCAUUGUGUUAUACUUGUCUCUGAAUUGAAAAAUUUAGAAGGAAAUAAAGAGAAAGACUUAGAAAAUAUUUGAAAACAGAUAAAACUUAUAUGUCAUUUAAAAUAAAAAUUUUGUAUUUAAGCCGUUUAAAAUUUUUAAGAUUUUUGAAAUUUUAAAAUGAUAAAGGUAAAAUUGUACUUUGGCACACCAAAAAUGAUAAAACUUUGAUUUAAUCCUUUAGAAAUUAUAAAAAUAUAGGCUAUUAAAAUGGUGAAAUUACCUUUUUACUAUAGUAAAAAUUACAAUUUAAUUUCACUUUAAGAUUUUCUGACUUCGCCCCUAAUAAAAUCUUUGGCAAAAGAUUAAAAUAAAAUUAUACCGUAAAUGGAAAAAGAAACAAAGAAAAUCCAAUCUAACAAAGAAAAUAACUUAUGUCCAAAAGCUACCAUAAACCGUAAUUCAUGGGAAGAGAGCAAAAGUAAAAACAAAUAGUUUAUAUGAUUAAAAUUCCAGAAUAGGUUAAAAAUGUUGAAUUAAAGAUAAAAUUAAGCGUGAAUUAAUAACCACAAGUGUACUCUUUACUCACCAUCUCUGUUAAAAAUGUUGGAUGUUGUUUAGCAACCUUUGUUUGAUUUUCUUCAGCUCAACCACAACAUCUUUCAUUUCUUUUCUUUCUUCUGGUAACUCAGCUGAACAAUUCAAAGCCAACUCCAUGAUAGAUGAAAUACAAUUUGCUUUAACAACAAAGUACUCAUCCUCUCUUCUUAGUAAAUCAACAUCUGCAAUUUCUAUCGCUCCUUUAGGCAAUGAACUUUCCAUCCAAUGCCUUAUAGUCUCUUCUUCAACAAAAACAUUAUCAGUUGGCUUUCUCUUUGUGAAAGUUUCUAUAAGGACGAUCCCAUAACUAUAAACGUCAGAUUUUAUAGAAACAAGUCCUGCAGAUCCAAAUUCUGCAUUUCAAGUAUAAUUAGAACAUCAUCAGUCCUCAAUUAUUUGAUAAAUCUAUGUAUAUCCACAUACACGAGAAACAAAAAUAUAAAACGCAAAUUAGGAAAAUAAUCGUACAAAGAUAAAAAAAGAAUUCACCUGGUGCCAUAUACCCGAUUGUUGCAAGAGUCAUGGUUUGCUUCAUUACUUCACCUUCUCCCAACAAUUUGGCAACGCCAAAAUCUCCAACAUGUGCAACCAUGUCUUCAUCUAGUAAAAUAUUGCUUGGUUUUAUGUCACAAUGAAUUAUAGGGGUUGGAUGUCCAUUGUGGAGGUGUUCUAUAGCCACCGCAACAUCUAUCAUUAUGUCGACCCUUUGUAUGAUAUCAAGGAAACAAUUUUUAGAAUGUAACCAUUUCUCAAGGUUUCCAUUAGACAUGUAAUCAAGCACCAAGGCUUUGAAGUCAACACUUGAGCAGCAAGUAAUGACCUUCACAAUAUUACGAUGAACUAUAUGAAGCAUAGCAUCACAUUCAAUGUCAAAACUCCUAAAUGCUCCCUCUGUUUGCAAAUUGAAAACUUUUAUUGCAACUUCCAUUCCAUCUGAAAGCCUCCCUUUAUAUACAUAUCCAAAACUCCCUGAACCAAGCAUAUUGCUUUCCUCAAGUCCAUUAGUUGCUCGUGAAAGUUCAGCAUGUGAAAUUCUUCUCGGUGUCUUCAAAGACAACAAAUCAUCUUUAAUUGGUAGAGCUGUACUCCUUCUUUGGCAUCUUCUAUACAUAAUAGUUAAGACUAUUAGUACUACGACAAUACCAAUUGUUGGUAAACCAUACCUAAAAGCAUGCAAUAUAAUCGUUUGGGAGUUUUUGUGGAUGUCGUUUUUACAAGGUGGGACUAGCAAUCUAGGUGGACCACAAAGUGCAUAAUUCUUCAUGAAUGAUGUGCUAGAAAAGUUUGAAAAACAUCCUUCGCUGGGAAUUUCCCCUUCAAGUCUAUUGAAAGACACAUUAAAAUACUUUAGAUAUAAAAGCUUUUCCAAAGAUUUGGGAAUGACUCCAGAGAGAUUGUUAUUGCAUAAAUCCAAGAAUUCCAAACUAAUCAACCCAUCAAAUGAUUCAGGGAUAUGACCAUGUAGUAUAUUAUUUGAUAAAUCUAAUGAAACCAAAGUUAUAAGACCCCCAAAUGUGGAUAAGAUAUCGCCCGUGAGAAGAUUCCUUGAUAAAUUUAGUUUCAGUAGACUCCUCAAAUUUCCAACAUCAAUAGCAUGUGAAUUGUGAAGAUGGUUUGAUGAUAAGUCUAUUUCUAAGAUAUCUUUAAGAUUCCACAAAGUUGAGGGUAUUGUAGAACUCAAUUUGUUGGAAUCUAAGUAAAGAUAUCCCAAAGAAGUAAUAUUACCCAAACAAGAGGGUAUGGAUCCAUGCAGCUUAUUCAACCCUAAAUACAUCUUGUAUAGUCUCUCCAAAUCACAAAGGCUUUAUGAGAUGGGCCCUCCUAAUUUAUUAGAGGAAAGAUAUAGACCUUGGAGAUUUCUCAUUCCUCCUAUUGAUGCUGGAAUCAAUCCACUUAAUUUAUUAUAGUCAAGUUGUAAAAGCAAUAGGUUGGUUAAGUUACCUAUUUCCAUAGGAAUAAUGCCUUGAAGCUCACACUCAUCGGCAUAAAAGUAUUGAAGGGAUUUUGAAAGGUUCCCAAUAUAAGUAGGAAGAACGCCACUCAAUGGAUUUCCUGAAACACCUAUUUUUCUCAAAUUCCUACAAUUCGUCAAAGAAGAAAGAAAGCUCCACUCAUGAUCAGUAGCAGAUCCUGUGAUCAAAUUAUUGUCAAAGAUUUUGAGCACUUCAAGGUGUUUUAAGCUGCCAAGCAUUUUAGGGAUUGGGCCAGAGAAUAAGUUUCGUGACAACUCUAGUUUCUUAAGCAUGGAAGCAUUGGAGAUAGAGUUGGGAAUGUUUCCGCUAAGUUUAUUUCUCCACAAUAAAAGAAUCUCAAGCUUUGGAGCAUUGGUGAUUGGUGGUAAAUCACCUGUGAAAUAGCAUCUUUUAGUAUACACAUUCAUUGAAUACCAAAUUCACAAAAUAUAUAAUACAUUAAAAUAAAAACUGUAAAACUUUAAAUCAAUUAAGAAUAAAAUUUUGGCAUGGAAAAAUGUGAUGAAAUCAAUUAGAAAGUUGAGACAUAAUAAGAAGUUUUGAGUAGUAAUUACUCAUGAUUUCUAUAGACAAAACAUAUAAUACACUGAUAAUUUUUUAAAAAAUAUUGUAAAACCUGAAAUAAAAUAAAAAAUAAAAGUUUGGCAUGAGAAUGUGGCAUCUAAUCAUUCUUAAAAAUAAGACUAACAUUGAAUAAUAAUUAGUUAUGAUUUGAGAAACAAAAAUGUUAAAGAUGUAAACUGGUAUGAUUUUUAUCUAUUGGGUUAAUUAUUUAUUUUUAUUAAAUUAUAUAUAGUGUAAAAUUUAAAGAUUAUUAUUUGCUCAAAAUUUUUGUAUUUUUCGUAUAUUUGAAAUUUAAUCUUUAUAUUUUUUAUUUUCUGUGAUUUAGUCUCUCUACUUUUUGAAUUGAAAAUUUUAAGUUUAUUUAUUAACACUGUUAAAAAGUUUUUGUGUUAGUAUGGCAUUUUGAAAAAUAAAAUAAAAUUGAUAUCUAUGUUUUUAAUUAUUCCAAAUAUUGUUUUACUAUUUCAAGAUAAACUUUUUGUGUCUAUACCAAUAUCUUAAGAACUAUUGUUGCAUGUUUAAUUAUUCUAAAGAUUUGUUGAUUGAGUCUUGGUUGAAGUGCAUUAUUCUCCUAUUUAUGAAUUGGGGAGUUGAUAAAGUACUUUAUUUUAAUAUAUUUUAAAAUAUUAAAAAUUUAUUAAAAUAUUUUUUAUAAAACUUGAUUGUACCACAAUAUACAAUUUUAAUAUCAAAUUUUUAAUUGUUUUUUAAAAAUAUUAGCGAAUAUAUACUUUAUUUCAAGUUACACAAUUUUUACUAGCUUUUAACUUUUUUUAAAAUUUUUAUCGUCUUUUAUAAUUUCUAAUAAUUUUUUAUAAUUUUUUACAAUAUUUACAAUUUCUAACAAUUUUUAAUAAUUUUAUUAUUUAUUUCAAAUUUAAAAAUUAACAAAUUUUUAUUUUUUUAAAACAAUUAUAUAUUUAUAAUGUAGUUAUUUUUUUAUAAUUUUUUUUUGAAAUUUAAAGAUUUUUUUGGUUUUUUUUUUCUAGAUGAUGAUGCCAUCAUGAUGCCAUCAUAUGCCACAUGCCUUCUAAUUUGUUGUCAUAUAGACAUAUUUCUUCGAGCGUAGUUGAAUUAAAAAUACUUGAUGGAAUCUGACCUGCACACAUAGUCGAAAAUUGAAGUGAAAAGCAUACCUUCUAAGCUGUUAAACUAAAAAUACUUUAAGCAUAUUUUAUUUUCCAUCAAAUUAACUAUUUUGCCUUGAAUGAAAUAAAAUGUUCUUAUUUUUGUUAUCUAUUACAAAUCAAACUCUUUUAUGAAAAAACUAUUUUAAAUUAAAGAAACAAAGAAAAUUCAAUAUCUUCUAAGUUAUUCCACUCCAAAUAUAAUCUUCAGUGAAGAAAUCUUGAAGAUGGAAGAUGGAACCUUACCAGAUAAUUGAUUGAAUCCCAAGCUCAAGGACUCUAGAUUAGACAUGUUAACAAGUGUUUCAGGGAUUGUGCCUAUAAAGUUAUUAUUUUUCAUUUUCAGCCUUCGAACUCCCUGUAAGUUCCCAAGCCAUGAUGGAAUUUCCCCAUUAAGACUGUUGUAUUUUAAUCGAAGGAUCCUCAAACGAUGCAAUUGGCCCAAUUCUUUAGGGAGAUGGCCAUAGAAAUGGUUUCUACUCAAGUCGAGAGAGAGUAGAAAUGAAAGAUUUCCAAGGUGUGGAGGGAUACUACCCCUAAGAUUCAUGCUUUUAAGUUUCAAAGCUAUAACUCUUUUAUGGAGGAUGCCACAAGAAACACCAAUCCAAUUGCAAACAGAGGUUGAGGCCGUCCAAUUGUUUGCCAAGACAUUUUGAGGACCGGCAAUGCGAUCCUUAAACUCGAGAAGUGCAAACUGAUCGGAGUUGAGAUUCCUGACUGUCAUACCCCAGCAAAGUCCGGAACAUGGUACGAAUAAAGCUAAAAGAAGAUGAAAGCAAGUGUUGUAGUUCAUGAUAGCAAGACGGAAUAAGCCAAGAAAAUAAAAAAAAGUAGGACAAGGGAAGUUGAGUUGAUAAAAUAGUUUGGAUGAUGAAGAAAAGCCCAGAGAGCAUGCUUUAAUAUGUUUUGAAGAAAUUUCAAAAUAAAUUUCAAAAUAAAUUUCAAAAUAAAAAUUUAAAAAGGAAAGCAAAGUUUUGAAGAAAUUUCAAAAUAAAUUUCAAGUCUUCUUCUUUAAAAAAUACGUACAAAGAGCGAAUUUUCAAAAUUUCUCCUAAAUUUUCUUCACAUUACUCCACAUAAUCCAUUAAAAAAACUUAAAAAAUAUAUUUUAUUAAUUACUAUACAUUCUUUUACUUUCAGAAUAAUAAAUUGUUUAAAAUUUGCUAUUAGUCCCUGUAAUUUAAAAGUUAAAAAAAAAAUUCAAUCCUCCUACUUUUCUAAUUUAAAAAUUCUAGUUCAAUCAAUUUUAAUUUUAAAAUCUUUGUAUAAAAGGUGUUUUUUUUUUGUGACCGAUCACACUUAACCAAUAUUUAAAAAUUAUUAAAAAAUAUUUUUUUUUGAAAUUUAAAGUGAUCUAAAAACAUAUUUUUAAGUACUUUGGACAGUCUAUUGUUGAUUUCCUUAUUAUAUUAAGUGUUUGCAAUCACUCCUAAUAUAUUGUGCUUGAGUUGUGACAAAGUCGAUCAUCAAAUUGCCAUAAUGAUCUAUUGAUGCUGAAAUUAAAGUUUUUGUUAUAUUGAUAGAGCUUGUCCUUCAACGCGUACAACGUGUUUGUUAUUUUUCUCCCUUCAAAUUGUAUGAUCUUAUUCAUUAAAUGAAUUAAUGAAUUUCCCUUUUAAAAAGAUAUAUUUUUAAAAAUUAAAUACUUUAUAAAAUAUUUAAAAAUUUGUAAGCCUUAAAACAAUCAACAAAAUAUUUUUGAAAUUUUAUAAAUAUAUUUUAAAAUUAUAGUAACGCUACAAAAUAUAUAUAUUUACUAAUUAUAUGCACCUUUUUUAUUUUUUUUCCUAACAUAUCAUUAUUUUCAACACUAUCGUAAUCCUGUUUUGAUAAUUCCCUUUCCAUACAUCCUUUUUCUACAUAGAAUUUCAAAAGAAAAUGUGAAUUAAUGUAAACGUGAGAAGACUUAAUUACAUUUAUUAGUUUAUCAAUCAAAACUUAAUUAGAAUCCAUCAAUAUUUCACACAUCAAAAACCCAAACAUAAAAUUCACUUUUAAAUUAUUUGAAGAUACAUUUGUAUUAUAGGAAAUGGAUUAAAUUAGUCUUUUAUUAUUAAAUGUAUUAUUUUAAUCUUUGUAUUAGGUAUGAAUUGUAUCUCCUAGAUUGAAGCCAAAGCUAUUCUUGAAAGACUGAAAUUAAGAUUCAGAUGUGUUGAGAUGGAAAGUGGCAACACAAUGUUGAUUGAAACUAUUUAUAACGGGUUGGCUACAAUAAGUAGUGCUGCCGAAGUAAGACAGAUUCACGAUUGGUGUUCCAAAAAUUGGGAAGUCAAAUUUCGACAUAUUCAACGAAAUGCCAAUAAAGUUGUUGAUUGCAUAGCUAAGGCAAAUGGAGGCGUAAUUGAGCAGCUGGUUAUCUUGGAAGAUCCUCUGCAUUAUGUGAGAUGCUAGCUUGAAGAAGAUAUUAGACAGUCACUAGUGACUGAUGAUAAUUUUCAUUUGGACUGAUGAGCGCUUAAUUUUCUAAGCUUAUGUUCAACAAAAAAAAAUUUAAAUACGUCUAAAUUGUAAUAGAGUUAACAUUUAGUGUUUAAAAAAUAUCUUAAAAAUUAUUUUUUUCCAAUUGCAGUUCAAUUCCACAAAUAUCGACGAUGAACCCGGACAUAAAAAUUACAGAAAAAAAAACACAUCUAUUAUCAAACCAGCAAUCCAUGUCUAAACUUAAAUUAACAAAAUUUGCCACACAACGCCCGGUACACUAUUAUAUAUCUAUACUAGAUUUAUUCUAGAUGCACAUGUUUUAUUAUAUUUAAAAAUUAAAAUGUAUGGUUGACUAAGUUUUAGUUGAGUUAGUAUUGAUAUUAUUGUCAGUGUAGGAAAAUGUGAGUUUAAUCACGCUCAAAUGUGUUUUAUCCUCCAAUUCAAGGGUUAGGAAAAGGUUAUUGAUAAUUAAAUUAUACCAACUUUUAUAAUAUUAAAAAAAAGGAUUUAUAAAUAAUAUAAGGAAAAGAAAAAAAGAGAAACAUAUUCAUAUUGAUGGGCUCUUUCAAUAUUAGACUUUUUUUUCUAUCACAAGUAAAAAUAUCAAAGGUGAUAAUAAUUAAAUUAUAAAAUUUAAAUUGAGAAAAUAGGGGAUAAAAUUUAUAAGUUUUAAAGUAUAAAGAAUGAAUUUAUAACUAACAACAUAUUUUAACCACAUAAUAAAAGUAGUUAUGGAGAGGAUCAUAUAAAAUGCAAAAAUGAAAUAAUAGAAAAGAAAUAAGUGUUGGGUAUAGUGGCAAUGUAUAUUAUACUUCUAAGGGGAGAUCAAGAUUUUAGACAAGGGAAGAAUUUUAAACCUGCUUUUUUCUCUAGAACUCAACGCAAACCUCAAAUUUAUCUUUUUAAAAGAAUUUAAAAAUAUCUAUAUAAAAGGUGAUUUUUUACCGAUCACACUUAACAAAAUUAAAAAAAAAUUGAAAUUUAAAGUGAUCUAAAAACAUAUUUUAAAGUGCUUUUGACCAUCUUGUGCUGAUUUCUUUAGUAAUUUGAUUUGUUCAAUAUAGAUUUUGGUGACUUAAAACAAAAUUAAUAAAAAAAUAUUUUAUCAGAUAUCUUUUUAAUGUUUAAUAAUAAGUUAAUUUAUAAAAUAUACUUUCAUUGGACACAGGGCCUCCAAGGCGGUGAACCACUAAUCAAAUUAAUUUUGAGAUACUUAAAUUUGUUUUCAUCAAUUAAGAAAUUAAAAAAAUUUGUUGAGACCUCAUGAUUAUGUUUUAUAAUUUCAGGCUUAUCAACUAUUUUGAAAAACAACAAAACGUCUUACACCAAAAACUAAAAAAAUAAAAACGUCGACAUUAAAUUUGUUGCCAUGCAAUCAAUUUUAAGAUGGUUUUUGGAGUUAUAUAUCACCUUAGCAUUGACUUACUUUUCUACACUUAGUCUUCUCCAACAAGUUAAAUAUUUCAAUUUUAACAACAUUGACAGGUCUUUGGGGUAGGGUCGAGCAAAACUCAAUAUAGGCUGAGUUGGCUCGGCCAAGUCGAGUCGACUUGUUCAAAUUAUUUAAAUUCGUAAUUUUUAAGGUGCAGUUAGAAUUUUUUGUUUUGAGAUGCUAAGAUUAAAAUAUUUCAGUUGCUAAAACAAAAUAUUUGUAUUUAAAAAGGCAUAAAUUAAAUAAUUAAGUUUUUCGAGUUUCCAUUUAAUCAAAGGUUAAAAGGACUAAAUUGAAGCUUUUUAUUUUUAAGAAAGGCUGAAUGACAAAUUGCCCAAAGCCAUGCCCCUAGCUAUACAACUAACUUCUCUAUGAUUAGUCCUUCGUUUGCUUUGGGUGAAAUCUUCCAACUAGCCUCAUCCUUGGUUUUACUUUCCAACAAUUAGUGUAUCACGAGUUUUGUUUUCUUUAAAAAAUAUUUGUGGAUAUUAGGAGAUAAUGAAAAUUAUUUUACUAUGAAAUUUUAAUAAAACUGGAAAAUAAGUAAUUUAUUUUAAGAGGUCGCAAUUAAACGUUAGAUUUCCAAUUUUUAAAUUUUAAUUUUUUUUUGACAAUUGCAUAAUAUUUUGAGUGUUGUAGGAAUGCCAUAAUAUAACCUUCCCUAAACAUAAUCGACUCUUGAGCAUGAUGGAUCCUAGAACUUCUCCUCUAUUCUCGUACCGCAAAUUGCUUCAAGUGUGGGUUCGAACAAUCACAAAUUAAACACAAAACCAGAAAUGAUUUAUUACUUUCAAUAGCAAGGUAAUUCUCUCUCAAUAGAAACCAAUAGAAGUGUAAUUCUUAGAAAAUAAAAUUUAUUUUUUGAAAAUAUAUUCUCACUACUUUCUAGCAGAAUAACAAUAUGUGAAACUUAUGUCUUGUGUUAAUAGCUCUACCAGUACUCUCUAUUUAUAGGGAGAGAUACGAGAAUCCUGGUUGAAUUAGUAAAACACGAAUAAUAUUUAUUUCAUAGAAAACAAUAUUCCACCCUAAGUAGAUCAAGUUUGUAUGACGCAUGGAUCAAAGCUCAAUCUAGGAGGAAAAAAAUAAAGGAAUUUUCUUUGUAAAGAAAAUUUGAGAUUGUACUAUUUUCAAAGUUAUAAAUAAAAUUAUACGCCAAAUUUUUAAGUCAAUUUCAACUCCAAUUUUGUAUGCACAAAUUUCUAGUACACUUGGUGGGACAUUCUUUGACUUUUAUCUAUUCUCUCAAAAAGUUAAAGUUCAAAGUUACAUUAAACUCAAAGAAGAUAAUCAUUAGUAAACCACCUCACAAGCCUGCUCAAACUAAUCCUACAACUCAUUCCACUUCAUCAUCAAACACCAAUGUUCUUGCUUAUCCUUAUGGAAUUAAACAGUCUCAUUUUCUGCAUUUUGGGUACACACCUGGUUUUAUUUGAUGCUAAAACAGUCCCCGAGCACUCCAAAGCCUAUAAUUGAACAAAUAAUACUAAUUUAAUCUUACAUAACAUGAUCCCAAAUUGAACUUGUAUCGAGGUUUUAACCCAUAAGUGACUAAACCUUACCUUCAACCGAGUGAACAGUAAUUCCCACACAAACUAAGACUCCGAUUGAAGAUUACGAGCCAUUGAAUCCUCCCCUAAUUGGCAUAAACAAAACACUUCAAAAGAAAGUCAACAAAUGGAGACAAAUCACUUAUCUAAAACUUACCGAACGAUCACAGACAAACGUGAAGCGACACGAGGCAGAGUGGGAAAAGAAAAAUCAAGAGGAUGAAGGGUGAAAGAGAGCAGAAAUUCGGUAGCAAUGAAGAGAAAAACGGCAAGAAAGUGGAGGGAUUUUGGGGAAAGUAAAAAAAAAGAUGAAUAGAAUAUUUGAUAACUACCCCAAUCCCUUAUUUCUCUCUAUCAAACUCCCCACUAAAUCCACUACUCAAAUUUUUAGUCCAUCUCAAACUCUCCUGGACGCACGAGCAAAAAAUAAUGCCCAUGCCAAAAUUUAAACAAAAGACCUCCUUCACACCAACACUCCACUUAUCCACCAGACCAAUAGGCUCAUUCUUUUAAUUAUUUUCCAACUUUUACUUAAAAGCCUACUGACCAAAGAUAGGGCUUAUUCAUAAAAAUACCAAAUUUUGCCCAAGACCUGGCUUGAACUUGGGACCUCCCAAACACACCCAGAACACAUAACCACUAAAGCAGACAUAAAUUUUGUGUCACACAUUCACAAUACCCAAAAUUAAAAUUUUAGGGCGUUACAAAAACACAUUAAAUAAUAUCGCAUAAAAUAAUCACAGUUAGAUAACAGUUCAGAAUGUCGAUUUUACAAUUUAACCACCAAUAGUAUCACAGUAUUCACAGUUGUAAUUUCAGAAUAUCAAAUUUCCACAUGAUUCACAAUAUUCACACAUAUAUAAAUAUAUCAUAAUAGAAUUCCAGAUUUGUAUGCACAUGAUUUAGAAGAUGCCAUACAAUUUUGGUUUUUAACAGAAUAAAUCCUACCCCACGUUACAUACCAUAAUGGGAGUUCCCCUAAACUCCCUUCUCCAACACACUAGGUUAUGGAUAAACCACUAUUGGUUCACAAAUAAUAACUGUCAUUUGGCUGUGGACACACAGCAAGUCCCCACAAUUGGAUUCUAGAUUUGGUUGUGGAUUCACAGCAAAAAAAUCCUACAAAUGAAGCCUGCUUUUGCCUGUAGAUUAUACAACAUAUACCCGCAGUUGGAAUCUGUCUUUGGCUGUGGAUGCAGUGUAACACCGCAAACUCGACCUGGACAUUAUGGCUGAAUCUUGAUGAUUUACUUUAACUCGCUAGAAAACCCACGAAUUUACUUUAAAAUCAUGUGGUUAAACUAGUGUUCACUUUGAUAAAUUGUUUUCCAGUUUUAGAGAAAUUUCUUGUUAAAACUGUUACUUUAUUACAAUAAAACAUUAAAGUAAUUGUAUCAUUUUGUAGUGGAAUCUACUAAGCUAUAAGGUUUUGAAAAUCGUGAUUUAGUUUGCAACAAAUCAUUUUGCAAAUAGAAAUUUAAUACUACUUAAUUUGGAAAAUCACGCUAAAACGAAAGCAAAGUCCAAAAUAAUUUACGGUUUGAAAUUCUAAAAAGCCCAAAUUAGACAUAAAGUCUAUUUAAACCAAUUUAUUGAAAGUGUAACACCCUAAACCCGGCCUAUAUGUUAUGGCCAAAUCUAGAUGUGUUACGAAAAAAAGUUUAUAAAAUGACUUCCUUGUUAUUGGCAAACCAUCGUAACCAUUAUUACUUAGUAUAUCUGAUUUGUUUGGAAAACUUAUUGAUAUACUUAUUUGAUUUAAAAUCGUUGCUCGCUUAUGCCUUUUUAUUAAACCAAAUAUUUUGCAGCGGAGUUUCUUUACAACAUCAUAUUUUGGAAAAUCAAAUUGUUUCUUGAAAAUCGUUAUUUUAGAAAAGUUUUCAUUUUCAGAAAAAUUAUUUUAUCAGUUGUUAUGCUGAGAAAACAAAAUAAAAUCCAAAACCAAAAAUAAUCGCAAAAAGUCUAGAGAGUCCCAAAAUGACAAUACUCUUAAAACUAGACAAGCUUAAACUAAUUUUAAAAGAAUGAAAUUUUACAGAAAUGUGGACACCACUGAGCUUCCGUCGCACCGACCCACCUAAAUCUGAGGGUUACUUGAACAGAACAAACAAACAGAGAGUGAGUUUUGAAACUUAGUGUCUAACGCAUAUAUAAACAAAAAUUCAGAAUCAAUCUCAUGCAGAACAGAUACAAGUGUAAACCUUUUAUAAAAUUAGAAUUGUACAGAUACAAAUAUGCAACAUCCUACCCUCAUCCUCUACACACCAACUCCGACCAUCCUAUCACACCACGUGGGGUAUAAAAUACCCAUCCAGCCCUACACACCGUAUAGUGUUUAUAUGACACUUUUUGGAAUAAUCGCAGCAGAGUUGCCAGUAUAUAUGCGAGAUAUCACCUCACAUAGAACACUUCCUCCUCAUAAUACAAAUCCCGCCUCAUAGCUAGAUACAGACAAAAUAUGAUGUAAAAUAAAUUAACAGAUACUAGAGUUAACAUAUCACGCGUGAGCGUAUAAUAGAUAUUACACAUGCUUAUGCAUAACAAAAUAGAUCAUACAUAUUGUAUUCCAUAAUACUCAUAUAAAUGUUAUUUACGUCAAUCUCAAUCUAACAGAGUAGCAGAUUUCAUGCUUUAACGCUUAUACCACACAUAUAGACCCUAUAGAAGGCCCACAGUCGAUCGAGACAACAUGUAUGUCGCUAGGGAAAAAAUUUGUAAUUUGGGCCCAUAUACAUGUAUGAGCCCACACACCCAAAAUGGCCUUGCCCAUGUGGCUCACCAACCUAGCACUCAGCCCAUACGGUCCAAAAUGGCCUAGGUCGUGUGUCACACACAGCCGCAUGUUGCACACAGCCUACCACAUAGCCAGUCACAAAACUGUUUGGAGUUGAAAAGCCCAAUUUUUGGCUUUCGUCAAUCAUCAUUUUCUUACGUUUUCAUUACACACCUGGUUUGAUUCUGACGCAAAAGCAACCCUAUGUCCACCGAAACCUAAAAAUAGCAUUCCAACGCCCAAUUUCAGUGAACAUUUACAAAACUCAAACAAAAACUAUCCAAAAACAUAGCCUCACAAUAGCAUCCAACGCACUCGCACACUUAUCGUCAACAAAUAGGAAACACCCAACACUCAAUUCGUUGGCGGAGCACCAAUUAUGAUAAUGCAAAAAUUUUAUGGAUUCUCAACACUAUCGAUCCGAAUGUAAGAUUGAUGCUUUCCAAUUAUGAUAAUGCGAAAAUUUUGUGGGAUGGUUUACAUGAAUUUUUUUUGUUGUCAACGAUCAACGUAUUCAAUAAUUAAAAUAAAAUAUUAGUCGUUUUUAGAAAACCAAGACUAUGAGUGUUGUAGUUUAUUUCAGUAAAUUAAAGGUUUUGUGGGAUGAACUAGAUAAUCAUGAACCAUUGAUUUGUUGCAAGUGUGGACAAUGUUUAUGUAACUUAGGGAAGGCGCAUGAACAAUGUCGUGAGCAUGAUUGACUUCAUCAAUUACUUCUUGCUCUCUAUUGUAAUUGUUAUGCUCAAACUAGGUUUACACUGUUUUACCAAGAUCCUUUGCCUUCCUUAAAUCAGGCAUUCCAACAAAUUACUUAGGAGGAACAUGUACGUGGAAUUACACUGAUUAAGGAAGAGAAGUCUGAUAUUUUAGGCUUUGCUAUGCGUACAGAGGGUCAUAACAAAGGCCGAGCUAAUUGUAUUGAUAAGUCAACCUUGUUGUGCACUCAUUGCCAUCGCAAAAGGCAUGAGAUGGCUACCCAUUUUGAAUUACAUAGCCACUUGGAUUGGCGGCUUAAGAAGUAUGGGAAGCCAGAGAAGAAAAGUGAUGAUCGUGGUGGUAAGACAAGUGCCACAUCUUCCACGUAAGUGUUUUAUUUCAAAGGAUCACAAUUAAACAUUAGAUUUCUCAUUUUUAAUUUUUUUAUUUUUUUAACAGCUACGUAAUUAACGAGUACCAAUUUUGGGUGUUGUAGGGGUUCUAUAACUUUCCCUAUAUGUAAUCGACUCUUGCACCCACUUUUUUUUCUCUAGAAUUCAAUGCAAACCUUAGAUUUAUCUUUUUAAAAGAAUUUUAAAAUCUCUUUAUAAAAGACGAUUUUUUUAGGUGACCAAUCACACUUAAGAAAAACAAAUCGGUGGCAACUCCUUUCUAAUAAAUGUAAAAAACUUUUUAAACAAAAUAAGGUUGAAAUAAUCUAGUUGUCGUUAUACUUUGAUAAAAUUUUAGAUUUAGUCCUUAUACUUAAAAGGUUAAAAAUUAAGUCUUGUUUUUAUUUAAAAAUCUUAGUCCUAUCGUUAAUAUUGUUUUUUUUUGUCAAAAUUUGUCAAGUUGACAUAUUAAUUAGGUUUCUCUUAUAUAUCGUGGUAUAUGACUAACACAAAAUAAACAAGUUGACAAAAUCUACAAAAAAUAUCAAAGAUGAUAAUAGUUUAAUUAAAAUUUUUAAAUUAAAAAAGUAAGGGAUUAAAUUUAUAACUUUUAAAGUACAAUGAAUGAAAUUAUUGAAAUACAAGAACUAACAACAUAUUUUAAAAUAUUACUAGUAAAUUAUAUAUCUACAACAAGAAUUGUAACCUCUUAUAUUAUAUUCUUGUAUCUAUUUUUGCAUCUUUCAUUAUAAUAUGAUUUAUUAAUUUUAAUAUUUUUAUAGAAUAAUAUGCUUUAAAUAGUUUUUUGUAUAAUUUAUAAAAAUUAUAAUAAACUUACAAAAUAAUUUAAUGAUAUUUAAUUAUUAACCAAAAAAAAUGAUAUCAUAUAUAUUAUGUAUAUAUUAAGAUUCCGAAUCAUUAAUUAUAUAUCUACGCAUUAUAAUAAAUUCAUCUUUCAAAAUUUUCCUUAUAAUUAAAGCAUAAAUUAUAUUUAUAAUAUUAUAAAUAUAUUUUAUCAUAAAUAUUCUUUCAAAUAUUUUUUAAUGUUUAAUAAUAAGUUAAUUUAUAAAAUAUUUUUUCAAUAAAUUAAUGUGAUGAGAUCGUUAGGUGCUUGGAUUUGGUGAAGGGGGAUGAAGAGAAAAGGGAUGGAAGUGAAUAAAAAUGUUGAGAAAUCGAAAGGGUUAGCGAGGGAAGCCGCCAUGAAAGGUGGUUCAAUGGAUAUGAACCAUCAAGCUUUUGUGGAUGAUGUUACUCAAGGUUGUUGCAAGUAAAUUAAAAAAUAUUUUUUUAAAUUAUUUUUUUGUUAAAAAACAUUUUUUAUUUUUUAUGUGGCAUGCCACAUUAUCAUAGUAUCAUGUGACAACUUCUGGUGAUUUCUGUCUGUAACAUUAGUCAAAUCAACAGUUAAAUCGUUCAACUCACAGUUUUUGUUAAAUGAAGAGGUCAAUUGGUUUUUUUGGAAUCAUUGAGUACUCAAUUGGUGCACUUUUAUCAUAAAGGCUAAAUUAAUUUUUUUAAUUUGUUAUUGUUGAGGGCUAUAACAAUAAAAAAAUUAAUGUAAAAUGAAAAAAAUGUUAGAGCUAAAUUUGUCAUUAUAACUAAAAUGUAAAACCAAAAUUUUUUGAAAAAUGAAAAAAAUGGAAAAUCACAAAUUCUAUCACUUAUGUUUGCUUAAAAUUAUAGUUUUGGUCACCAAUCUUUUGAAGUAAAUAUAUGGUCACCAAUAACUCACCUUAAAGUUAUACCCCUACGCAAGAAAGGAUUAAAUGACAUUGGAAUACCAUAAAACUUGUAUCUUUUUUUAUUCAUCUAAUACCAUUUUAACAUUUUCAUUUUAAAAAAUUGACAUAUCAUUUUGAAUUUGAUCUUUUUCAUGGUAUCUCAAAUUCAUUUAAUCUUUCCCUCUCUAAAAAAGCUAAUGUAACACAUUAAUGACAUCAUUUCAAACAAAGUUUUAGGUCAAAUUAUUCAUCUAGUCCUUGUAAUUGUUUUUAUAGGUGAAUUUCAUUAUUAUUCUUUUAUUUUCUUAGGCUUAAAUACACAUUUACCCCUAAUUUUAUCCCAUUCUCCUUAAUUGGUAUUUAUGGUUUAGAAAAUUUUAUAAAUAUAUUAUUUUUUAAGAAAUUAUAAGAAGAUUACAAAAAUUCCAAAAUAAUAUAAAAAAGCCAAGGAAAACCUAGAAAUUCAAAAAAAAAAAAAAAACGUCGACAUUGAAUUUGCUGUUUCACAUUCAAUUUUUGGAGAAGUAGAAUUUUCUAACUUAUUUUCCAUCAACUUGACUUCAAUUUUCAAUCACAAUCAAUUGCAUUCAAGAGCACCACAUCUGUUUGGAUGAAACAAACCUCUCAAUUUUAAGAUAAACGGGUCUUUAGGGUUAUAAAUUGAGGGCCUUUUCCACAAUUGCGGGUGAUUCGUUGAUAAUAACCUCAACAUUUCUGUAUCACAUUUCAAUUUUUAAUUUUUAGAGAGAUGAUUGGGUUACAAGACUGGUUUGAAGUGAAGAUAUUUCAAAAGAAGAUCGAAUACUCUACCAAUAGUCAUAAUUUAAAAUUCAGGUUAUGUUUCAUUUCAGCUAAGUUAAAUGUUAAGAUUGAGGUUAAACCUUUUAGAGGUUGCUCACAAAAGGAUCAAACCUUUAUAAAAUUGCCUAAAUGAAGGUUAAACCUUUUAAAAUAGACAAAUAAGGGCCUAACCUUUUAAAAGGUGUUCAAAUAAGGGUUUCUCAAACGUUGUAUAUCAGGUUAUGUGUUUUACUCUAAACACAUCGACAUUUACCUAUUUUUUCUAUAAAUUUGGUUGAAGUGCAUGAAAAAUCCUUAUUUGAGCACUUUUGUAAAGGUUAAUCUCUUAUUUGACCAUUUUGAAAGGUUUGAUCCUUAUAUAAGUAACCUCUAAAAGAUUGAGCACUAAUUUGACAAGUUUGAGAAAUAUCUAAAUUUGUUUUCAUGAAUCAAGAAAUUAAAAAAGAAAUGUUGAGAAAUAUUUUAGAGAUUCUUAGCUUUGACAAGUUCCCUCCACCAUCUCCCUGCCUCCAGUCCCACCUCUUCUCUUAUGCUCCUUCCAGCUUCUUGCCUUUUGUGUGUUGAAAAUUCAAAGGAACAAAAUAUCAACCUACAUCAUAAGGCACGAUCGCCAGAACUUUACUUUCUAGCCUGUCGAUCCGAUCCAAUCCAAUGAAAGAAGAACAAGGAGUCUUAAGAUCUGUCAACUUUAUUUCAUUUUCAUUUUCUUUGUCAUUUUCUAUGUUUCAUGUCGAAUACAAUGAAAGAAGAACAUAGAAAAAUGUGGCCUAUUUAUUUCCCAAUCAUCAUGAAAUUACUUGCCAUUGACUUAGAAUUUUCUCACCAAUUUUCAAGCAAUCUGACAUGAUUUCUCAAUCACAAUUAAUUGAAUUCAAGAUCUUUUUAGAUGACACAAACAUUUCAAUUUUAACACAAACCAAUAUUUCGGUUAUACUUCAGUGCUUGACAAGCACUUUCACAUUUGUGGGAUAAGAACUCUUAACAUUUUAGGAUCACAUUUAAUUCAAUUGCAUUUAAGACCUCAUGGUUUUAUUCUAUAAUUUCAGUCUUAUCAGCCUUUUCGGAAACAAUAAAACGUCGACAUUAAAUUUGUUGUUGAUGCAUUCAAUUUUUUGAGGGGUCUUUGGAGUUAUAUGUGACUUUAGCAUUGACUGACUUUUUUAUAAUUUAUCUUUUAUAAUAAGGUAAAUAUAUUAAUUUUAAUAACAUCGACAUGUUUUUUAGUAGGGUCGAGCAAAACCCAAUUAAAAUCGAUGAUAUUGGCUUAGUUGACUCGGUCAAGUCCAUUAGAUUGAUAAAAUCAUUUUUAAAAUCAGUUAUAAUGGAUAAAGGUAAUUAAUUAUCGAGUAAUGAAAUACAUAAUCAAAUCAAUUGAUUUUGUUAGAAACUAAAAGAAAAAGGGCUAAGCUGAAAAUUGAUUGCCCUUUAUUAAAAUUAACGAAUCUGUCUUUUACGUAUUAGAUAAUAUGAACAUCGCAUAUAUAAUAAGAAAAAUUACGUAUGAUUAUUUAUUAUCAUAAAAGGUUAGUUUAAAUUUAAAGUAAUCUAAUAUGUUUAUUGAACUUCAACUAUUAAAUAAAGUAUAAGCUAAAUAAGUAUAAAUAUUCUAGAAACCAUUUCUAACUGAUGAUAGGCUAAUUCGAUUAAUUUAUAAAAACUAGAUAGUAGGGUUAUAGUCCUCAAACUACACCUAAUUUAAUAACAUUUAUAUUUUUUUUAGCCUUAAACAUUUAUAGUUUUUGUUAAUUUGGUCCUUACUCUUUAAAAUUACAUAAAAAUUGCAAAAAAAUUAAAAAUUAAUUUUUAUCAUGAUUUUAAUAACAUUUAUAUUUUUUUUGUGGUUUGGUAACUUAUCAACUUGACUCUUACUUGUAACCAACUUUUCUAACCUUUUUCGUACCCUUAACCUAAGUCCCGUUACAAUUUCUAAAGACCUCUUGAUUGGUGUAUCAUCUCGAUUUGUUUUUAUAGUGGUGGAGAUUUGUUUUUUGUAGUGGCAUGAUUGCCAGAACUUUACUUUCUAUCCUGUCGAUCCGAUCCAAUGAAAGAAUAACAAAGAGUCUUAAGAUCUGUCAACUUUAUUUCAUUUUCAUUUUCUUUGUCAUUUUCUAUGUUUCUUGUCACAUACAAUGAAAGAAGAACAUAGAAAAAUGUUGCCUAUUUAUUUCCCAAUCAUCAUUCUAACAGGCCGAAUUAGCCCAGGCCCAAACAUUAAUAAAAUGUCCAGAUUACAAAAUAACCAACCAAAAAUUAAAAGCCCAAAAUAAUAAAAUAAAACCCAUUACAUUAACCCAAAACUCCAGCCCAAUUACAUUGAAGCCCAAAAAAAUAGUUUUUAGAAACCCCUAGGGUUUCUGGAACAAUCCGCGCCGCUCCUCCAUCCGCUUCUCCACGCACGCUGCACCUUUCCACGUGCGCCUCCAGCUGGCAGUGUACCUCCAAUGCAACAAACAAAGCAACAAGCAGCAAAAGAAAUGGAAAAACAACAAAAAAAAAAAGAAAGGAGCAACAAUGUAUAACAGAUUGAUAACAAAUAAUAGAAAAAAUAGCAGUAAAUAGGAAAAAAAAUUAAAAAAUAAUGAGGGUAAUUUCAUUUUUUUCUCUGUUUUGGCUAUAAAGAGAGCCGGUCAAAAUCUCUAAAGGGGGAUUUAGAAAUCAAUCAGAAAACAAGUAUUUUGUACCAACAAUUAGAGAAAAAAAAUACAAAAAUAGGGAUUGAAGGUUUUUUUUUCUUUCGUUUCGAUUUAUUUUAAAAUAGCAUAGAAAAUAAAAAGAAGGCUUACCUUGCGACGCCUUCAGAUCCUCUCGAAAAGGGGCUAAAAGGCCCUAUGUGGCACAGAUUUGACCACUGUUCACGGUGGAACCGCAGCGGAGGCGCAGAGGAUUGGCAUCAAUUUAGGCAGGGUUUGAAACCCUAGCAGAGAAAAAAUUAGGGUUGAUAGAUUUUUUUUAAAAAAAUGGCAAAAUGUUGUUUUAAAAAAUUUUGUUUUAAAAAAAAUUGUUGCUUUUAUAAAGGGUGUAAAACGGCGUCGUUUAGGGCAUGUUUCGAUGGCCCCAAAACGGCGCCUUAUAAGGCAACCCCCGACGACCCGACCUGCUCCAUGGGGGAUCCGCGUGGUUUUUGUUAAAUGGGUUAUGUCUAACCCUGGCCCUUCUACUUUUUAUACUUGUUUUAAUUUGAUCCUCUUUUUAUUUAUUUUUAUUUCUUUAAAUUAAGCCUGAUAAUUUUUUUCCAUUACAUUUUAAUCCUUAAUGAAACGGCGCGUUUUAGAGGAGAAGGGAAAAUUACCCUUCUAGUCCCUUCUUGUUAUUCGAGUGUUCAGAAGGGUCCUUUUUUGUUUAUUUUUUAUUUGCCCCAAAAUUUUGUUUUAAAGCUUAAUUUAGUCCUAUUUUGUUAUUUUAGCUAUUUUAUUAUUAGAUUAAUUAAUUUAAUAUUAUUAUUACUGCUAUUAUUUUACCCCUAUUAUUUAUAUAUUUAUUAUUAUAACUAUAUCAUUAAAUCAAUUAGUUUUUACAUUAUUAUUUCCAUUCUGUUUUUUAUUUACUUACUUAAAUACUUUAAAUGCAUUUAUUUUAUUUCUUAUUUUUUUAUGAAAUUUCAAAACUUUAGACUAUUUUUUUGUUACUAUAACCCUAAUUUCAUUCAUUUUAUAAUAGUUUUUUUUUAAAAUAUUUCUUAGAUUAAUUCCCUCGAUGUUAUUUUGUAUAUUUAUUUAUCUUUUUAAAUUUUCGAUAUUGUCUUAUUGUAUUAUUGUUGUUACUAUCAUUAUUCAUUAUUAUUGUUGAUUUUAUUCUUCUUUGAUUAAUGUUUAUGUUAGAGUAAUAGGUGUUAUGUGAUCAUUGUUAUUAUAUGUUAUAAUUUGUUGACACUCGUAUUGUAGUCAUUCGUCAGCUUAAUAUUUUGAGUAACAUUUUAAAUAUUACAUUAAUUUUGACCCAAAUGCAUAAUUUUUUAAUAAGUAAUAUUUCGUAUUGUGGAAUUUGAGAGAUCAUUCCCUAACUUACGGGGUCUCGAUUUUUUUGAUAAAUCUGAAUAUAAGAACUAUUUUAAAAAAAUACGUUUUAAAAUUAUCUCGGGAAUUUAAAAAGAAGCGUGUUCUAACUUACGGAAUAUGAUCUUUUUUUAAAAAUCGAGAUAAUCAAAUAUCUUUCAAAUAAAUAAACUUUUCGUGUUUAUUCUCGUUUUAGGAUUUAAGAUAUUGUGUCCUAACUCACGGGACACAAUUCUUUUUCUCGAUUAACGUGAAAUACGCCCUUUUUAAUUUUAUCUUUUUAAGUGAUUUUAACAAAAGGAUUGUAUUUUAAAUCUCUUCAAAAUUUUCAAUUUUUCGACAUUGAGACAUUAACUAAUCAAUUAGGUACCAAUUUUGGGCGUUACAAGGGUGUUAACCCUUCCUUGUACAUAACCGACUCCCGAACCUAUUUUUCUGAAUAUUAUAGGCCAAAAUUGUUUUAAUAAAUUAAACCCUUAAGAGGUGACUCGAUCACAGCUCAUAAAAAUUAUCGGUGGCGACCCUUGUUUUAAAAAAGGUGGUUUCAACAGCUUGGCGACUCCGCUGGGGACAAAAAUAAGAGUCAAGCCGCGAGUUGAUUAUUUCUUAUCUUUUUGUCAGAAAUUGUGAAUUCGAUUUAAAUUUAUGAUCUUUUCAUUGCAUUUUAUGGUCUGCAUCAUUUUUAUAUGCUUGCUUUACUACUUCGAGUCUUUUAAUCUUCGCAUAUUGUAUUGCAUAACCGUUCGGUUAUACCCUUUUAAGCGGGAGUGAGAAAUUAUUCUUUCGUGAGGUUUUCACCUUCGUAUAGGAUAGUGGAUUACUUUCAGGAUACAUCCAUACCUAUGUCUUCGUGAGAUUCUCAUCUCCGUAUAGUCAUAGGGAAAUGUAUUCCCCUGAACUGAACUCAGUCCGUAUGAGCCUAUAAUGGGUGAGGAUUGAGGAAUCUGCUGGUUCAGGUACCCUUUCUUUAGAACUAAACCGCAUGUAGUGAGCCCUAAGAGCAUACCCUAGGUAGAACCACUCCAAACCCCUAGUGGUCACCCAAAUAGGUGCUCUAUUUAUUUUUGCUUGCUUGUUUUUGCCUUGUACUAACCUAUUUGUUAUGGUUAUGAGUGCAUUGCAUUUUUAUCAUAAAAAAGAUGUGUUGAUUCACGUUCAGUUGCUAAAUAGAGAGCUUGUCAUGGAAAACGAAUUUCUUGAUAAAGUGGAAGACAAUGCGGUUGUCCGGAUAUGGUCCAAGAAAAUGUGAAGAAAGAAGGGUGAUAGUCUAAUGGAGGACUACACGACCUUGCUUUGUUGCCUGAUGAUUCAAGUUGACAAAGAUUAUUCGAGAGUCUUCAAUGUCCCGACCUUUUUAAAGAAGCUAACGAGCGUCACGAGGAUGAGCGAGUAAUGAGUUGCGGCCCGGAUCAAGCAAAAAAAAGAUAGAGGAGACACCCUUUUUGAAGAGUUCACGAGAUUUAUCUUAACAUCUAGACGAAGAAAAAGAUCAAUCUCUUUGCCUAGAGUAUGAGGGCAAAGCCGUAUAUAUCCGCUUUAUGUAAAUAAAUUUGUUUUCUAGUAAAGUUUUUCUAAUAGGAUUGAAUCAGAAUCAACGUCUCUUUUUGCAUUCAUUCCAUUCAUCUGCAUUGCAUUUCAUUGCAUCUAGAAUUUCACAAAAGGACCCUAAUUAAUCGAAAUUGUUAUAGCUACCUUGAAAAACUAACGAAAAUUUACCAAUUAAAUAUUCCUAUGGUACCCAUUGCAAAACUAAAGUAAUGGAUCAAAUAUUAGAAAGAUUAGAACAAAUGCUGAAGGAUAAACAUAACUGCUUUGGCUUAGGGUACAAGCCAGAUACAAGACAAAGAAGAAAUAGGAAAGGAGAACACGUUUGAGCGGGGAUGAGGUCAAAUGGGAGGGAUUAUUCAUCCCAGGCGAAGAAUGCCAAGAGAAGAAAAUAUUGAAAACAUGUUGGGAAACGUUCACAUCAAUGCCAUAUACGAAGAAGCAAUUGAAGGAGUGACCUUGUUAGAUAUCCGCCCUUAUGAACCUAAGAGUGUGCUAAACAAUUGGACUGCAGAAGAAAUUCUUGUAGUGUUUAGAGCUUACUCAUAGUAAUGUUCAGAACACACUUGUUGCUUUUAGCCUAGAAGUGAUAAGAAUCCCUCUGUGAAAUAGGCUCAUGUAUAAACAUCAUUAUUUUAAUGAAGUACAUCUUUGCAUUCAUUUUGAGCAAAUAUUCUUUUAUUCUUUUCAUACGAGUAAUUAUUUUGGAUUCUUUAAUUCUUUUGGGAUUUUCUUCCAAAAUCAUUCUUUUAUUACAUCCAUAAUCAUACUGUACAAAUAAUGUAAUAGCCUGAAUUUUCAGUGGUGUCGGAAUGGUGAUUCAAGAUCACUAAGUCUGACAAAUGAGUAGAAAAUAUUAUUAAUUUAGUAAGAAUAAGUAAAUGUGAAGUUAGGAAAAUUUUUGAAAUAGUGAAUAGUGUACUAGGAAUAAAUAUUAAAAUAAUUAAAAUAAAAAAUGAGGUAUCGAGACCUCGAAGAUUUUAAACCAAGCCAUAAGUACUUUUAGAAGUAUUUUUAGAGUGUCAUUGAGUUGGUAUUAAAGUUUCGUUAGAAAAUUUUAACGCUCGGAUAGUUAAUUAACCAAAAAGGACUAAAUUGAAAAUAGUGUAAAAUUUGUUAAAUUGUGAUUAAAUAGCUUAAGUGAUUAAAAAGGAGGGAUUUAAAAGGCAAUUAGGCCCAAAUUAUAUGGGCUGGACGGUUGGGUAAGAAAAAUCAGCAGAAUGUAAGGAGAAACAGGGGCAAAAUUGGAAACUUAACAAAUUAAACAUAUAAAACAAAGACAAAAGUGAAAAAUCUAGAGAUCUGCUCACAAUUUAUCAGCAAAAAUGCCAUAGGAGGUCUGAAAGAAGCUGGUUUUUCAUAUAUUUGAAUCAUGUAAGUUUAAUUCUUGAUUAUUUCUUCUAAUUUUUGUGAUUUUGAUACUUUUACAAUUAGGUCCAACUAAUUAUUUCAUUAGUUUUUGAUUUCAUGGCUGAUUUUGAAAGUUACCAUUGAUGAGUGUUGGAUUUUUAUGAUGAAUAAACAUGGAAUUAAAGCUUUAAUUUUGUUAUAUGAUGAUUUUAUUAAGUAAUUUUGAUAGAAAUUGAUUUUUGGGACCUAAUUGUGAAAAAGUUUGGAAUUAGGGUUUGGUGUUGCGGUUUUGAAUAUGAAAGUCUAUGUAGUAGUCUAAAAUAGUUGGAAAAGGUGUUAAUUGAGAAAAAUUAGAUCAAUUGAGGGGUUAAUUGAGUAGGACCAAAUUGUAAAAACUGUAAAGUUUGAGGUAAAAGUGUAAUUUCGAAAAUUUAAGGGCAUAAAUUGUGAAGUGAAUUAGAAUAGAAUUAUAUGCUGAUGAAUGAAUAAAUUUGUAUUUUAGAUCGAGAACCCGAAGCAAGCCGAGGAAAAGAAAAAGUAGUUGAUUAGUCCCUGAACUUUUACAAAUUCUGCAAAUCGACCCAGGUAAGUUCAUAUGGCUGAAAUUUAAUGAUUAAAUGUUAAUUUCAUGAAUUAUGUAAUGUAUGAUGAAAUGUAUUUAGUGUUGAAAUGAGAGUAAAAUAAAAAUGCGAAAAUCGAAUAAAUGAUCAAAUUAAGCGGAACGCCGGAUUUGAGUACUUCUGAUCAAGAGACAAAGUGAUAAGUGGUAGCUUUAGCUACACUUAUCUGAUCAAGUGAAAAAGUGAUAAGUGCUACACUUAUCUGAUCAAGAGACAAAGUGAUAAGUGGUAGCUUUAGCUCACUUAUCUGAUCAAGUGAAAAAGUGAUAAGUGCUAUACUUAUCUGAUCAAGUGACAAAGUGAUAAGUGGUAGCUUAGCUACACUUAUCUGAUCAGGGCCAAAUGAUAAGUGAUCAUACGUAAGACCAUAGUUAUACUAUGGCCAAGUGAAAGUGAAGUACUCAAUUUUCCGUAACCGUUCCUUAAUUUUGAUCAAGGAUGGUAAGUGACAAAUAGGCCCAAAGAAAUUAUGGUAAAAGAAUAAGUAGUAGUGAGUUUAUACCAAGGAACUCUCCAAAGAUUGUGGUUGACAAGUAAACUUAGUAAUGGUGUAUAUUGUAUAAGUGUACAAAUGUUUGGUAAGAUUUAUGUUUGUGCCUAUGAACUUACUAAGCUUUUCUAUAAGCUUACAUGUGUGUGUUUAUUGUUUUUCUAGAUUAACGUAUUUAUACAUUCGGAGGAUCGGAUCUACUUCGAGAAUCACACUAUCCAGAUAUACUCCGGUAGAUUUUGUUAAACAACUUUUUGGAUUUAUAUGGCAUGUACAUAGAAUUGAAGUAAAAAGUAAUAGAAUGAAUGACUGAGUAUGCAAAGUAAAUUUGAAUGUGAUGGUUGUGUUAGAUAUUGAAAAAUACAUGUUUUUAGUUUGAAAUGGUUGAUUGGCUGAACUUCGUUAGUAUUCAAGUGAAGUAGUUGAAAUACUGGAAUUGGUUGUGAUUUGAAAUUUGCAGGGAAGGUUAGAUAAAUAUAAAGGGGUUAUAUUGAUUUUUUUUAAAAAUUUCAAUGGAAUAAUUUUUGGACAGCAGCAUUGAUGUAACUUUUAAAAAUCACCAAAAAUAGUGGAAAUAGAAUUAGAAGUUGAAUGAGAUAUGAAAUUAAAUCUGAAUGAGUCUAAUUUCACAUGAAAGAAGUAGAAUAAGAAAAAGAGUUAUAUAUUUUUAGAUAUUUGAAUUUUAGUGAAACAGGGCAAGAAUGUUUUUGAAGUCCCCUGUUCUGACUUUAGAAAUUUAGUAAAAAUUGUACAAAAGGAAUUAUGAAUUAUAAUUUAUAUGUUUAAAUUCCGUAAUGAGUAUAUUUUAAGUAGAAAUAAUUGGAACCACCAUAUGAAGUCUUUGCAAUGAGAUAAUUGAAUUUUAGCGACAAGAGGUCAGGAUAGUCAAUUAGUGAAAUAGGGGAGACUUCAACUAAUAAACUGUAUUAAUUUGCUAAACCAAAAAUUCUGAAAAAUUUAUGGUGAAUAUACAUAUGAGUCUAGUUUGAGGGAAAAUUUACGGAUCUAAAUUUUUAGUUUCGUAUCUUGAGUUAUAAUUAUUUUAGUGACUACUGCGCAUGUGGACAGCUUUGUUGUGAAUGGUGAAAUUAAUUUUUAAAGUAAAUUUUUAUGCCCCGAACUUUUAAGUUCAGUCAAGUAACGCCUUAUGCUCGACUCCGGCAACCGUCUUGGGUAAGGGGUGUUAUAAAUAAUUAUUCUUAAAUUCAUACAUUCUUUGUAUAUUAUUUUGUACCUACAAUAGGUCCCUAGAUAUUAACAACAUGAGUGACGUUGCUACAGACUCAGAAUUUCCUUUUAAACAAGACAUGUGUUUAGAGGGAUCCCAUGGCUUUGAAGAUGACGUAGACUGUGGCUUAUCUCUGAAUUUGUUAAGGAUGGUAAAACAAGAGGAGAAGCAAAUCCUACCUCACAAGGAAUCAAUGGAAAUUGUGAGCUCAGAAGGGGGAAAAGAGGUGAAGAUUGAGACUAACAUUGCCACAAAGACAAAGCAUGACCUCGUUGAGUUACUCCAAGAAUUUAAAGAUGUCUUCGCAUGGUCAUACCAGGAUACUCCCGGGUUAAGUACUGGCAUUGUAGUACACUACCUUCUUAUAAAAGAAGAUUGCAAGCCAGUUUAGCAGAAACUCUGAAGGAUGAUGCCUGAUAUUGUGCUAAAAAUAAAAGAAGAAGUUAAAAAGCAAUUUGAUGUUGGGUUCUUACAAGUGGUUAAAUAUUCAGAAUGAGUAGCCAACAUCGUCUCAGUCUCUAAAAAAGAUGGGAAAGUACGAAUGUGCAUAGAUUACAGAGACAUGAACAAGGCCAGCCAAAAAGAAAAUUUCCCAUUGCCUCACAUUGACACUUUGGUGGAUAAUACAGUAGGCUACUCACUGUUUUCCUUCAUGGACGACUUCUCUGGAUACAACCAGAUAAAGAUGCAUCCCAAAAACAUGGGAAAGACUACAUUCGUGACCCUAUGGGGAAUGUUUUGCUAUAAAAUGAUGUCAUUCGGAUUAAAGAAUGUGGGAGCGACGUAUCAAAGGGAAUGGUAACCUUGUUUCAUGACAUGAUGUACAAGGAAAUCGAGGUUUAUGUUGGCGAUAUGAUUGCAAAAUCCAGAACAGAAGAGGAACAUGUGUAGGCCCUAAGAAAAUUAUUCUUAAGACUGAGAAAGUUCCAGCUCAAGCUUUCCAACGAAAUGCACAUUCAGAGCUAGGUUAGGAAAGCUGUUAGGCUUCACAGUUAGUGAAAAAGGAAUCGAGAUCAACCCAGAUAAAGUCAAGGCGAUACGAGAUUUACCUCUACCAUGCACUCAGAAGGAAGCUCGAGGUUUCCUAGGAAGACUGAAUUACAUUGCUCGAUACAUUUCACAACUAACCGAAAAAUGUGACACCAUAUUAAAAUAAAAAUAGAUUAAAUUGUAAGUAAAACAUAAUUUAAACAUAUGAAUACAUCAAAUUAAUAAUACUAAAUGAAUACAGUUAUUUAUGAUGAUGUUGUUGCCAAUUCCUAAUUUGGUGUCUAGUUAAUUUGUGACAUCAUAAAUUUAAGUGAUAAAUUUAAGGUUUUAUGUAUUGAUGUGGAUUCAAAUAUCACCAUAAUUUUUGUAAAUAAAAAACUAAUAAGAUAACUUAUAUUAAGUACGAAAGGGUAUUUUUAUAAUUUCUCUAAUCGAGUUGGUGCCCGGUUGACUCAUGACACUAACUCAAUCAGAAGCUUUAAUAAUAAUAUAGAUAUUCAUGUUAAAAAAACAAAAAAAAAGUACUUUAGUUCCAAAUAAUUAUAUAACAAGUAAAUUUAUAAUUGAUGAAUAAAUUUAUAAAUAAUAUAUUUAUAUGAUCUAAUAUAUUAUAUUUAUAUUAAUUAUAUAUCAUCUACAAACUUUGAAGAUCAAUUUAUUAAGUAAAAAUGAAAUUGUUAACACUAAAUCAAUUUUUAGAUUUUGUAUAGAUGAUUUAGUGAUGAUAAAAACAUUAUUAACACUAUUUUUUAAUUAACAAAAAAUUAGUGAUAUAUUUAAAUUAUAUUUAUCAUUUAUUAUUUUUAAUAAUAUUUUUUAAUUAUAUGAAGUAAAAUUAUAUUGUAUACUAAAUAUGGUACAUAUACUCUAAUUAUAACUUGAAAUUUUAUUAUAUAAAUUAAUAUAAAUUUGAAUAACAAAAUAAAAAAAAACUAAUUAGAAUAAUUUUAAAAAACAUUAUUUAAAAGUAGUUAAAAAUCACGUGCAACAGGUGAGAUCAAUGGUCUUUAGAGAAGAAAUGUUGAAGAUCAAAGUUGGAAUCUGGCCUAUAAGGCCUUUAAUUGCUUUAAUAUUAAGCAGUUCCAAACCAAGAAGAUUACCGAUUUCCUCAGGAAUUUGACCUGCACACAUGGUCGAAAAAUCAAUGUGUCAAACUACCUAUUUUGUUAGCAUAAGUCAAAGAGGUUUUCUUUUCUAUUCUACAUAAUUUGCAGAUGUUAGAUUUUAAUAUUUUUAAGCAUAUUUGUUUUCAUCAAAUUAACUAUUUUGAACUAUUUUGCCUUGAAUGAAAUAAAAUGCUCUUACUUUUGUUAUCUAUUACUAAUCAAACUCUUUUAUAAAAAAAAUACUUUAAACUAAAGAAACCAAGAAAAUUCAAUACCUUCUAGGUUAUUCAACCCCAAAUAUAAUUCUUUGAGUCGUGUCGGAUUUCCAAUACUUCUUGGAAUGAUCCCCAUCAAUUGAUUAUAGGAAAAUGACAAAAUUUUAAGGUUGUUGCAUUUGCUUAUACUUGACGGAAUGUUACCAUAUAAUUCAUUCCGACUCAAGUAAAGCCCUUCAAGCUUGGAAAGAUGUGACACAUAUCAUUAGGCAAGCUACCUGAUAGGCUAUUGUUGGAGAGAUCAAUGGCCUUCAGAGAAGAAAUGUUGAAGAUCGAAGUUGGAAUCUGACCUGUAAGGCCUUUAAUUGCUUUAAUAUUAAGCAGUUCCAAACCAAGAAGAUUACCGAUUUCCUCAAGAAUUUGACCUGCACACAUGGUCGAAAAAUCAAUGUGUCAAACUACCUAUUUUGUUAGCAUAAGUCAAAGAGGUUUUCUUUUCUGUUCUAUAGUAAUUUGGUGAUGUUAGAUUUUAAUAUAAUUCAGCACAUGUUUUUCAUCAAAUGAAAUAAAAAGUUUUUCCUUUUGUUAUCUAUUACAAAUCAAGCUCUUUUAUUAAAAAAAUACUUUAAAUUCAAGAAAUCAAGGAAAUUAAUUACCUUCUAAAUUAUUAAACCCCAAAUAUAAUUCCUGGAGUCGUGUUAGAUUUCCAAUACUUCUUGGAAUGAUCCCCAUAAAUUGAUUAUGGGGCAACAACAAAUUUUUAAGGAUGUUUCAUUUGCCUAUGCUUGACGGAAUGUUACCAGAUAACUCAUUGCUAUGCAAGUGAAGCCCUUCAAGCUCGGGAAGAUGUUGACACAUAUCAUUAGGCAAACUACCUAAUAGGCUAUUCCUGGAGAGAGCAAUAGUCUUGAGAGAAAAAUGUUGAAGAUCGAAGUCGGAAUCUGAUCUGUAAGGCCUUUAAUUGCUUGAAUAUUAAGCAUUUCCAAACUAAAAAGAUUACCGAUUUCUUCAGGAAUUUGACCUGCAGACAUAGUCGAAACAUCAAGGUGUUAAAUUUCCUAUUUUGUUAGUGUAAAUCAAAGAGGCUUUUUAUUUUUUUUCGUUAUGAAAUAAUAUGGAUAUGUUCGAUUCUAAUCAUAUUUAAGUAUAUAUUAGUUCUUGAAAGAAUGAGUUCUUAUUUUUGGUAUUUAUAUUGCAAAUAUAUAUUUUUUUAAAUUUAAAAGAAGGGAGGGGGCAAAUGUGUUUAAACUAAAGACAUCAAGGAAAAGGCAUACCAAGUAUAAUUGUUUAAGUUGUGUCAAAUUCCCAAUGCUUUUUGGAAUGAUCCCACUAAAUUGAUUAAUAGACAAUUCCAAAAUUUGAAGGUUGCAGCAUUUGUCUAUACUUGAUGGAAUAGAACUUGAUAAUUCAUUUCUACUCAAGUAAAGCUCUUUCAGCUUGGGAAGAUGGACACACAAAUCAUCGGGCAAGCCACCAGAAAGACUAUUAUCACAAAAAUGAAUCCUUUUCAAAGAAGAAAUGUUAAAGAUGGAAGAUGGAACCUGGCCAGAUAAUUGAUUGAAUCCCAAGUUCAAGAUCUCUAGAUUGGACAAGUUGACAAGUGUUUGAGGGAUCGUGCCUGUGAAGUUAUUAUUUCUCAUUUCCAACCUUUGAACUCUGUGCAAGUUCCCAAGCCAUGGUGGAAUUUCCCCAUUAAGACGGUUGUAGCUUAAUCGAAUGAUCCUCAAACGAUGCAAUUGGCCUAAUUCUUUAGCCAGAUGGCCGUAGAAAUUGUUGUUGCUCAAGUCGAUAGAAAAUAGAAAUGAAAGAUUUCCAAGGUGUGGAGGGAUAGUACCCCUAAGAUUCAUGUUUGUAAGAUUAAUCAAAGCUACAACUCUUUCAUGGAUGAUGCCACAAGAAACACCAACCCACUUACAGACAGAGGUAGAGUUCGUCCAAUUGUUUGCCAACACAUUUUGAGGAUCGACAAUGCGAUCUUUAAACUCAAAGAGUGCAAACUGAUCGGAGUUGAGAUUCCGGACUGUCAUAGCCAAGGAAACAAUAGAACAUUGUAUGAAUAAAAGUGAAAGAAGAUGAAAGCAAGUGUUGUAGUUCAUGAUGGCAAGACGAAAUAAGCCAGGAAAAGGGAAGUUGAAUUGAUGAAGAAAUAGCCAGCCAACAUGCUUAAAUAGGCUUCAACCCUUGCACACUUCUCAUACAUAAAGUUCGCUGCCAUUACAACAAGAAAACUCAUAUCUCCAUUCGUACCUAUCCAUACUUUAUUUGACUAACUUUUCCCUAACAAGUGUUCAGUAAGGAGAUAAAUCAGUUUGGAGCUAUUCACCGGCUUCUCCAAUCUUGGUUUCAAACUCCUAACCCAUCAAUUCACUUUAAUUGAAACGAUAUACACGAGUCUUUCGGCUUAUAUUUUUAAUUUAAUUUUUGUUACUUUUCAUAAUAUUUUUUGAGAAAUCCAAAUAUUCCAGUCUGAAAUUUCUUCAUUGCCACGUCUAUCUCCUGGGUAAGUCCGUGGUUAGGCAGCCCACUUUGGGAGCAGGAUUGUAAUUGUAAUUCUAUCCGACUCAUUUUACUAUUUAGAAAUAUAAAAGUAAUAUUAUAUUAUUUUUUAUAUUUUUAUAAAUUUAAUUUUAAUUAUAAUUUUUAAACAAUAAAACGAGUCAUUUGUAUUUGCCUAGUCUAAAUUGAAUCAGGAGUCAAAAAAAUUUUAAUCAUAAUUUACUAUUAUUUUAAUUAAUUAAAAUUUAACCUACUACAACUAGUAGUUGCAGAAAAAAUGUCAUUCCUUUAGAAAAACGAAAAUCCUUUAGAAAAAUGAGAACUUAUGAAGCAUUCAAUAAGAGUCAUUGGAAUAAAUGGUAACGAAAUCAUAAUUCAAUAUAAAGCUAAAAAAUGUACCAAUCUAUAUAAAUAAUGUAAGAUUUGUGAUACCUAAAUUAUUAUAUUUUCCAUAAAUAUAUGAAGAUAUUUUAUUAGGAAAUAAUUUUAUAUAUAAAAUUUUUUAUUUUCUUUUGAUAGAAAUUUAAUUAUGUUAUCUGUAGAAAAAAAUAUUUAUAGAAAUAUUAUUAGUAGAAAAUCAUAAAUUUGUGUGUGGCAAAAAAAAUUCACCACCAAGAAAGGGGCAAAUUAAACAACUUGAAACAAGUCAUUGGUUGUUUAAAAUAUUAGAUAAUAAUUUCAGUGAAGAAUCAUUAAAAUUAUGACAAAAUAACCCUAGAUAUUGUAGUAUUAAAUUGGAAAAUCUCAAUAAUAUUAUUAGAGUAAAACCUAUGAUCUAUCUAAACAAGAUAUAGAAGAUUUUGAUAUACAAAUUAAGGUUAGAAAUCAUGCGGAAAUAAAAAAGAAAAAAAAGCUAGUAUGGUCAUUAAUUAUAAAAGAUUAAAUCAAAAUAUUAUUUUUUUAUAGUUACUUGAAUUAAUCAGGCUAAACAAACAAAAUAUUUUAGUAAAUUUGACUGCAAAUCAGGAUUCUAGCAAAUCAUGAUAACAGAAAAGUCCAAACCUUUAACGGCUUUUAGUGCACCCAAUGGACAUUACCAAUGGAAAGUGAUGUCAUUUCAAUUAUGUGAUGCACCACAAAUCUUCCAAAGACGAAUGGAUUUUAUAUUUAAUAAAUAUAAAAAAAUUCUAUGUAGUCUACAUAGAUGAUAUUUUUUAUAUUUUUAGAUACACUAGAAUUACAUAAGAAACAUUUAAAUAUUAUUUCUUAAGAAUUCAUAAAAUAUAGAAUCAUAUUAAACCCUAAAAAUAUAGAGUUAGAAAAAAGAGAGAGAAUUUUUAUAAUAGUGGAAAUAAAAAAUUGUCCUCAAAAGAUUGAAGAAAAAAAGAACUUCCAACAAUUUCUAAUAUAUUCCUCCCAAAUUUUCAGUUUCAAUUUUAUUACAGAAUUUCUUUGCCGACAAUAAGAAAUUAAGAGCGCUCUUUAAGUUGAAUAUAGUCCGUCAGAUAUGGCUAUCUAUAACAUGGAACCUUUGGUUUUCAAGCUGAAUAGGAGAAUUGAUUCACUUGAUAAGUAUGAAAAAUUGAAACUGCUAAAUUUAAGUGCACUAACUCUGGAUAUCAUCAUUAUUUUUCUGUACAUUAAAGUACCUGUUUGAUAUGCGAUUUCUGCCUCAAACUAUCAACAUCUUUAACAUCCUUUUGCUAUAGUUAGCAUGGGUACUUCCUUUUAGAUUAACAGUUAGGUUUGAACUGUGAAUUAGAUUUCUGUGGCUGCUGGGAUUGAAGAAGUUAGUAUGCGAAUGACAUUGGACAAAUUUGGCAAAGUCUUCUCCAUCAGUGAAGAAAACCCCUUGGCGUAUGAAAAAUGUUCACCAUCUUAGACAUUUGUUUUCUUAUUGUAAGAAUAUUUUUAACAUUGUAACUUUUAACAUUAUUGUAAGAAUAUUUUGAAUUAUACUUCAGUUAUCAAUUUAUAUCAUAUAUCUUUUGUUGAAUUUGAAGUAUAAUUUAUAUUUGCUGUUUUUGGUUAGAUUUCAUGCUAUAGGAAGGGUUGUAUAUGGAUAGAAAUUGAAUGUUACAAAUCUGCCAAAGUUAGUGGCGUUUUUUCAUAAGAGCUGCUAAAGAAUGCUAUUUUUGGCGGUGUUUGUAAUAAAAGAGCCGCUAAAGGUCAUGUUCUUUAGCGAUGUUUGUGGGUAAAGCGCCGCUAAAGAUCAUGUUCUGUAGCGGUGUUUGUGGAUAAAGCGCCGCUAAAGAACAUGACCUUUAGCAGCGUAUUUUCACAUAAACGCCGCAAAAUUUAGCGGCUUUGUCUAUAGCGACUUUUUUUGCAGCGCUUUAAGUUUUAGCGGCGCUUUUAGGCCUAAAAAAGGGCCGCUAAAAGCCUGUUUUGCUGUAGUGAGCAUAUUUACAUUUUCGUCCCAAUUUCAACUAACACCCCAUCUAUUUCCCACUUCCCUUUUUCGGGCAAUUUCAACUAACACCUUCAUAUCAAACAUAACUAUUUUUCAAUUUUUCUUCUUUAUUUCAUUAAUAAAAUUAUCAAUCUAUUUGUUUUUAAAUAUAUAAUUUCAUUAAUAUUUUUUAAAUUAUAAUAUAAGAGUUGUUGUUUAUUUAUAGUUUUAUUACAUUAUUUACUCUCUCUUUUCUAUCAAGUUUUUUAAAUUAUAAUAUAAGAUUUAUUUUAUCAAUUUGUGGCUUAUCCAGUAUUCAUCUAUUUUAAUAAUAACUUGAGUUCCAGUCAUUAUCAUACCAGAAAGAGUUCCAUUUAUUCUUUAUCGUAAAUUUUAUAAAAAAAUAUACAUUUUAUUAUAAUACUAUAUGUGUUACGAAUAAUAUUUUAUUGUGGAUGCCCAUAAUUUUCAAAGUUGUAACCUCUAAUGUAGUAACCUUAAUGAAAUUAUGAGGCUUUUAUAUUGUAAUCAAGCCUCUAUUUAUUCUUUGUAACUUAAACAGAAGCAUAUUUUCUAUUAUAUUGAUAUUUUUUAUAGAUAUAUAUAUAUAUAUAAGGAAUCAAAUAAAAAGUUAUUUACCUUUCUAUUAUAUUGAUAUUUUCUAUUUGAUUUGUUCUUUUCUUUCACUAUUCCAUAAUAUAUUAUCAGUACGAUUUUAACCAAGAGUAACAUGUUAUUAGAUUGUGUCAAAAUUUUGUUGAGAAUCAUUAGAUUGUUUCCUUUUUCUUCUAUUUAGCCCCAAAUUGCACCCCUACACAAAAUUCAACAAAAACAUGGAAAAAUUAGUGGUGCACUCUCAUAAAUUAACCAAUUUAAUUACAUAAAAUAUGUAACUUUAGCAUUUUAUCAAUCAUGUUCUUUAGCGGCAUUUGUGGGUAAAGCGCCGCUAAAGGUCAUAUUCUUUAGCAGCGUUUGUGAUAAAAGUGCCACUAAAUAUCAUGUUCUUUAGCGGCGUUUGUGGAUAAAGCGCCGCUAAAGAACAUGACGUUUAGCAGCAUUUUUUUACAUAAACGUUGUAAAAUUUAGCGGCGUUGUCUAUAGCGACGUUUUUUGCGGUGCUUUCAAAUAGUUUUAGCGGCGCUUGUAGGCCUAAAAAAAUGCCGCUAAAAGUCUGUUUUGCUGUAUGAGCAUAUUUACAUUUUCGUCCCAAUUUCAACUAACACCCCAUCUAUUUCCCACUUCCCUUUUUCGGCCAAUUUCAACUAACACCUUCAUUUCAAACGUAAUUGUUUUUCGAUUUUUCCUCUUUAUUUCAUUAAUAAAAUUAUCAAUCUAUUUGUAUUUUAAAUAUAUAAUUUUAUUAAUAUUUUUUAAUUAUAAUAUAAGAGUUUUUGUUUAUUUAUAGUUUUAUUAUAUUAUUUACUCUCUUUUUUCUAUCAAGCUUUUUAAAUUAUAAUAUAAGAUUUAUUUUAUCAAAUGGUGGCUUAUCGAGUAUUCAUCUAUUUUAAUAAUAACUUGAGUUCCAAUCAUUAUCAUACCAGAAAGAGUUCCAUUUAUUCUUUAUCGUAAAUUUUAUAAAAAAAUAUAUAUUUUAUUAUAAUACUAUAUGUGUUAGGAAUAAUAUUUUAUUGUGGAUGCCCAUAAUUUUCAAAGUUGUAACCUCUAAUGUAGUAACCUCAAUGAAAUUAUGAGGCUUUUAUAUUGUAAUCAAGCCUCUAUUUAUUCUUUGUAACUUAAACAGAAGCAUAUUUUCUAUUAUAUUGAUAUUUUUUUAUAGAGAUAUAUACAUAAGGAAUCAAAUAAAAAGUUAUUUACCUUUCUAUUAUAUUGAUAUUUUCUAUUUGAUUUGUUCUUUUCUUUCACUAUUCCAUAAUAUAUUAUCAGUACGAUUUUAAUCAAGAGUAACAUUUUAUUAGAUUGUGUCAAAAUUUUGUUGGACUUCAAGUAUUGGAAUUUAAUUGUUUAAGUUAAGAAUCAUUAGAAUCAAUGGCUAUUUGAGAUAUGCUUGAGGAUGAUCUCAUUCUCUUCAUCACAAAGGUGGAGGUUAGAAAAUCUUUAUGUUUAAACAUUUAUAGCUUUAAAGUUAUUUUAACCUCUUAUUGUGACCUUAUAAUAUUUUGUAAUUUUUUGUAUUAUGGUAUAUAAAAAAAAUCUAACCAUAGUGAUUGAUUAGUAAUAUGAAUUUGUUAUUUGUUAUGUUUAAUAUAUAUUUUAUUUAUACUUAUUCAUUUUAUUUUUAUAUGAGUAAAUGAAGUGUUUGAAGAUUCGAAAUUUUUAUCAUCCAAGUUGAAAAUAAGUGCAAAAGUGUACAUUAUUUAAAAUAAAUUACGCAUUCAUUAAUGUUAUAUGAUAAAAUCAUUACAUGUUCUAAAGAACUAAUAUUGCAUCAAACUGUAAAAAGCUCUUGAAGAGUUAAUAUUUUACCUCCUUGUGAUACAAAAUCAUAUACAAUAUGAUAUUAUUUUUCAAAUCGAGUAGAUAUAUGUUGAGGGAAAUCUUUAUGUGGUUUACAUUAAAACCAUGGAUAGAAAUGACAUGAGAUACUCGUGUAUUUUUAUUAUAAAUAUUCCUUGAAGGAAGACACUUCACUUGUAUGAUUGACAUAUGAGAUAGUGGCAAGAAGUUCAUAGUGUUGGUAUGGUCGUCUAGAUCAUCUCAAAUCAAUAAUGAUGCAAAAUAAUUUGAAGAGAAUUUAUAUGAUUUUAUUGAAGAAUGAGAAGAUAUUUUCAUUUUGAUAAUUGUCAUCAAUACUAGUUCUUUGGAAAAAAAAUAUUGAACUAACAUAAAGUUAGAGGUUGGUUGCAUUUUUUGAUGAUAUCCAAAUAAUAUAUGAGCUCAUGUAUCACAUGUAUGCAACCCAAAGUUUACAGUAUUAUUUCUUGAAAUAAUUUGAUUCUACACAAUCUCUAUAGUAUGCAAUUUGUGCUAACAACGUUGGUGCAUUAUAUCCUAAGCUUGAUUUUCGUAGUUUUAGCUGAGAUAAUAUUAAGUUGUCUAUGCCUAUAUAUGUUAUACUUAAUGGUUAGCAAAAUUGUGCCUCCAUUUAAUUGCUUAACCAUUAAUAUAAGAAUAACUUUAAAAUAAGCAUGUAAUUUUAUUUGCAUAGAGUCAACAUGUAAGAAACAUUUGCCCCAUGAGAAUUGGCUUUCAUUUAUAAGCCAAUAGGUUUCAUAUGACUAUUUGGAUGUAAAAUAUCUAUUUUAUAUUCCACCAUAAUGCACUAAGAUGGUCCAUCAAGUAUGAAGUUGAGAAAAUUUAGAAUUUUUAUUUGAUGGUAAAAGUUGAAAAGAGAUAUAUACUUAUAAUUUUGAAAAAAAUAGUCAUGUUGCAAAUUUUUCUCAAUAUUAGGGGGAGACAAGUUGGACAAAUAAGGAUAAUUAUGUCAUCACUUUUUGUGAUCCCUCACUAAUAUUAUGUGCACAAAGUUUGAAGGAAAAAAGUAUUUGCUAGACAUGUUUAGUGAUGACACUUAGAGAUUGUAUAUACUAGAUGAUACAUAUACCAGCUAAAAUGUUCCAAAUAAUUAUGAGUCCUAGAAGGACAUAGUGAUAAAAAUAAUUUUUGGGCACGCUAGAAGGAUAAAAAACUAGUUCAUUCUAUAAAUCAAAAAAUUCUUGAAAGAAAAGAGUAAGAAAUGAAGCUGGCCACACAUUAAAGGAAACGAGUACUCAUGAAGAGACCUAAGGCAUAACUUUUAAUAAAACCCCAAAAGAGGUUCAAUACAUGGAAUUAUGAAUAUAAUAAGAUAUCUCGAUUAGUUAUAUCAUAACUAAAGAUGAUGGGGUUGAUAAAAGGAAAUUGUUGUUAACAACGAUAAUCUAAGUAGAACAUUUCAAUAUUAUGGUAAAAUGAGUAUUUUGAAUGAAAAUAUACUUGAAAGUAUUUAGAUGGGAACAACUCAUCAAAAUAAAUAGACGUUUCUAUUAUAACUUAUGAAAUGUGUCUCGGACAUGAAGUCCAAACAUUCGACAGGUGUAAAGCCAAGUGGAGUAUAUGUUAGCAUAAUAGUGAAAAAAUACAAAUCAUAAUAUAUAAAAUUGACUUGUAAGACAAACUUUCCCAAGACACUUGAUUUUGAUUAUGAAAAAUGAUUAAUUUGUGAUCUUAUCAAUUGAACAUACUUUGUAUAAUCAACAAAUUAUUAAUUAACCUCAUUUAACCAAUUUCCUUCAACACAUUUCAAAUCAAAUUAAUGUGUUGAGCACGCCCUUAACCCUUUUUCUUGAUUCAUUGCAUAGUCUAUUUCCAAGUACCAUAAUCAUCAACAUUUCAAUAUAUAAAGUCAUAACAUAAUGAAUCAUAGUUAGAAUUUUUUUUACCCUAUUAACCAAGUAUGGAACAAAAAUAAAAACCUAAUUUGUCAAGCUCAUUCAAUCAGCUUAUAUAUUAUAAGAAGAGCCUAAGUAUAAAUCCUAUACAUGAUUUCAAAUUCAACUAUUUAUAUUUGAGAUUCAAUUUAAAAUUCAUACUGAAAUUAUCAAAUUAACUCGUAAGCUACUCACGCUAAACAUUAAGGUACUCGAAUUCAAGUGGCUAGAUAUCAUAAACACUUUUAGCUUGUAAAACUAUUUCUAAGGGUCAGCCCAGAAUCAUGGUUGAACCCAAAAUCUGGUAACAAAAAUUUAAUUGAGCCAUCAGCCUAAAACAAAUAAGGCUUAAAAGGUUGGCACCCGAACAAUCAAAGAUAAACACCACCAUAUGCCACUCCCUGAAUCCGAUACAUACAAUAACACCCUUCACCACUUUUAUUCUUCUCCUUUUUUUUAACCUCAAUUUGGAUGGUCGCAUUUCUCUUUUUAGUGCUUUAUAGGGUUUGGGCUUUCAGAAUCCUCAGAGAUGCAAUUCAUGGAUCCCUCUAAGAAAUGCAAGCUUGAUGAAAAUGGUAUUAUUUCAACGGCAUCAGAACCUGACCCAAUCACCAAACUAACCCCACAAGAUGGCCGCAAGCUAAUCGAGCAAUUUAUCGUCGAUCAACUCCUUGACGUCCUCCAAGAUGCUGUUUGUUGUCACCUUGAUGUUCUUUCCGCCGUACACUCUAUUGCCGAUCAAGAUCCAUCUCAAAGGAAGCUUUUCAUCCGUGGUUGGGUUGGGAUACUACAACCCAACCCAACCCACAUUAGCAUACUACCAUGCGGUAACUUCUAGUGAUUUCUGUCUGUAACAUUAGACAGGUUAACAGUUAAAUCGUUCAACUGAAAGAUUUCUUUGAAGGAAGAGGUCAAUUGAUUUUUUUUGGAAUCAUUGUGUACUCAGUUGCAUUUAAGACGGGUAUCAUUCAUAAAGUAUAUAUCUACAUCAAGAAUGGUAGCCUCUUAUAUUAUAUUCAUGUAUUUAUUUUGCAUCUUUAAUUAUAAUAGGAUUUUUUUUGUUUAUUUAUAGUUUUAAUUAUAAUAUUUUUUAAAUAUGCCAAAGUAAAUUAUGUACCAAUUUUAAACUUCUCCUAGGUAAUUUAACGUAAGGGCAUUUAUGUUAUUUUACCACUUAUGAUAAAACUAACCUAAUUUUAGAUCUAAGUGUUUACCAACCUUCUUUUAGUCAAAUUAUGCAAGCCUAAAAUUUUUAGCUUAAUUUGAGUUUGUUUACUAUGUCUAAUUCAAGUUUUAUUAUUAAGAACUAAAUUGUAACUUAAACAAAUUAGAAUACCAAUUUAAAGAGACAAAAAUUCAAAGCCCCAAAACCCACACGGGCAUGUGGGUAAGUGACACAGGCGUGUGGAAACUGGAGCUAUCACACACGGGUGAGUGGGACUGAAAAAUAUGAAAUAAAUUAAUCCAUUUAAAUUUCCAACAACCAUGCUAUACUACCAAACCAAAUAAUGUUAGAAGCUUUGAAUAGGGGCGAAUCUUAAAAAAAAAUAGAAGAAUUAGAAUUAAAUUAUAAAAUUUUGAGAAGUUGUCAUGUAUUAAUUUAUUAUUUUUUAAAGGGUCUUAAUAGAUUUUUUUUCCCCAUUUUGGUUUGGCCAAUACCCCUGUCUGCCUCUUUCAAUUUGCUUCAACCCUUAGCCCAAUAUUCGAUUUGUUGUGGAAGUUUGACGCAUAAAAAUUCCUUUUUUAGAGGUUUAAAUUAUAAAUUUUUAUUAACAAAAUAUAAAAGAAAAAAACAUGUGUAGACAAGCCAAGAAACCUUUGGGAUCAUACAGGUGAUUUUGAGAUGUUCAUGGUUAUUUUGGUGGAGAGGGUAAAAAAGAAACAAAUGAUUCAUUAUAUAUGAUAUAAUUAUGAAAUUCAAGCCAUAUAUUGUAUGUUUCAUCCAUACAAAUUUCUUGUAGCAUUAAAUGACUCGUAGGCUUGCUGAAUUUCUUUGAAAGGCCCAAAGGCAAUUUAACAUUCACAAAAUAAUCUCUAAAUAGUGUAAAGACAAAUCAAAUCCACAGUAGCAUUAGAGUUGAUUAAGCUAAGCAUUGGCAAAUAUUACUUUGAUUUUGCAUGCAAUAUUGGCAAAACCCCCUCUUACAUUAGAAAAACAACAUAAUCCAUGAAACAUUGAUAGCCCAAUACAAAUUUCAUCGAGAAAAAAGUCUCUUUGUUUUGUAGAACAUGAUAGUAAAGAUGUGGAGUUUCGUUCUUCUUAUUGGCCUCCUUUAGUUUUCCUUGAUCAACAACCACUAGCCAAAAACACAAUUAGAUUAGAUUAUGAAUGAUACUUUCAACUAUGACAAUAUUAAAUACAAACCACUCUAAAUAACUCUAAAUAAAUGGAAAGCAGCAAAUUACCAGACGAGGCAAGCUAGCUCAAUUAAGACCAUUGUGUUAUACUUGUCUCUGAAUUGAAAAAUUUAGAAGGAAAUAAAGAGAAAGACUUAGAAAAUACUUGAAAACAGAAAAAAAAAUUAUGUCAUUUAAAAUAAAAAAUUUCUAUUCAAGCCAUUUAAAAUUUGUAAGAUUUUUAAAAUUUUAAAAUGAUAAAGGUAAAAUUGUACUUUGGCACCCCAAAAAUGAUAAAACUUUGAUUUAAUUAUUUAAAAAUUAUAAAAAUAUAGGCUAUUAAAAUGGUGAAAUUAUAUUUUUACUAUAGUAAAAAUUACAAUUUAAUUUCACCCCUAAAAGGAUUUUCUGGCUUCGCACCUAAUAAAAUCUUUGGCAAAAGACUAAAAUAAAAUUAUACCAUGAAUGGAAAAAGAAACUAAUAAAAUCCAAUCUAACAAAGAAAAUAACUUGAUGUCCAAAAGCUACCAUAAACCGUAAUUCAUGGGAAGGCUUGUUGCUUAUUUUAUUGGUUUCCAUUUUGAAAGAAGUUUGAAUUUUGAAGAGAGCCUACUACGUGAAAGCAAAAGAAAAAAAAAUAGUUUAUAUGAUUAAAAUUCCAGAAUAGAUUAAAAAUGUUGAAUUAAAGAUAAAAUUAAGUGUGAAUUAAUAACCACAAGUGUACUCUUUACUCACCAUCUCUGUUAAAAAUGUUGGAUGUUGUUUAGCAACCUUUGUUUGAUUUUCUUCAGCUCAACCACAACAUCUUUCAUAUCUUUUCUUUCUUCUGGUAACUCAGCUGAACAAUUCAAAGCCAACUCCAUGAUAGAUGAAAUACAAUUUGCUUUAACAACAAUGUACUCAUCCUCUCUUCUUAAUAAAUCAACAUCUGCAAUUUCUAUCGCUCCUUUAGGCAAUGAUCUUUCCAUCCAAUGCCUUAUACUCUCUUCUUCAACAAAAACCUUAUCAGUUGGCUUUUUCUUUGUGAAAGUUUCUAUAAGGACGAUCCCAUAACUAUAGACGUCAGAUUUUAUAGAAACAAUUCCUGCUGAUCCAAAUUCUGCAUUUCAAGUAUAAUUAGAACAUCAUUCAUCCUCAAUUAUUUCUAAAACGCUUAUUCAAAUAUCUAUCCACAUACACGUGAAACAAAAAUAUAAAAUACAAAUUAGGAAAAUAAUCAUACAAAAAUAAAAAAAAGAAUUCACCUGGUGCCAUAUACCCAAUAGUUGCAAGAGUCAUGGUUUGCUUCAUUACUUCACCUUCUCCCAACAAUUUGGCAACGCCAAAAUCUCCAACAUGUGCAACCAUGUCUUCAUCUAGUAAAAUAUUGCUUGGUUUUAUGUCACAAUGAAUUAUAGGUGUUGGAUGUCCAUUGUGGAGGUGUUCUAUAGCUACCGCAACAUCUAUCAUUAUGUCGACCCUUUGUAUGAUACCAAGGAAACAAUUUUCAGAAUGUAACCAUUUCUCAAGGUUUCCAUUAGACAUGUAAUCAAGCACCAAGGCUUUGAAGUCAACACUUGAGCAGUAAGUAAUGACCUUCACAAUAUUACGAUGAACUAUAUUAAGCAUAGCAUCACAUUCAAUGUCAAAACUCCUAAAUGCUCCCUCUGUUUGCAAAUUGAAAACUUUUAUUGCAACUUCCAUUCCAUCUGAAAGCCUCCCUUUAUAUACAUAUCCAAAACUCCCUGAACCAAGCGUAUUGCUUUCCUCAAAUCCAUUAGUUGCUCGUGAAAGUUCAGCAUGUGAAAUUCUUCUCAGUGUCUUCAAAGACAACAAAUCAUCUUUAACUGGUAGAGCUGUACUCCUUUGGCAUCUUCUAUACAUAAUAGUUAAGACUAUUAGUACUAGGACAAUACCAAUUGUUGGUAAACCAUACCUAAAAGCAUGCAAUAUAAUCAUUUGGGAGUUUUUGUGGAUGUCAUUUUUGCAAGGUGGGACUAGCAAUCUAGGUGGACCACAAAGUGCACAAUUAUUCAUGAAUGAUGUGCUAGAAAAGUUUGAAAAACAUCCUUUGCUGGGAAUUUCCCCUUCAAGUCUAUUGAAAGACACAUUAAAAUACUUUAGAUAUAAAAGCUUUUCCAAAGAUUUGGGAAUGACUCCAGAGAGAUUGUUAUUGCAUAAAUCCAAGAAUUCCAAACUAAUCAACCCUUCAAAUGAUUCAGGGAUAUGACCAUAUAGUAUGUUAUUUGAUAAAUCUAAUGAAACCAAAGUUAUAAGACCCCCAAAUGUGGAUAAGAUAUCGCUCGUGAGAAGAUUCCUUGAUAAAUUUAGUCUCAGUAGACUCCUAAAAUUUCCAACAUCAAUAGCAUGUGAAUUGUGAAGACGGUUUGAUGAUAAAUCUAUUUCUAAGAUAUCUUUAAGACUCCACAAAGUUGAGGGUAUUGUAGAACUCAAUUUGUUGGAACCUAACCAAAGAUAUCUCAAAGCAGAAAUAUUACCUAAACAAGAGGGUAUGGAUCCAUGCAGCUUAUUCAACCCUAAAUACAUCUCGUAUAGUCUCUCCAAACCACAAAGGCUUUCUGGGAUAGGCCCUCCUAAUUUAUUAGAGGAAAGACCUAGAAUUUGGAGAUUUCUCAUUCCUCCUAUUGAUGCUGGAAUCAAUCCACUUAAUUUAUUAUACCCAAGAUCUAAAAGCAAUAGGUUGGUUAAGUUACCUAUUUCCAUAGGAAUAAUGCCUUGAAGCUCACACUCUGUGGCAUGAAAGUAUUGAAGGGAUUUUGAAAGGUUCCCGAAAUAAGUAGGAAGAACGCCACUCAAUGGAUUUCCUGAAACAUCUAUUAUGCUCAAAUUCCUACAAUUCGUCAAAGAAGAAAGAAAGCUCCACUCAUGAUCAGUAGCAGAUCCUGUGAUCAAAUUAUUGUCAUAGAUUUGGAGCCAUACAAGUUGUCUUAAGCUGCCAAGCGUUUUAGGGAUUGGGCCAGAGAAUGAGUUAUCUCCCAAGUCUAGUUCCUUAAGCAUGGAAGCAUUGGAGAUAGAGUUGGGAAUGUUUCCGCUAAGUUUAUUUCCCCACAGUAAAAGAAUCUGAAGCUUUGGAGCAUUGGUAAUGGGUGGUAAAUUACCUGUAAAAUAGCAUCUUUUAGAAAACAUUCACAAAAUAUAUAAUACAUUAAAAUAAAAACUUUAAAUCAAUUAAGAAUAAAAUUUUGGCAUGGAAAAAUGUGAUGAAAUCAAUUAGAAAGUUGAGACAUAAUAAGAAGUUUUGAGUAGUAAUUAGUCCUUGUGAUUUGUAUAGACAAAACAUAUAAUACACUGAUAAUUUUUUUAAAAUAUUGUAAAACCUGAAAUAAAAUAAAAAAUAAAAGUUUGGCACGAGAAUGUGGCAUCUAAUCAUUCUUAAAAAUAAGACUAACAUUAAAUAAUAAUUAGUUAUGAUUUGAGAAACAAAAAUGUUAAAGAUGUAAACUGGUAUGAUUUUUAUCUAUUGGGUUAAUUAUUUAUUUUUAUUAAAUUAUAUAUAGUGUAAAAUUUAAAGAUUAUUAUUUGCUCAAAAUUUUUGUAUUUUAGGAUUUUAGGAUCGCAUUUAAUUCAAUUGUAUUUAAGACCUCAUGAAUUUAUUCUAUAAUUUGAGUCUUUUCAACCUUUUGGGAAAUAAUAAAACAUCGACAUUAAACUUGUUGUUGAUGCAUUCAAUUUGAUUUUUUGAGGGGUCAUUGGAGUUAUAUGUGAAUUUAGCAUUGAUUGACUUUUUUAGAAUUAAUCUUUUAUACCAAUUUAAUAACAUCGACAUGUUUUUGGGUAGGGUCGAGCAAAACCCAAUUAAAACCGAUGAAAUUGGUUUAGUUAACUCGGUCAAGUCCAUUAGAUGGAUAAAAUCAAUUUUAAAAUCAGUUAUUAUGGAUUAAGGUAAUUAAUUAUCGAGUAAUGAAAUACAUAAUCAAAUCAAUUGAUUUUGUUAGAAACUAAAAGAAAGUGGGAUAAGCUGAAAACUGAUUGCCCUUUUUUAGAAUUAAGGAAUCAGCCUUUUACAUGUUAGAUAAUAUGAACACCCCAUAUAUAAUAAGAAAAAUUAUGUACGAUUAUUUAUUAUCAUAAAUGGUUAGUUUAAAUUUAAAGUAAUCUAAUAUGUGUGUUGAACUUCAACUAUUACAUAAAGUAUAAGCUAAAUAUGUAUAAAUAUUCUAGAAACCAUUUCUAACUGAUGAUAGGCUAAUUUGAAAUUAAGAUUAAUAUAUAAAAACUAGAUAGUAGGGUUAUAGUCCUCAAACUACACCUAAUUUAAUAAAAUCUAUAGUUUUUAUAGCCUUAAACAUUUAUAGAUUUUGUUAAUUUGGUCCUUACUCUUUAAAAUUACAUAAAAAUUGCAAAAAUAUUUUAGAAAUACAAUUUUUUCGUAUUUUUAAUAACAUUUAUAGUUUUUUUUUUGGUUUGGUAACUUAUCAACUCGACUCUUAAUUGUAACCAACUUUUCUGAUUUUUUCGUACCCUUAACCUAAGUCCCGUUACAACUUUCUAAAGACCUCUUGAUUGGUGUAUCAUCUCGAUUUGUUCUUAUAGUGGUGGGGAUUUGGUUUUCAAGCAAGCCUAUGCUAAUCACAUUUUUCGUUCAACUAUUGAGCACACAGUACUUGAACCUUAAACACUUUGAGUGCUUUGAGUGAAUCUUAGUUAGGGUAUUGAUUAUUGUUGAGUUUGAAUUUUAGGUAAUUAUUGAGAUGGAGGAGAUGCCUAUUUUUUUGUGCUUUACAAAUUUCUGCUUAGAUUGCUUUUAUUCUUUAGUUUCAUGCUAGUUUCAAUUUCCAGUGCAUGAUUAUCUAUAGAUUAUUCAUAAGGCAUUGUCGGUGAAAACAAUAAAUUGAGGGAGAUUAACUUGAAAUAAAUUGAGGGAUAUUAACUUGAAUAAAGGUUGAGAAUUUUGCUUAAGGACAAACAAAUGCUUAAGUGUGGGGAUAUUUGAUAAGUGCUAAAAUUGAUAUGUUUUAACAUCAUUCUUAAUGUGUUUUUGGUUGAUUAUUCGAUGUUAAUGAUGCUCCUAAUCCUUACAAUUCGUGUUUUUAUGCUUAAUAGAACAUUUGGGAGGAAAAUGAGCUAAAAAUGAACGAAAACCUGAAAAUGGGGGCAAACUAUAGGACAUGGGCUGACCUAUUCCUCAUGACCGUAUGACUCACACGAUCAUGUGGUAGGUUGUGUCGAUUUCGUAGAUUUGCACUCUGAACUGUAAAAAAAGAAAAUUUUAGAUUUUUUGAGCAUUUUAAUACGUAUAUAUGAAAAAAAUAAGAAGAUAGGAGAGAACCUUCCUAGAAUAUUUAAGAAAACAACUCCAAAGACACUAUUGAAGUCGACUCUGAAGCAAAUUUUCCUCAAGAUUGAAGAUUCCCAGUUGGUUUCUUAAGAGAUUAUCAUGAGUUUCUUUAUUUCUUCUGGUUAUACUGCCCUUUGGAUGUUUUUAUUUUUAAGCAUGAACUAAUUUUCUAAAUACCGAAUUAGAGAGAUGAACCCUAUGAUAGAUUGUGACACCCCAAACCCAACCGGAUAGACCCGCCCGAAUUCAAAGCAUUUCAUUAGCCACCUAAGUGACUCUCCAGCUAACGACCACCCAAGACACACCUCGACCUUAUAACACCUCAAUCUUAUCUAAUUACUAGUUAUUUAUUAAUGUAGAAGUAAAUUAAUAUGAGCCAAUUUUAAACUUUUUCUAGGUAAUUUAACCUAAAGGCAAUUUUGUCAUUUUACCACCUAAUGUAAAACUAACCCGAUUUUAGAUCUAAGUGUUUACUAACCUUCUUUUAGUCAAAUUAUACAAGCCUAAAAUUUUCAGCUUAAUUUGAGUCCGUUUACUAUGUCUAAUUCAAGUUUUAUUAAUAAGGACUCAAUUGUAACUUAAACAAAUUAAAAUACCAAUUUAAAGAGACAAAAAUUCAAAACUCCAAAACCCACACGGGCAUGUGGGUAAGUGACAAGGGCUUGUGGGAUUGAAAAAUAUGAAAUAAAUUAAUCCACUCAAUUUUCCAACAACCAUGCUAUACUACCAAACCAAAAAAACACUUGAAGUUUUGAAUAGGGGCGAAUCUAAAAAAAAUUAGAAGAAUUAGAAUUAAAUUAUAAAAUUUUGAGAAGUUAAAAUAUAAUUUUAUCAUGUAUUAAUUUAUUGUUUUUUAAAGGGUCCUAAUAUAAUUUUUUUCCCAUUUUGGUUGGGCCAAUACCCCUGCCUGCCUCUUUAAAUUUGCUCCAACACUAAACCCAAUAUUCGAUUUGGAUUAACAACAACAUAUAGGUUAGUAUUUGUGGGAGUUUGACGAAUAAAAAUUCCUUUUUUAGAUGUUUAAAUUAUAAAUUUUUGAAAGAUUAAAAUAAAUUUGUAUUUUUUUAUUAACAAAAUAUAAAAGAAAAAAAAAUAUGUUUAGACAAGCCAAGAGAACUUUGGGAUCAUACAGGUGAUUUUGAGAUGUUAAUGGUUAUUUUGGUGGACAGCGUAAAAAAGAAACAAAUGAUUCAUUAUAUAUAAUAUAAUUAUGAAUUUCAAGCCAUAUAUUGUAUGUUUCAUCCAUAAAAAUUUCAUGGGAGGUCCAAAGGUAAUUAAAUGACUUGUAGGCUUGCUGAAUUUCUUUGAAAGGCCCAAAGGCAAUUUAACAUUCACAAAAUAAUCUCUAAAUACUGUAAAGACAAAUCAAAUCCACAGUAGCAUUAGAGUUGAUUAAGCUAAGCAUUGGCAAAUAUUACUUUGAUUUUGCAUGCAAAAUUGGCAAAACCCCCUCUUACAUUAGAAAAACAACAUAAUCCAUGAAACAUUGAUGGCUCAAUACAAAUUUCAUCGAGAAAAAAGUCUCUUUGUUUUGGAGAACAUGAUAGUAAAGAUGUGGAGUUUCGUUCUUCUAAUUGGCCUCCUUUAGUUUUCCUUGAUCAACAACAAUUAGCCAAAAACACAGUUAGAUUAGAUUAUGAAUGAUACUUUCAACUAUGACAAUAUUAAAUACAAAACACUCUAAAUAAAUGGAAAGUAGCAAAUUAAGACCAUUGUGUUAUACUUGUCUCUGAAUUGAAAGAUUUAGAAGAAAAUAAAGAGAAAGAGUUAGAAAAUACUUGAAAACAGAUAAAACUUAUAUGUCAUUUAAAAUAAAAAAAAUUUCUAUUUAAGCCAUUUAAAAUUUUUAAGAUUUUUUAAAUUUUAAAAUGAUAAAGGUAAAACUAUAUUUUGGUACCCAAAAAUGAUAAAACUUUGAUUUAAUUCUUUAGAAAUUAUAAAAAUAUAGGCUAUUAAAAUGGUGAAAUUAUAUUUUUACUAUAUUAAAAAUUACAAUUUAAUUUCACUUGCUAAAAGGAUUUACUGGCUUCGCCCCUAAUAAAAUCUUUGGCAAAAGAUUAAAAUAAAAUUAUACCGUGAAUGGAAAAAGAAACUUAAGAAAACCCAAUCUCACAAAGAAAAUAACUUGUCCAAAAGCUACCAUAAACCGUAAUUCAUGCGAAGGCUUGUUGCUCAUUUUAUUGGUUUCCAUUUUGAUUUUGCAAAAGAAGUUUGAAUUUUGAAGAGAGCAAAAGAAAAAAAUAGUUUAUUAAUUUUUUACGAAUACCGACAUAUUAUAUACAUGAUUAAAAUUCCAGAAUAGAUUAAAAAUGUUGAAUUAAAGAUAAAAUUAAGUAUGAAUUAAGAACCACAAGUGUACUCAUUACUCACCAUCUCUGUUAAAAAUGUUGUUUAGCAACCUGUGUUUGAUUUUCUUCAGCUCAACCACAACAUCUUUCAUAUCUUUUCUUUCUUCUGGUAACUCAGCUGAACAAUUCAAAGCCAAUUCCAUGAUAGAUGAAAUACAAUUUGCUUUAACAACAAUGUACUCAUCCUCUCUUCUUAGUAAAUCAACAUCUGCAAUUUCUAUUGCUCCUUUAGGCAAUGAACUUUCCAUCCAAUGCCUUACAGUCUCUUCUUCAACAAAAACAUUAUCAGUUGGCUUUUUCUUUGUGAAAGUUUCUAUAAGGACGAUCCCAUAACUAUAGACGUCAGAUUUUAUAGAAACAAUUCCUGCUGAUCCAAAUUCUGCAUUUCAAGUAUCAUUAGAACAUCAUUCACCCUCAAUUAUUUCUAAAAUGCUUAUUCAAAUAUAUAUCCGCAUACACAAGAAACAAAAAUAUAAAAUGCAAAUUAGGAAAAUAAUCGUACAAAAACAAAAAAGAAUUCACCUGGUGCCAUAUACCCGAUAGUUGCAAGAGUCAUGGUUUGCUUCAUUACUUCACCUUCUCCCAACAAUUUGGCAACGCCAAAAUCUCCAACAUGUGCAACCAUGUCUUCAUCUAGUAAAAUAUUGCUUGGUUUUAUGUCACAAUGAAUUAUAGGUGUUGGAUGUCCAUUGUGGAGGUGUUCUAUAGCUACCGCAACAUCUAUCAUUAUGUCGACCCUUUGUAUGAUAUCAAGGAAACAAUUUUCAGAAUGUAACCAUUUCUCAAGGUUUCCAUUAGACAUGUAAUCAAGCACCAAGGCUUUGAAGUCAACACUUGAGCAGCAAGUAAUGACCUUCACAAUAUUACGAUGAACUAUAUUAAGCAUAACAUCACAUUCAAUGUCAAAACUCCUAAAUGCUCCCUCUGUUUGCAAAUUGAAAACUUUUAUUGCAACUUCCAUUCCAUCUGAAAGCCUCCCUUUAUAUACAUAUCCAAAACUCCCUGAACCAAGCAUAUUGCUUUCCUCAAAUCCAUUAGUUGCUCGUGAAAGUUCAGCAUGUGAAAUUCUUCUCGGUGUCUUCAAAGACAACAAAUCAUCUUUAACUGGUAGAGCUGUACUCCUUUGGCAUCUUCUAUACAUAAUAGUUAAGACUAUUAGUACUAGGACAAUACCAAUUGUUGGUAAACCAUACCUAAAAGCAUGUAAUAUAAUCAUUUGGGAGUUUUUGUGGAUGUCAUUUUUGCAAGGUGGGACUAGCAAUCUAGGUGGACCACAAAAUGCACAAUUAUUCAUGAAUGAUGUGCUAGAAAAGUUUGAAAAACAUCUUUUGCUGGGAAUUUCCCCUUCAAGUCUAUUGAAAGACACAUUAAAAUACUUUAGAUAUAAAAGCUUUUCCAAAGAUUUGGGAAUGACUCCAGAGAGAUUGUUAUUGCAUAAAUCCAAGAAUUCCAAACUAAUCAACCCAUCAAAUGAUUCAGGGAUAUGACCAUGUAGUAUAUUAUUUGAUAAAUCUAAUGAAACCAAAGUUUGAAGACCCCCAAAUGUGGAUAAGAUAUCGCCCAUGAGAAGAUUCCUUGAUAAAUUUAGUCUCAGUAGACUCCUAAAGUUUCCAACAUCAAUAGCAUGUGAAUUGUGAAGAUGGUUUGAUGAUAAAUCUAUUUCUAAGAUAUCUUUAAGAUUCCACAAAGUUGAGGGUAUUGUAGAACUCAAUUUGUUGGAAUCUAACCAAAGAUAUCUCAAAGCAGAAAUAUUACCCAAACAAGAGGGUAUGGGUCCAUGCAGCUUAUUCAACCCUAAAUACAUCUUGUAUAGUCUCUCCAAACCACAGAGGCUUUCUGGGAUAGGCCCUUCUAAUUUAUUAGAGGAAAGAUCUAGACCUUGCAGAUUCCGCAGUCCUCCUAUUGAUGCUGGAAUGAAUCCACUUAAUUUAUUAUGGUCAAGUUCUAAAACCAAUAAGUUGGUUAAGUUACCUAUUUCCAUAGGAAUAAUGCCUUGAAGCUCACAAUUAUAGGCAUGAAAGGAUUGAAGGGAUUUUGAAAGGUUCCCAAUAUAAGUAGGAAGAACGCCACUCAAUGGAUUUCCUGAAACACCUAUUUUUCUCAAAUUCCUACAAUUCGUCAAAGAAGAAAGAAAGCUCCACUCAUGAUCAGUAGCAGAUCCUGUGAUCAAAUUAUUGUCAGUGAUUUUGAGCACUUCAAGGUGUUUUAAGCUGCCAAGCAUUUUAGGGAUUGGGCCAGAGAAUGAGUUAUCUUCCAAGUCUAGUUUCUUAAGCAUGGAAGCAUUGGAGAUAGAGUAAGGAAUGUUUCCGCUAAGUUUAUUUCCCCACAGUAAAAGAAUCUGAAGCUUUGGAGCAUUGGUAAUGGGUGGUAAAUUACCUGUAAAAUAGCAUCUUUUAGAAAACAUAUUCAUUGAAUACCAAAUUCACAAAAUAUAUAAUACAUUAAAAUUAAAACUUUAAAACUUUAAAUCAAUUAAGAAUAAAAUUUUGGCAUGGAAAAUUGUGAUGAAAUCAAUUAGAAAGUUGAGACAUAAUAAGAAGUUUUGAGUAGUAAUUACUCAUGAUUUCCAUAGACAAAACAUAUAAUACACUGAUAAUUUUUUUAAAAAUAUUGUAAAACCUGAAAUAAAAUAAAAAAUAAAAGUUUGGCAUGAGAAUGUGGCAUCUAAUCAUUCUUAAAAAUAAGACUAACAUUGAAUAAUAAUUAGUUAUGAUUUGAGAAACAAAAAUGUUAAAGAUGUAAACUGGUAUGAUUUUUAUCUAUUGGGUUAAUUAUUUAUUUUUAUUAAAUUAUAUAUAGUGUAAAAUUUAAAGAUUAUUAUUUGCUCAAAAUUUUUGUAUUUUUCGUAUAUUUGAAAUUUAAUCUUUAUAUUUUUUAUUUUCUGUGAUUUAGUCUCUCUACUUUUUGAAUUGAAAAUUUUAAGUUUAUUUAUUAACACUGUUAAAAAGUUUUUGUGUUAGUAUGGCAUUUUGAAAAAUAAAAUAAACUUGAUAUCUAUGUUUUUAAUUAUUCCAAAUACUGUUUUACUAUUCCAAGAUAAAUUAUUUGUGUCUAGACCAAUAUCUUAAGAACUAUUGUUGCAUGUUUAAUUAUUCUAAAGAAUUGUUGAUUGAGUCUUAGUUGAAGUGCACUAUUCUCCUAUUUAUGAAUUGGGGAGUUGAUAAAGUACUAAAUUUUGAUAUAUUUUAAAAAAUUAAAAAUUUAUUAAAAUAUUUUUAUAAAAAUUAAUUGUACCAAAAUAUACAAUUUUAAUAUCAAAUUUUUAAUUUUUUUAAAAAUAUUAGCGAAUAUAUACUUUAUUUCAAGUUACACAAUUUUUACUAGUUUUUAACUUUUUUUUUAAAUUUUUAUCGUCUUUUAUAAUUUCAUAUAUUUUUUUAUAAUUUUUUACAAUAUUUACAAUUUCUAACAAUUUUUAAUAAUUUUAUUAUUUAUUAUAAAUUUAAAAAUUAACAAAUUUUUAUUUUUUUAAAACAAUUAUAUAUUUAUAAUGUAGUUAUUUUUUUAUAAUUUUUUUUGAAAUUUAAAGAUUUUUUUGGUUUUUUCUAGAUGAUGAUGCCAUCAUGAUGUCAUCAUAUGCCACAUGGCAAUUUAUAAUUAGUUGACUAUCUCAAUCUAUUUUUUUAACGUCCAAUGGACUAAAACAAGAACACCUGAUAAUGUUAGAGACUACACUAGGAAUGUUUGAUAAUAUUAGGUACUAAAGUGGGCAAAAAAAAUUAAGGACUAUAUUAAAAAUAUAUCUAUAAUAUAUAUAAAUGCAUGGAUUUUGAGAAACUUUUGAAAUGACAAAUAUAUAGUCUUUGUUUUUUUUUACUAUAUUAUUGAAUUUUUUAUUUUAAAUAUUUUUUUAUUACUUUUAAGAUUUAUCAUAUGUAUGGAUAAAAAUUUUGGUUUUACUAAAAUAUUUGGUUAAAUAAAUUCACUUUAUAAAAAAAUUUAGCAUCCUUAUAAAUAACAAUUUUGAUUCCAUUAAAAAAAUUAUUUAAAAAUAUAUAAUAAAAAUUUAAAAUUUAUAUUGAAUCACUUUAUACUUAAAUUAUUAUUAGAAACUUUAUCAUACACAUAUGUGUAUGAGAACCACGUUUUCAGAACUUAAAUUUGUGUUCUAAAAUAACUUAUGAUAAAUAAUUAAAUGUAUAAUUUGAAAUUAUAUUGAAAUAAAAAUAGAUUAAAUUGUAAGUAAAACAUAUAUAAUUUAAACAUAUGAAUACAUCAAAUUAAAAAUACUAAAUGAAUACAUUUAUUUAUGAUGAUGUUGUUGUCAAUUCAUAAGUUGGUGUCGAGUUAAUUUGUGACAUCAUAAUUUUAAGUGAUAAAUUUAAGGUUUUAUGUAUUGAUGUCGAUUCAAAUAUCACCAUAAUUUUUUUAAAUAAAAAACUAAAGCACCCUCAAAUAAUAUAACUUAUAUUAAAUAUGAAAGGGUAUUUUUGUAAUUUCUCUAACGAGUUGGUGCCCGGUUGACUCAUGACACCAACUCAAUCAAAAGCUUCAAUAAUAAUAUAGAUAUUCACGUUUAAAAAAAGUACUUUAGUUCGAAAUAAUUAUGUAACAAGUAAUUUUAUAAUUGAUGAAUAAUUUUAUAAAAAUAUAUUUAUAUGAUCUAAUAUAUUAUAUUUAUAUUAAUUAUAUAUCAUCUACAAACUUUGAAGAUCAAUUUAUUAAGUAUCAGGAAAAGAAAAAAUGAAAUUGAAUUAACACUAAAUCAAUUUUUAGAUUUUGUACAGAUGAUUUAAUGAUGAUAAAAACAUUAUUAGCACUAUUUUUGAAUUAACAAAAAAUUAGUGAUAUAUUUUAAUUAUAUUUUUUAUUUUUUAUUUUUAAUAAUAUUUUUUUAAUUAUAUGAAGUAAAAUUAUAUUGUAUACUAAAUAUGGUACAUAUACUUUAAUUAAAACUUGAAAAAGUAUUAUAUAAAUUAAUAUAUUUUAAUUAUAUUCAACCAUUUGAAUAACAAAAUUAAAAAAAAACUAAUUAGAAUUAUUUACUUUUUAAAGUUUAAUGGAAAAUAAAAAAUAAAAAAUAAAUCAAUUCAUAUAAAUCUUAUUGUUUAUUAUCAGAUUAAAAUGAUAAAAGUAUAUGACAUACAUAGAAGAAACAAAUUCAACACCAUGUUUUUGGAGUUUGGAAAAAAUUAAAGUGAAAAACCUACCUUCUAAACUGUUGUUAAAUAGAUCUAUUUCUUCGAGCGUAGUUGAAUUAAAAAUACUUGAUGGAAUCUGACCUGCACACAUAGUCGAAAAUUGAAGUGAAAUCAAACUCUUUUGUGAAAAAAAUAUUACCAGAUAAUUCAUUCCAACCCAGGUAAAGCCCUUCAAGCUUGGGAAGAUGUUGACACAUAUCAUUAGGCAAACUACCUGAUAGGCUAUUGUUGGAGAGAUUAAUGGUCUUCAAAGAAGAAAUGUUGAAGAUCGAAGUUGGAAUCUGACCUAUA
RNAcentral lists this long non-coding RNA (152674 nucleotides) under Gossypium barbadense (sea-island cotton). RNAcentral's name for it is "long non-coding RNA (GBAR_LNC016648)". Lineage: Eukaryota; Viridiplantae; Streptophyta; Magnoliopsida; Malvales; Malvaceae. The record is from RNAcentral.